RNAcentral lists this long non-coding RNA (99925 nucleotides) under Citrus x clementina. RNAcentral's name for it is "Citrus clementina (C. clementina) long non-coding RNA (CCLE_LNC002910)". The record is from RNAcentral. Lineage: Eukaryota; Viridiplantae; Streptophyta; Magnoliopsida; Sapindales; Rutaceae.
UUGAGGGCGAGGUCUGAACCCUCCAGACGGAGACGCUUGAGAUGGGAAGAGCCCACUUUGACUAAUUCAUUACGAAAAUAAUCGACAUCUUGCUCUUGCAAUUCACUUAACUCAAGGUCUUCAAUUCUCUGCAGUUGCACGAUCAGCGAAUCCUUCAAGCAAAUCUUGUUAUUUAGCUCGACUCUGAAUUGACGACACCAAAUGCCGGUUUUCCUCGAAAAAUAACGUCGAAUAUAUAUGCUGUACCUUUCCAGCUUCUCCAAGAGCAGGCCUCUGGGCAGACUGCUGACGUCACGGACGUGUACUUCCAAAGAGGUCAAGUUGGGCAAAUGCUUCAAUUCCUCAAGGCUUGCAUUCUUAACCCCUUCCACCUCCUCCUCCCAAUCAACAAAGCUUUCACGACCUAUAUAUAGUUCUUCUAAAUGUGAUAAUUUUGACAGUAUAUUUGGUGGAAUAACUUUCAGAAAACAACAAUCCCUCAAAUCAAGCAACUUUAGCCAAGUCAAUUCACCUACUUCUACUGGCAACUUCACAAUAUCAGAACCUCUUAAGCAAAGGAUUUCUAGUUUCUUCAAGUAUCCUACAAAACUUAUAUCAGGCAAGCCGCAGCUACACAAACUCAGUGUUCGAAGGUUUGACAGGAGACCAAGUGAUGAAGGCAGUAUCAUGUCAGUCAAGUUUACAACUCUGACCUCGAUCAUGCUCUUGAAAAAGUUGUCUGGAAUUGUUACUGGUGAAGUUUCCCAAGGAUCAUCACGACCACCACCACGUAUAAAAAGAAGUUCGAGUUGAGGACAUUCCAGUACUUCAGGAAGCAAAUUAGGCUUAAUACCAUGUAAGACGAUUGAAGUGAAAUGCUUUAUUGUACUUCCGUCUGACCAUUCCCUGCAACCAUCAACCUGCUCAUUUGUAGCAGUAAACACAUUUCGUUUAGUAGAUGCAAUUGAUAUGGCGACAUGGCGAACUACAUCAUGCAUAGAAAACAACUCUUCCUUCUCGCUUUCAUGGUCAAGCAACAUACAAGAAGCUUUGAGUGUGCGCACCAAUGCAUGUACUCGAUUUCGUGCUGCUUCCAUCUUAUUCACACCUUGAAAUAAACCCAAUCCCAUACCACACAUUAACAAGUCAUCAAUAGAUGCUAUGGCUGUAUAUCCUAUUAGCAAAAAGAUGUUCUUGAGAUCAUCCCUUCCUAGUUUAUUGUAGCUCAACUCGAUAGCUUUAUAUGCAGCUGGCUGUACAUCCUUAAAAUGGAACACAAGUGACCACAACAAGAUGGAACAAAAUAAAAAGGAAAAAAAUACAAAGAGUGGAUGGAGAAUAAAACAGAGACAGCGGCACAGCUGGACACAACUAGAUAGAGAACAGAGCAAAACCAAAUAACAAGACUUAAGAUUACAACAAACUGUGAAGAUAGCUCAUUAUGGAGAAAGAAGCAAUGGAAAGCAGAAGAAGGAAAAGCUUAAGUUGAAGCAGGAUACAGAGUAUAGUAGCAGCUCAGUUGCCAGCUCAGCAUAGUUAGUUUCAGUUCGUUAGAAGUGCAAAAUGUAUUGUGAUGAGUAUUAGCUAAUAACUUCCUUAAUUAGUUACAUUGAUUGUGAUUAACUAGAUGUUAGUAUAAAUACUCACGAAUUGUAUUACUCUGUAAUUAAGGAAAAUAACAAACUCUGCUCAAGAGUAUUUCAGAAUCCUUCGUUUAAUAUUUUCUCUAGAAACAAACAACUCUCUUUUAUAAUUCUUUUAUGGUAUCAGAGCCACUCAUGGCUAGUUCAAGCAAUACAAUCUUCAAUCCAAAUCAUAUUACUUCAAAUCAAUCAACUCAGAUAUCAUUUUCCUUUAGUUCUCCAGUCAAGCUAGAUAGAUCGAAUUUUAUGCUAUGGCGCAAGCAAGUUCUUACUUCGAUUAGAGGAAAUCGACUUGAGCAUCUAAUUUCUGAUAAUCAAGUGACACCAGAUCGUUACAUUACUCACACGGAAGUUGAUGGAUCUAUACAGAAAGUAGAAAAUCCAGCUUUUGUUCAUUGGAGAGCACAGGAUCAAACUCUUCUUGGCUGGAUCUUAUCCUCAAUUAGCGAAGGUAUUCUCAGCUCAAUUCUUAACUGUGAUAGUGCAUUUGAAGCUUGGAAAUGCAUUGAAAAACAAUUUGGAGUUCAAUCUGAAGCUAAGCUCAUGCAACUUCGUUAUGAACUAAAUAUUCUUAGGAAAGAAAAUAUGACUGUUGAGGAAUACUGCUUGAAGGUUAAAGCACUUGCUGAUAAACUCGCAUGUUCUGGAAGUCCUAUUUCUGAAAAAGAUCUACUGAUACAAAUCUUGAAUGGAUUAGGUCCAGGAUACUUAGAUCUUGCAUCAAUAAUUACUGCUAAUAAAAUGUCAUAUGAUGAUGCAUAUGCACUGCUAUUAACGCAUGAAGCUAGAAUGGAACAAAGUCAAAAUGCUAAGAGUGUGUUUAAUGCCAAUUAUGGCAUGAUGAAUGGGAAUUAUCCUCAAACUAAGGGCUAUAAUAGAAGAGGAGGUUAUAAUGGAUAUCAGGGACACUUCAAUGCUGGAAAUAGAAAUUUUGGUGCAGGAAGGGGAAUAAUGUUUACAAAUUCAAGAGGAUUUGUCAAUGGUGGUCAUGGUCCUGGUGCUUAUAAUUCUGGUAGGGGACAACUAAUGCACAUGCAGGCAUAUAGACCAACCACUUAUAAUAGAAACAUCUCUAAUGCUAACCUUGGUGCUGAAAAUGGAUCUGGAGAUAAUGUAUUAAUAUGUCAAAUUUGUCAUAAGUCUGGGCACACUGCAGAUGCUUGUUGGUAUAGGUUUGAGAAUUAUGUGCCUCCACCCAGAAACUUUGGAAGAGGGAGAGGUCAAAGGUCAGCAUAUAUGGCAAAUUUUGAAUCAUGUCCAAGUGCUGCUGGAUAUCCAAGUGCUGCUGGACCUUUUGAAACACAAUAUUAUCCAGACUACUCUAGUCAUCAGAUGUCUGAUUUGAAUUCAAUGAAUCACUCACUGGACUCUUUCUCUGCUCCUGGAGCUGCCUAUGUUGCUAACUAUGAAAGACCAGCUGAUGAGGGUUGGUAUUUAGACAGUGGAGCCACACAUCAUUUGACAAACAACAUGGCAAAUAUGCACAUCAGGGAGCAAUUCAGUGGAUCAGAUCAACUCAUUAUUGGCAAUGGACAAGGUCUGAAUAUAACUCAUAUUGGUGAUGCUUUUCUCAAUUUCAAAAGUUCAAAUGACAAACACAAACACACACCCAUAGCACUAAAAGACAUAUUGCUUGUUCCUUCAAUUACUAAGAACCUUUUGAGCAUUUCUAAACUUACUGCUGAUAAUAACCUGUCUGUUGAAUUUCUUGGAAAUAUCUGUGUUGUGAAGGAUACUCUGAAGGGGCAAAUACUGAUGCAGGGCCUUGCUGAGAGAGGAUUAUACAGGCUGUUAAUAAAUUCAUCUUCUUCAAAUACUCAGUCAUCUUCUUCUUUUCAUUCCCAUAUGUCUUCUAAUAAACCACUUUCAAUGUUGUCCUUUUAUCAUUCUGAUUCUGCUGGUCACACUGAUGUCGUUAGUGGAACUGCAAAUUUGAAAACUUGUUAUCAGACUGCUGUAUUACAUUAUACUAAAUCAAUCAAUAAAGCUUUACUUUUUCAUAGAAGAUUUGGUCAUCCUAGUGUUCAAGUGCUAUUACAUAUGCUCAAAAUUAACAAGUACAUUUCCAUUCCUACAUAUCAAAUUCAUCAAAUGCAUCAAACAACAUGUGAAGCAUGUCAAAAGGGCAAAGUUCAUAGGCUUCAUUUUCCCUGCACAGACACUAAAACUACCCAAGUUCUUGAGCUCAUACACACAGACUUAUGGGGACCCUCACCCACUCUAUCUAGGGAUGGAUAUCGAUAUUAUAUAAGCUUUGUUGAUGACUUCAGCAGAUAUACCUGGAUAUACCUUUUAAAAGUUAAGUCAGAUGCAUUAGAAGUUUUCAAACUCUUCAAGUUGCAAGUGGAAAAUCAGUUUACCACCACCAUUAAAACUCUGCAAUCUGACUGGGGAGGGGAGUAUAGAUCUUUUACAGAAUUUCUAAACCAAUCUGGUAUUAUCUUUAGGCAUUCAUGUCCUUAUACACAUCAUCAAAAUGGAUUGGUUGAGAGGAAACAUAGGCAUAUUGUAGAAUCAGGAUUAACUCUGCUGGCUCAAGCUCAUUUACCUUUUCAAUUCUGGUGGGAUGCCUUCCAUACAGCAGUUUACCUUAUCAACAGAUUGCCAUCACCUGUUCUGAAAUUUUCAAACCCAUAUGAAAAGAUUUUCAAGCAUAAGCCUAAUUAUGAUAUGCUCAGAUGCUUUGGCUGCACAUGUUACCCUUAUUUAAGAGAUUACAACAAACAUAAAUUUGCCUAUCACUCUAGCAAAUGUGUAUUCAUUGGGUAUAGUCCAUCACAUAAGGGUUAUAAGUGCUUACAUGCUUCAGGAAAAAUUUAUAUUGCCAGACAUGUUGUCUUUGAUGAGUUCACUUUUCCAUAUACCACAGACUCUUCUUUUCUUAAACAUUCAGCCUCUGAUUCUCAGUCUUCAUAUUCUAUUACUCCUCAACAAGUUCAUCAUCUUUCUACUUCACCUAUCCUACCAAUAUUUCUCAAUGACAACACUAAUAAUGCAAUCUCAGUGAGUUCAGAAAGCAUUGGUACAAGCACUUCAGUUCAUCCUACACAGCAAGAAGUUAAUCUAGAAUCACAGCAAGGUACGAUCAGUAACUCUUCACCUGUUCUUAUGUGUCCAUCCUCAGUUUAUGAACCUGUACCUAAUUCAUCACUUCCCCAUACUCACAACUCCCCUCAACAACAGUUCAAUAAUCCCAUUACACAUUCUCAUACACCUCAGAAUACACACCAAAUGAUAACUAGGGGAAAAGCUGGUAUCUUCAAACCCAAAGUGUAUAUUGCUGAUCUUGUUCACAAAGAACCAGACACUAUACAUGAAGCAUUAAAUGACUCAAAAUGGCUACAAGCCAUGAAGGAGGAGUUUGAUGCUUUAAUAAAAAAUGAUACAUGGACAUUGGUUCCAAGAGCAGCUAAUCAGCAAGUUGUUGAGAAUAAAUGGAUUUACAUAAUUAAGUACAAUACUGAUGGAAGUGUGGCUAAAUACAAGGCACGGCUAGUUGCUAAAGGAUUCCAACAAAUAGCAGGUGUAAACUAAUUUGAAACCUUCAGUCCUGUUAUUAAACCAGCAACUGUCAAAGUGGUAUUUGUUGAGUGUUAGAAAAUGUAUAUUUAUAAAGGAGAAAACCGUCAUUUUACAUUUCAAGUCUUACUAACAACCCUUACUUUUAUGUAUUUAACCUCCUUGUGAUUUAAUUACAUGUGUUUUAUUUUAAUUAAGUAUUUUAUGUAUUUUAGGGGCAUUAUAGUCAUUUCACAAUAAAGGAGAGAUCAGACGGCAAAACGGACAUCACUUUUGAACUCAGGACGAUCGAAAACCUUAGGAGGAGCAUAAAAGGAAAAAUGGCACUAUUCACAUGUACGGUACUAUUCACGUGUACGGUACUGUAUACGUUACUGUUCACGACACUGUUCACAUAGACGGACGAUGACGUGGCAUUGACCGAUGAUGUGGCAUUGACUGAUGAGGUGUCACGAUCCUGUUGGGCUAAAAUUCUUAUGUACUGUUGAUGCUGACGUGGCAGCAUAUCAGUGGAUGAAAAAUCUCGCGUACGGUACAUACAUCACACAGGAUUAUUUUCAAUCAAACCGCAUUACUGUUCAUCCGGGUCAAACCGUGUUACUGUUCAUCCGCGUGGUCAAACCGUGGACUGUUGACUGAUGACGUGGCGCAAUCCUGAGCGUUCAAACUGUUUUUAAUCCGAUGGCCAUGAUUUACUCCAUGUAUCUAUAAAAAGGGGGCCUCUCCCCCCUAAUUUGAUAUCUCUGAAUCCAUUUUUGGGAUCCAUUUUCUGUAAUUCCCUCUCCAUCUUGUAUUUUCUUCGUAUUUUAAUAAAUUCCCAUUUUGCCCCUAGUUCAAUUAUGAGUAGCUAAUUUCCUUUCAAGCUUGGGUUGAAGGUGAAGUCUCAACAUAUGCCAUGGGCUUAAUUUGGUAAAUUUAUUUUCUCUUCCCCUCUAGUUUUUGUGGAUGUUUUGACUUCUCGUCGACAAAUAAUACUAAUCUUAUCUAGUACCGCCUUGGUUUCACCGGCCCUCUAGUACAAGGUUAUUAUUAUUUGGCACGAUAAGCCCUUAGCACCAUAUUGAUUAGAGUGUGGUUCAUGAGGUGUGGAUUUCCCCCUCAUGAUUUAAUUGGUAUUAAUAAGGAAUAUUUAGCCCAUGGUGCAUGUUGAUACGGAUCCGGAUACCCAAGUGCUUCAUUUCAAUAGAUCUAUCUUCAAUUUAUUCUCGCCAUUACAAUUCCAAUUUUAGAAUUUAUUCUCGCCAUUUUAAUUUAAGUUUUAGCAUAUUCCAAAUCAUUUCCACCACAAAUCCAAUCCCCGAUUUACAAAAUUAAUUCUAUACACAAUUAAAAUCCACCUCCUCGUGGGAUCGACACUCGUCACCAUUAGUCUAUACUACAAUAGAUUUGUGCGCUUGCGAGUACAUUAAAAUUUGCACAACAAGUUUUUGGCGCCGUUGCCGGGGAGGUAAGUAAUUUUAAUUCAUAAAAUUAAUUUUUGUGAAUAAUUUCUUUUAUUUGUUUUCUUGUAUUUUUUAUUAAAAAAAAAAGUAAAUCUACAUUUAAAGGUUAGUAUUUCUUUUCUUUUUCUCUUCUUUAAAAUUCUGUAAUUUAAUUUUCAAUUUAUUUUUUCUUUGUAAUUUUUGUUUAUUUUAUUAAUUUAAUUUUUAGUUAAUUUAUUUCACGUAUUUGUUUUUGUGUAUUUUUAUAGAAAGGUUGUAAUAGCGCAAUAAGGUUAGUAUCGUAAUUUCUCCCUCUUCUUUAUUUUUAUUUGUUUUGUUCCCAUCUUUAUUUUUAUUUUAUUUGUUUUGCAUGCAUGGUCGUAGGUCAUUAUUACCUAAUCUUAAACCUAUAGACCUUGAAUUAGAAAAAACACUUCGCACACAAAAGCACAUUAAUAAAUUUGGAAUGGAUUUACAAGCACCACAGGAGAGGUCAUUCAAGGACUAUUUUAGUCCUUUAGCUAAUUUGAGCACAUCAUGUAUAAGAUACCCAAAUGUAGCUACUAGGAGUUUUGAAUUAAAACCUAGUGUGCUAAAUUGUCUCCCCACAUUUUAUGGCCUAGAAAAUGAGGACCCAUAUAAUCAUCUGAAUGAUUUUCAUGCCAUUUGUCAAACUUUUAAAUAUGAAAAUUUUUCAGACGAUGAUGUUAAACUUAGAUUAUUCCCAUUUUCUUUAAAGGAUAGAGCUCGUUCAUGGUUAAAUACUUUGCCUGCUAAUAGCAUUGCAUCAUGGGAACAAAUGGUAACUAAAUUUUUGAAUAAAUAUUUCCCAGUGCAUAAAACCAAUGCUAUUCGCAGGGAAAUCUCAGAGUUUACUCAGAGAGAGGACGAGCAGUUUUUCGAGACAUGGGAGCGAUUCAAUGGGCUACUCUUGAAGUGUCCACAUCAUGGGUACGAGAAAUGGCAUCAAUGCCAAUACUUUUUGGAGGGAUUAUUGCCGAAUGUGCAAGAAUGGCUAAUGGCAACAAGUGGAGGAGAGCUAAUAUCAAAAAGUGCAUCAGAGAUUUGGGAAUUCUUCCAGCGACAAGCGGAUAAUUCCCAACAACGGAGUCGAUCACUCAGGAAUACUAGAAGAAUUAAGGGAGUAAAUGAGGUUCAAAUUGGCGAGUCAACUUCGGGAAUCAAAGAAGUCAAGGAGAUGGUUGAAGGUCUUGCUCGACAAAUAGCAUCGUUGUCGACUGCUAAAUCAACAGAACCACAUGACCAUGACUCAUACUCCGAUCAAGCCAAUGCCAUAGGUGUAAUCAGAAAACCAUCGAAUUACAACCCAUACUCCAACACAUAUAACCCUGGAUGGAGAGACCAUCCCAAUUUUUCAUGGUCUCAAGGAUUCCAACAGAAUGGACCAGCAGCUCCAGCUCCGCCAAUUCCUCAAGUUCCUCAAGCCUCUCAGCCCCCAUUUAGACCAUACAAUCAGAACCAGAACUACUCUCAACCUAGACCAUGGGAGGAUUCAUUCCAGAAUCUCAAGAAUCUUACUCACUCUACGAUUGAGCAACAGAACCGCACCAUUGAUGGACUACGAAAUGAGUUGAGAGCGGGCUUCAACUCACAAGCCCAAUCAGUUUCAAGCCUCGAGAAGAUGGUGGGACAACUUGCUUCUUCAGUUCAGACCUUGGCAAUGACUGUUGAUAAAGGUAAAUUUCCAAGUCAACCAGUGCCUAAUCCUAAAGGAGUACAUGAAGCAAGUACUAGUUCACCACAGCAGCAUGGAGAGGUCAAAGCAAUCAUGACCUUGCGAAAAGGAAAGGAAGUCGACAACAAAGUGGAGAUGCCUGUGACAAAAGAAAAUCAAAUUGUACCUGUGAAUGUUGAAGACUCACCACCGGAGGAGAAAGAAGAAACCAACCCACGAGAAUACGUUCCGAAAGCUCCAUUUCCUCAGAGGUUAGCGAAAGGAAAGAAGGGAAAAUCCACAGGUGAGAUUCUUGAAAUCUUCAAACAGGUAAGUGUUAACAUCCCUUUGCUUGAUGCUAUUAAACAAGUUCCAUCUUAUGCCAAGUUUCUUAAAGACCUUUGUACUAAAAAGAGAAACAUGCAUGUUCAAAAGAAGGCAUUUUUAACAGAAAACGUUAAUUCUAUACUCCAACAUAAAAUUCCUUUAAAAUGCAAAGACCCAGGCUCCCCCACUAUCUCAUAUAGUAUAGGGAACCACACAAUUGAGAAUGCUUUGUUGGAUUUAGGAGCUAGUGUAAAUCUGUUGCCUUACUCAGUAUUUUUGAAACUUGGACUGGGAGAAUUACACCCAACUCCAGUGGUGUUACAGCUUGCAGAUCGGUCCACGAAAAUACCUCGUGGUAUUGUGGAGGACGUGCUUAUCCAGGUAGACAAGUUUUAUUUUCCUGUUGAUUUCAUUGUAAUUGACACUCAACCAAUACAGGAUUCAAGGAAGCACAUCCCCAUUAUCCUAGGCCGACCUUUCUUGGCAACUGCGGAUGCUCACAUUCAAUGCAGGACUGGAAAUAUGCAGUUGUCCUUCGGCAACAUGACUAUGGAGCUAAAUAUUUUCAACAUUGCCAAACAACCUCACAGUGCAGAUGAUGGAAUUGUUGAUGUGGAUUUAAUUGAAGCAUUAGUUGAUGACACUUUUAUUUCAAACCUUAGUGAUGAUCCUUUACAGACAUGCUUAACUCACUUUGGUUUUGAUUUUGAUAUUGACAGAUCGGUUGAUGAGGUCAACGCUCUACUUGACUCAACACCAUCCAUGGACACUAAUAAAUGGAAGUCAAGAGUUGAACAACUAGCACCAUCAGAAAAGAAACUCAUCCCAUCAUCAGAAUCACCACCGAAACUCGAGCUCAAACCAUUGCCCAACACUCUGGAAUAUGCAUUUUUGGGAGAAGAAAGUACUCUGCCGGUAAUCAUCUCAUCAUCCCUAAAUGACGAACAAAAAGGUAAGUUGUUGGAUGUUUUAAAAGAGCAUAAAGGAGCAUUAGGAUGGACCAUAGCAGACAUAAAAGGUAUAAACCCCGUAGACUGCAUGCAUUACAUUCACCUUGAUGAAAAUGCUAAAUCUACUAGGGAAAUGCAACGUCGGUUAAAUCCUAAUAUGAAAGAAGUUGUUAGAACUGAAGUCCUUAAGCUAUUAGACGCAGGUAUCAUUUACCCAAUUUCUGAUAGUUCAUGGGUCAGUCCUGUACAAGUUGUCCCCAAAAAGUCAGGAGUCACAGUAGUUACCAAUGCUGAUAAUGAAUUGAUACCAACUAGAGUAACUACAGGAUGGCUUGUAUGCAUUGAUUAUAGAAAGUUGAAUUCUGUCACACGUAAAGACCAUUUUCCUUUACCAUUUAUUGAUCAAAUGCUUGAUAGAUUAGCAGGCCAUGAAUUUUAUUGCUUUCUAGAUGGCUACUCAGGAUAUAAUCAGAUUCCCAUAGCACCAAAAGAUCAGGAGAAAACUACUUUCACUUGCCCUUUUGGCACUUUUGCAUAUAGGAGAAUGCCAUUUGGAUUAUGUAAUGCACCUGCUACAUUCCAACGAUGCAUGUUGAGCAUUUUUUCUGAUAUGGUUGAACGAUUCCUUGAAGUCUUUAUGGAUGAUUUUUCUGUCUUUGGUGACUCGUUUGAUCAAUGUUUACAUCAUCUAACACUAGUUCUGCAGAGAUGUAUUGAGAAGAACUUAGUCUUAAAUUGGGAGAAGUGCCAUUUUAUGGUAAAACAAGGUAUUGUUCUCGGUCACAUCAUUUCGAGCAAAGGUAUUGAGGUUGACAAAGCCAAGGUGGAUCUCAUUUCUAAUCUUCCUCCACCUAAAACAGUCAGAGAAGUAAGAUCUUUCCUUGGACAUGCUGGUUUCUAUAGACGUUUCAUUAAAGAUUUUAGCAAAGUUUCUAGACCCUUAUGCAAUUUACUUGCUAAGGAUGUACCUUUUAUCUUUAAUGAUUCAUGUCUCAUGGCGUUUGAAAAAUUAAAGCAGUUGUUGACAUCAUCACCCAUCAUUCAGGCCCCAAACUGGAGCUUACCAUUUGAGCUCAUGUGUGAUGCAUCUGAUUAUGCAGUAGGAGCAGUAUUAGGACAAAGAGUUGAUCGAAUUCCGCAUGUUAUUUACUAUGCUAGUAUGACAUUGAAUGAUGCACAGUUGAAUUAUUCAACUACUGAAAAAGAAAUGCUAGCAGUAGUGUUUGCAUUAGAGAAAUUUCGAUCUUAUCUCAUUGGUUGUAAAAUAAUUAUAUUCACAGAUCAUGCUGCUCUUAAAUAUCUUCUCACAAAGAAAGAUGCAAAAGCUAGACUAAUUCGUUGGGUGUUACUUUUGCAGGAAUUUGACUUGGAAUUCAAAGAUAAGAAAGGGACAGAAAAUGUUGUGGCGGACCAUCUCUCUCGUCUCCAUUUUGACACAAUUACAGAGCCAUUAAUAUUGAAUGAGUCAUUCCCAGAUGAACAAUUAAUGAAUGUGGAAGUAUUACCUUGGUAUGCUGAUAUAGUUAAUUAUCUUGUUACAGGUAAACUUCCAGAGCAUUGGACCAAGCAAGACAAGGCUAAAUUCUUUGCAGAAAUAAAGAAUUUCUUUUGGGAUGACCCGUAUUUGUUCAAGUAUUGUGCAGACCAAAUUGUUAGACGAUGUGUCCCAGAAAGUGAAAUUCAGAAUAUCCUUUCAUUCUGCCAUGAACAAGCUUGUGGAGGCCAUUUCAGUGCUAAGAAAACAACGACUAAAGUUUUAAAAUGUGGUUUCUAUUGGCCAACUAUAUUUCGAGAUGCUUACACUUUUUGUUCUUCAUGUGAUAGGUGUCAACGAAUGGGGAGUAUUACACGAAGGAACAUGAUGCCACUAAAUCCAAUUUUAGUGGUUGAGAUUUUUGACGUAUGGGGUAUCGACUUCAUGGGACCCUUUCCCCCUUCUUUUGGCCAUCAAUACAUAUUGGUUGGUGUUGACUACGUCUCAAAAUGGGUAGAAGCAAUUCCAUGUAGAACCAAUGAUCACAAGGUGGUGAUAGGAUUUUUGAAAAGCAACAUUGUUUCGCGCUUUGGAUUCCCUCGAGCAAUAAUCAGUGAUGGUGGUGCCCACUUUUGUAACAAAGCAUUCAAAGCUCUUUUGACAAAGUAUUCAAUCACACACAAAGUGGUGACCCCGUAUCAUCCGCAAACCAGUGGCCAAGUUGAGAUAUCCAAUCGAGAAAUAAAGCACAUAUUAGAAAAAACGGUGAGGCCAGACAGGAAAGAUUGGUCAUUAAGACUUGAUGAUGCAUUAUGGGCAUACAGAACGGCUUUCAAGACCCCGAUUGGGAUGUCACCCUACAGGCUAGUGUAUGGAAAAGCUUGCCACCUACCUGUGGAACUCGAGCAUCGUGCGUAUUGGGCCAUCAAGAAAUUCAACUUUGACAUGCAGCAAGUCAGCUCAGAAAGAAGAUUACAACUGGCAGAACUUGAAGAAAUUCGCAAUGACGCAUACGAAAAUGCCAAGAUUUACAAGCAACAGAUGAAAAUCUUUCAUGACAAGCAAAUUAUGAGAAAAUCGUUCACUCCAGGUCAGAAAGUGCUUUUAUUCAAUUCUCGUUUGCACCUAUUCCCAGGUAAGCUACGCUCUCGAUGGUCUGGUCCCUUUAUUGUUCAUACUGUUUUUCCACAUGGGGCAAUUGAAAUUAAGGACCCAAAGAACGGUGUCACGUUUAAAGUUAAUGGUCAAAGAUUAAAGCCAUAUCUAGAGUACCAACCACAUGGAGAAGACACCGAAAUAAAUUUGAGUGACCCACCAGAUUUGAAUUGAUUUUUUCUUUUUAUUGAUUUGAUUUUUCUUUCUUUCUUUUUAUUGUUCUUUUGCUAAUUGAAAUUAUUUUUGCAUAAGUGUGUUUGUUUUACCAUUAAGUUUUUUUUUCUUAUCAUUGUUAAUCAUGAGUACCAUACUUAGACCGUUCCUCCUGAACAUUCUUAAACCACUUCAGCGUGUCAAAACUCAUCUCAAAAAGCAGAUUCAAUUUUGUAAAACACAACGCAUUUGGGCUUUACAACCACCAGAGUUAGUAGCCUAUGUUGAGGGUUUAGAACGCCAACUCAGAGACAUUGAGAGAAGUGUUUACGACAUCCAAUUGGAGCUUGAGGUAAAUUCAAUAAGAGGACGAUUUUAAUUUUCUUUGUGUGUUUUAAUUUGUUUUUCUGUUUGUGUGCUUUAGUUUGUUACCCCGGUGAAGUGGCGGAUAACGGUACUCUGUGACAAUCAAGUCGGUUACUUCAGUUUCCCAUAAUAACUGACAUUCUGAGGCAAAAGUAUGGACAGAAACGAGAUUCUAGCGAAGCUUCACAAGCGAUUCCCUUCACUUCCUCAGAAUGCCCUCCUUAUGAUCUAUAAAGCUCGGUCCGAACGCAUGCGAUUGCUCAUGAGGAAUAACAUACCUGCUGAUAUCCGUUGGUUAAUCGAGGCGAAAGUACGAUCGGCAGGUGAGUUACCUCCAAAAUUUAUUGCAUACAUGUCUGGUUGUGGUAAAGGAAAUUAUGCAAGAAAACGACGAGCUCGACGAAUUUCUGUUGCUUGUCAUAAGUGUGCCAGAAUGAGUUGCAAUAAAAACCCAUGUUCUUUAGGAAUGAUGUCUGAUAACAGGGAAGACAAGAUUCAAUUCAUUAGGGAUGGCUUGAAUAAGGAGUCAUUGGAUGAUAUCCUUUUGUCUCUUGAAACGCAUCCCAGUGGAUAUGUGCAAGGAGCGAUUCUCCAGUUAUGGCUAUUAUUCCAGAAAGAGCAUGCACGAUACAGUCUCGGGAAUCUGACUAUAAACGACCAUGUUUGCCAGUUUGUAAGAAAACUGGAUAGGAAGCCUAUCCUCGACUCAUAGAGGGCGUUCAAGCCGUUUCUGGACGUAAAACCAGAGGAAGAUGUGAGCCACAGUCGCAACUACGUGUAAAUAUCCUUUUACUUUACUGUACUUUUUCCUCCUUACUGUUUGCUUUUUUCCUUAUUACUAUUUGCUUUUUCCUUUUUACUGUUUCCUUUUUGACUCGCGAUCCACGUGCUUUACGCAUUAUUUGACACUGACAUGUUACCUCAUACACCACUAUGACCCACUAUCACCAAGACUCUUAAAUGUGAUUUCUUUUUUGUCAAGCACUCACAAAUUGUUUUUGAGAAGUAUCACAAUGGCCGCUACUCCCAAUAGACAAUUCAAGAACAUUUGUGUGCUUUCUGGAUUUACCUAUGGCAAACAUAAAGAGUUCGUGGAGGCAGCCAUAGAUCUUGGUCGAAGCAUAGCAGCGAGAAAAUUACACUUGGUGUAUGGAGGAGGUAACCGAGGGUUAUAAAAAAUGGUCUCAGAAGCAGCUUUUAUCAGAGGAAGUCAAGUGUUAGGCAUCAUCCCAAGAGUCCUAAAACCAUUGGGCAGUUCGUCUGACUCAUCAACUGGAGAAGAGUUAGUUGUCUCAGGUAUGCAAGAAAGAAUAACUGAAAUGCUUAAUCAUGCUGAUGCUUUUAUUUUCCUUCCAGGAGAUCUUGCAACACUAGAGGCACUUAUCACACUAGCAUCCUGGGCCCAUCUGCACAUCCACCAGAAACUCAUCGGUUUGUUAAAUGUCAAUAACUUUUAUGAUGGCUUUAUCGCAUUUCUUAACCAUGCAAUAAAAAACUACUUCAUUCCUUCCCAUGCGAAAAAACUUUUUAUUUGUGCUCACACUGCUAAUGAGCUACUUGAUCUGUUACAAGCUUAUAGACCGGAGCCAGACCCCUGGACCUUUGUGUUGGAGCGCCCAAAUAAUGAUGGUAACAGUAGCCGCAGUAAGAAGUACAAAUUAGAUUUAACUCUCCGCUUGUGAAUAUUUUCUUUUGUGUUGCACCACCCAGGUGAUGUCUUCUAAACUCUACUUCUUUCCUUUAAAACAUUGAGGACAAUGUUUCGUUCUGGUUGGGGGGAGGGAAUAGUCGACAAUUGUGGAAUCUUGGUUAAGUUUUUACUGAUUUUUUUUGUUGUAGAAACUAACUAUUGCUAACUUUUUGUGUUGAAGAAGGCUGAAUAUGGAGUGUAGUGACUCUAGAAACGCAUCUUCUUCACAGAGAUCAACGAUGCGUACUGUCUUCUAACAGAGGAUGGAGAGCCUCCAACUUUUCAUGAAGCUUUAAACAGUUCAGAUGUUGCUUUGUGGAAGACAGCAAUGCAGGAAGAAAUUGAAGCUCUAUACAAGAACAAGACAUGGGAACUUGUACCACUACCACACGGAAGAAAAUCCAUUGGAAACAAAUGGGUCUACAAGAUCAAACGUGAUGGUAAUGAUCAAGUGGAGCGGUAUCGUGCAAGACUGGUGGUGAAAGGAUAUGCUCAGAAAGAAGGUAUUGACUUCAACGAGAUAUUUUCUCCGGUGGUUCGACUCACAACAGUCAGAAUAGUCUUGGCAAUGUGUGCUACAUUUGACCUACAUCUAGAGCAGUUAGAUGUUAAAACUGCAUUUCUUCAUGGAGAACUUGAAGAAGAAAUUUAUAUGCUCCAACCAGAAGGUUUUGCAGAAACAGGAAAAGAGAACUUGGUUUGCAGGUUGAACAAAUCUCUAUACGGUCUCAAACAGGCACCGAUGUGUUGGUAUAAGAGAUUUGAUUCCUUCAUUAUGAGCCUUGGAUACAACAGACUCAGUUCAGACCAUUGUGCAUAUUACAAGAGGUUUAAAGAUAAUGAUUUCAUCAUUUUGCUGUUGUAUGUGGAUGACAUGUUGGUAGCAGGUCCCAACAAAGAUCGAAUCCAAGAAUUGAAGGCACAAUUGGCUAGGGAGUUUGAAAUGAAGGACUUGGGACCAGCAAACAAGAUUCUAGGGAUGCAAAUUCACCGAGACAUAAAUAACAGGAAGAUUUGGCUUUCGUAGAAGAAUUAUUUGAAGAAAAUCUUGCGGCGCUUCAACAUGCAAGAUUGUAAGUCAAUUUCUACCCCACUUCCUGUUAAUUUCAAAUUAUCCUCAAGUAUGUGUCCUAGCAAUGAAGCAGAGAGGAAGGAGAUGUCUCGAGUACCGUAUGCAUCAGCAGUGGGAAGUUUGAUAUUCGCUAUGAUAUGUACAAGACCGGACAUUGCACAAGCAGUGGGAGCAGUCAGUCGAUACAUGGUGAAUCCUGGUGGAGAGCAUUGGAUAGCUGUGAAGAUGAUUCUGAGAUACAUCAGAGGAACCUCAGAUGUUGCAUUAUGUUAUGGAGGAUCAGAGUUUACUGUCAGGGGCUAUGUGGAUUCAGAUUUUACAGGAGACCUUGAUAAAAGGAAAUCCACUACUGGUUAUGUGUUUACACUUGCGGGAGCAGCUGUAAGCUGGGUUUCGAAACUGCAGACAGUUGUGGCUUUAUCUACAACAGAAGCAUAGUACAUGGCAGCUACACAAGCUUGCAAGGAAGCUAUUUGGAUACAAAGAUUAUUGGAGGAGCUCGGGCACAAACAACAGAAAAUUCUUGUGUUUUGUGACAGUCAGAGUGCCUUGCACAUUGCAAGGAAUCCAGCCUUUCAUUCCAGGACAAAGCACAUAGGAGUUCAGUAUCAUUUCGUUCGAGAAGUAGUGGAAGAUGGAAGUGUGGAUUUACAGAAAAUCCAUACGAAGGAGAACCUAGCAGAUGUUUUGACCAAGCCGAUAAAUACUGAUAAGUUUGUCUGGAGUAGAUCAUCUUGUGGCCUAGCAGAAACGUAGGCAACAUGAUUAUGGCGAAGCAGAAAGGACGGUGUGGAGAUUGAUUGUUUUUCAAUCUAAUCUCCAAGUGGGAGAAAUGUUGAAUAUGGGGCACCACUCUUCUAGAAAUGUUGAAAAUGGGCCCUCUUCUAGAAAUGUUGAAAAUGGGCCGAAAUGCUUGAAGAGGAAAAUGGAAAAAGAAAUGUUUGAAGAAGAAAAUGAGGAACACGGUUUUGACUUUCUUGGCCAUCAUUUUGCUAUAAAUAGAAGUGCAAAUGAAGAGCUUAAGUAUUCCAUUCUGAGAGUAAUUUAGCAGUUGAGAGAGAGUUUAGAGAGCUUGAAUUUAUAAGCUCUUGUUAUAGUGAUUUUGAGAGUUUGGGUGUAUUGGAGUUUUGGGAAGUGAGCUAAAAUACUACAAUACUUGUAACUCCUUUUCACUAGUAAAAUAUUUCCUUCUGUCUUCGCCCGUGGAUGUAGGCUAAAAGCCGAACCACGUAAUUUCUGGUGUCCUCUAGUGUGCUUGUUCUUUAUUUUCUUCCAAUUUUAUUUUAUCUGCGUGUAUGCUUCACCCACCAAUUUCCUAGCAGUGGUAUCAGAGCUAUUGGUUGUAUUUUUUGGAGUCAGGAACUAUUCACGUAAUGGGUACUAUUCACGUAUAUGGCACUAUACACGUACACGAUACUAUUCACGUAUACGGUACUGUUCACGUAUACGGUACUAUUCACGUGAAACGGUGGAAGCGAUCCAAGAAUUUUGCGGUGCAAAGCAGGGAAUAGUGGUGUGAGUAAAGCAACUGUGUGGUUUUGUACAUGUCUAGGAAAGUUCUGUCACAAAGGCGAUAAGAGCUUAAGGAGUCUGGGUUUUAAGUGGGACCAUUGUGACCCCUCAAGUCUUUCCUGGGAACUUUCCUGGUGUGCAUUCUCACACAUACUCACAACUAUUCAAGGUGGUAUACUAGCUUGUGUGCAGUAUUUAUCAACAAAAUAGCGGCAAAGUAUGAAAUUGAGAAAUUUAACGGAAAUAAUUUUUCGUUGUGGAAAAUGAAGAUGAAAGCUGUAUUGAGGAAAAAUAAUUGCUUGGCAGCAAUUGGAGAAAGGCCCAUGGAGAUAACUGAUGACAAGUGGAACGAGAUAGAUGGCAACGCCAUUUCUGAUAUACACUUGGCACUUGCAGAUGGAGUAUUAUCUAGUGUGGCAGAGAAAAACACAGCGAAGGAAAUAUGGGAUACUCUUACAAAAUUGUACGAGGCCAAAUCACUACACAACAAAAUCUUCUUGAAGAGAAAACUCUAUACUCUUCGAAUGGUGGAAUCUACAAUGGUGACCGACCACAUCAACACCUUGAAGACUCUAUUUUCACAACUCACAACGUUGGGUCAUAAUAUAGAGGAAAAUGAACGUGCAGAGCUUCUACUUCAAAGUCUACCAGAUUCAUAUGAUCAACUCAUUAUCAACCUGACGAACAACAAUCCAGUGGACAGUCUAGUUUUCGACGAUGUUGCAGCCUCCAUAUUAAAUGAGGAAAGCAGGCGGAAAAAUAAGGAAAACAGACAAGCAAGUUCGCAGCAAGCGGAGGCGCUAUCAGUGACGAGAGGGAGAUCAACGGAACGUGGCCCCAGUGGGAGUCAAAAUCAUGGUAGAUCAAAAUCCAGAAGUAAGAAGAAUGUUAAAUGCUACAACUGUGGCAAGAAAGGGCACGUAAAAAUGGAGUGUUGAAGUAACCAGAAGAGAAGAGAGGGUAAAGAACCUGAGUCAUCAAAUGCUCAGGGGUGUGUAGCAAGUACCUCAGAUGAUGGCGAAAUACUCUACAGCGAGGCAACAACUGUUUCAGAAGGCAGAAAAUGACUUUCUGAUGUCUGGCUUAUAGACUCAUGAGCUACCUGGCACAUGACCUCUAGGAGAGAAUGGUUCCACACAUAUGAACCUAUCUCAGGAGGAUCUGUAUAUAUGGGUAACGAUCAUGCAUUGGAGAUCGCUGGUAUUGGUACUAUCAAAAUAAAAAUGUUUGAUGGUACAAUUCGCACAAUUGGGGAGGUACGACAUGUCAACGGCCUGAAGAAAAAUCUAUUGUCUUUGGGACAAAUAGACAAUCAUGGGUGCAAAACUCAUGUGGAGAAUGGAAUUAUGAAGAUCGUUAAAGGAGCACUUGUAUUGAUGAAGGCAGAAAAGAUCGGUGCUAAUCUAUUCAUGCUUAAAGGAGAAACACUACAGGAGGCUGAUACGUGUGUCGCAUCAAAUGGAGAAGAGUCAACGAUGAUGUGGCAUCUCAAACUUGGCCACAUGUCAGAACAAGGUUUGAAGAUUCUCUCUGAGAGAAAAUUGCUUCCGGGGCUCAAAUCGGUAAGUUUACCAUUUUGCGAGCAUUGUGUUACAAGUAAGCAGCAUAGAUUAAAAUUCAGUAGAUCUAUUGCUAGAAGUAAAUGCAUUCUAGACUUGAUUCAUUCUGAUGUUUGGGAAUCACCGGAUAUAUCCAUGGGAGGUGCAAAGUACAUGGUGACUUUCAUUGAUGAUUAUUCCAGAAGAUGUUGGGUAUAUCAAAUUAAGAAAAAGUCAGAUGUAUUUCUAGUGUUUAAAGAAUACAAAGCGCGGUUGGAACUUGAAUCUGGUAAAAAGAUCAAGUGCUUGAGGACGGAUAAUGGUGGAGAGUAUACAGAUGGCGAGUUUCUUGCUUUCUGUAAGCAAAAAGGUAUUCAGAGGCAGUUCACGGUGGCAUACACUCUUCAACAAAACGGAGUGGCGGAGCGGAUGAACAGAACUCUUACAGAAAGAAUAAGAGCUAUGUUGAGGACUGCUGGUCUACCCAAUUCAUUCUGGGAAGAAGCAGCCAAAACUGCCUGUUAUAUAGUAAAUCGAUCGCCAUCUACAGCUAUUGGGCUGAAGACAGCGAUGGAGAUGUGGACUAGAAAGCUAGCUGAUUAUUCUUACCUACAUGCAUUUGGAUGUCCUGUGUACAUAAUGUACAAUGCCCAAGAAAGAACAAAGCUGGAUCCAAAAUCUAGAAGAUGUAUCUUCUUGGGGUAUGCUGAUGGAGUAAAGGGGUAUCGUCUGUGGGACCCCACUGCCCACAAGAUCGUCAUCAGCAGAGAUGCUAUCUUUGUAAAAGAUCAACUGCAAAGGAGAGAUGAGGAUGAUGGCACUACAAAAGAAAAGUCAGAGACUGUUCCAGUAUAUGUGGAAAAUAAUCUAGAAGAUUCAGAUUCUUCUGAAGUAGCACCAGAGCACGAGGAACAAGAACCAGUCGACUCCGAGACUCCAGAAGUUUGUCGGUCAACUCGUGAGAGACGACCGCCAACGUGGCACUCAGAGUAUGUCACAGAGAUCAACGUUGCGUACUGUCUUCUAACAGAGGAUGGAGAGCCUCCAACUUUUCAUGAAGCUUUAAACAGUUCAGAUGUUGCUUUGUGGAAGACAACAAUGCAGGAAGAAAUUGAAGCUCUAUACAAGAACAAGACAUGGGAACUUGUACCACUACCACACGGAAGAAAAUCCAUUGGAAACAAAUGGGUCUACAAGAUCAAACGUGAUGGUAAUGAUCAAGUGGAGCGGUAUCGUGCAAGACUGGUGGUGAAAGGAUAUGCUCAGAAAGAAGGUAUUGACUUCAACGAGAUAUUUUCUCCGGUGGUUCGACUCACAACAGUCAGAAUAAUCUUGGCAAUGUGUGCUACAUUUGACCUACAUCUAGAGCAGUUAGAUGUUAAAACUGCAUUUCUUCAUGGAGAACUUGAAGAAGAAAUUUAUAUGCUCCAACCAGAAGGUUUUGCAGAAACAGGAAAAGAGAACUUGGUUUGCAGGUUGAACAAAUCUCUAUACGGUCUCAAACAGGCACCGAUGUGUUGGUAUAAGAGAUUUGAUUCCUUCAUUAUGAGCCUUGGAUACAACAGACUCAGUUCAGACCAUUGUGCAUAUUACAAGAGGUUUAAAGAUAAUGAUUUCAUCAUUUUGCUGUUGUAUGUGGAUGACAUGUUGGUAGCAGGUCCCAACAAAGAUCGAAUCCAAGAAUUGAAGGCACAAUUGGCUAGGGAGUUUGAAAUGAAGGACUUGGGACCAGCAAACAAGAUUCUAGGGAUGCAAAUUCACCGAGACAUAAAUAACAGGAAGAUUUGGCUUUCGUAGAAGAAUUAUUUGAAGAAAAUCUUGCGGCGCUUCAACAUGCAAGAUUGUAAGUCAAUUUCUACCCCACUUCCUGUUAAUUUCAAAUUAUCCUCAAGUAUGUGUCCUAGCAAUGAAGCAGAGAGGAAGGAGAUGUCUCGAGUACCGUAUGCAUCAGCAGUGGGAAGUUUGAUAUUCGCUAUGAUAUGUACAAGACCGGACAUUGCACAAGCAGUGGGAGCAGUCAGUCGAUACAUGGUGAAUCCUGGUGGAGAGCAUUGGAUAGCUGUGAAGAUGAUUCUGAGAUACAUCAGAGGAACCUCAGAUGUUGCAUUAUGUUAUGGAGGAUCAGAGUUUACUGUCAGGGACUAUGUGGAUUCAGAUUUUACAGGAGACCUUGAUAAAAGGAAAUCCACUACUGGUUAUGUGUUUACACUUGCGGGAGCAGCUGUAAGCUGGGUUUCGAAACUGCAGACAGUUGUGGCUUUAUCUACAACAGAAGCAUAGUACAUGGCAGCUACACAAGCUUGCAAGGAAGCUAUUUGGAUACAAAGAUUAUUGGAGGAGCUCGGGCACAAACAACAGAAAAUUCUUGUGUUUUGUGACAGUCAGAGUGCCUUGCACAUUGCAAGGAAUCCAGCCUUUCAUUCCAGGACAAAGCACAUAGGAGUUCAGUAUCAUUUCGUUCGAGAAGUAGUGGAAGAUGGAAGUGUGGAUUUACAGAAAAUCCAUACGAAGGAGAAUCUAGCAGAUGUUUUGACCAAGCCGAUAAAUACUGAUAAGUUUGUCUGGAGUAGAUCAUCUUGUGGCCUAGCAGAAACGUAGGCAACAUGAUUAUGGCGAAGCAGAAAGGACGGUGUGGAGAUUGAUUGUUUUUCAAUCUAAUCUCCAAGUGGGAGAAAUGUUGAAUAUGGGGCACCACUCUUCUAGAAAUGUUGAAAAUGGGCCCUCUUCUAGAAAUGUUGAAAAUGGGCCGAAAUGCUUGAAGAGGAAAAUGGAAAAAGAAAUGUUUGAAGAAGAAAAUGAGGAACACGGUUUUGACUUUCUUAGCCAUCAUUUUGCUAUAAAUAGAAGUGCAAAUGAAGAGCUUAAGUAUUCCAUUCUGAGAGUAAUUUAGCAGUUGAGAGAGAGUUUAGAGAGCUUGAAUUUAUAAGCUCUUGUUAUAGUGAUUUUGAGAGUUUGGGUGUAUUGGAGUUUUGGGAAGUGAGCUAAAAUACUACAAUACUUGUAACUCCUUUUCACUAGUAAAAUAUUUCCUUCUGUCUUCGCCCGUGGAUGUAGGCUAAAAGCCGAACCACGUAAUUUCUGGUGUCCUCUAGUGUGCUUGUUCUUUAUUUUCUUCCAAUUUUAUUUUAUCUGCGUGUCUGCUUCACCCACCAAUUUCCUAGCAUUAACUAAAUAUUUUUUAACCAUAUAUGUAUAGUUGGAUUAAAUAGUGGAGAUUACAACAAAACAUAUGCGAAUUAGUUGUGAUGUUGAGUUCAGAAGAUUGAAGUUAAAAAAAUUAAAGGUUUCUUGAUCAAGGGAAAUUUCAAAAGAGUGAAGCGUCUUCUAGAUCAAGACGAAAAUAAGGAAAGGGUAAGGGUGUAUUUUCAAAGUGAUUCUAUUGAAAGAUCUUUGAAGAUUACUUUCGUUAAGAGCAGGAUCCCACACUCUUGAGCCUUUGUCGUCCCAGUCAACUAUAAAGACACAUUAUUAUUGAGUAUGAACAUUGCGACUUAUAGAUCACCAAAUUUUCAAACUUAUGAUCUUCGUUGAAUCUGCAAUCCCUUUUGAAAAAAAAAAAAAAAAAAAAGGAAAACUGCAAAUAAUGAAACAAAAUUCUGUUCCUUGAUAGAGUUACGCGGCUUCAACUUGCAAGUGCUGUCGGCAUUUUCAAACUUGUAAGACCCUUCAACUUGCUUUCCAAGAUAGCUAUAAUCAAUAAUGACAACCGAAGACGGCUACGUUUGCGGUACAAAAGUUGCACCAUAUUAGACGUUCUUUUUAGGGAUGGCAAUGGGGCGGGGUGGGGGUGGGGAUGCCUACCCCAUUCCCCACCCCAUUAAAAUUUUUUGCCUCCAUUCCCCACCCCAUUCCCCAAUAAAUUUAGUGGGUUGGGGAUGGGGAAUCCCCACGUGGGGAAUGAUUCCCCCAUCCCCACCCCAUUCCCCAUUUACAUAUUUUAUAGUAAAUAUAAAAAUAUGAUUUCAGUAAAUUAAAAAUUAGAGACUUAAGAUAAAAUCAUCACAAUAUUAUAAAGUAUUUAAUUUUAAAAAAAAAUCUCUAAAAAUUUGAAACAAUAUCUUAAAAUGAUAUUAAAAGUGAAAAAUAUUUAAAGAAAGCAGCACCUUAAAAGAGAAAAGAAAAUAUAUUAAUGUUUUAAAGUUGAAAAAUAUUGUAGAAUUUUCUUUUAUUCAUAUUCUAUUUAUAUUACAUAAAAAUUAAAAAAAAAUUAUUAAUUGACAUUAUAGUUGAUAAAAUACAAAUUAUUAAAUAAGAAUUAAAAACAUAUUUAUAUAUAAUGGGGAUUGGGGUGGGGGUGGGGUGGGGAGUGCAAUACCAAACCCCACCCCGUUAACAAUUUGGGGAUUACUUUUCUCCCACUCCCCACCCCAUUCCCCAAAAAUUAUUAAAAAAUUUCCCCAUUUGGGGUGGGGCUCCAUGGGGCCCCAACCCGUGGAGGAUUUUGCCAUCCCUAGUUCUUUUUUGUUCUUAUCCGAAGUAACCGUUGGAUUCAAAGGAAAGUGAUCAGACAUUCAAUAGCUUCACACGUGGACAUUAUAGGAUACCGGUCAAAUCGGUUAGUGCUCCUCCACAUCAAACUCACAAGCAUGGCUAUCAUCGUAUCAGCUUGGAAACUUGUUACAAGUGACGAAGAGCAACAGGGUCCGCUCCUCUAGAGUCGGUUAGUGCUCAAUAAUGUUACAGGUUUUAUAAUCUAUGUAACUGGUACGAUCGCUGUCUCAAGUGGUAAACUUUUGAGGCACAAAUUUAGAACGAAAAGUUUCCAAUAAAAUAAGUUAUUUAAUUAAUUAAAUAAGAAUAAAAUGAAUUUGUAAAAAAAUUUUAAAUUUAAUUUUGAAUUAUUUUGACCAAAAUUUAAGUUUUUUUUUUUAAUUUGUUUAAGAAAAUGUGUUGUAAUUGUCUUGUUUUAAUUGGAAAAUCAAUGAAAAAAUUAUGUAAAAAAAAAAAAAAGCAAAACGCUUUGUUUUGGAUGGAGGCCAUAGAUUCCAAUAUUUCCUUAACGAAAACUACAAAAAAAUUAUCAAAGGCAUCAAUUUCUACACUCUCACCGAGCAAUACUCUUAUGCUGUGUUUACUUGCUGGAGUGGGAGUGAGGAGUGUGGAUUCCUCCCACUCCAGCGUUUACUUACUCAAAAUGGGGAGGGAUUAGGAAUCUCACUCCGUGGGCCCCAUCCAUUUUUGAAGUGGGGAGUGGGAGUGGGACUCCGAUUGGGGGAGGUGGGAGUGGGAAUCCACCCCCACCUCUCCCAUUUCUACCCUUUUUUUUAAUUUUAUGUUUUAUAAUUAAUAAAAUAAAAUAAAUAAUAUUAUAUUUAUUUGAAUAAUAUUAUUAUAUUUAUUUGAAUAAUAAUAUUAUAUUUAACUAAAUAAUAAUUUACAUUGAUUCUAAGUUAAAAUUAUUUUAAAAUAAUAUUAUUAUAUUAAUAGAGAAUUAAUAAAUAUAAUAUUAUUAUAUUUAUUUUAAAAAUAAUAGUACUAUAUUUAUUUAAUAUUAAUAAUAAUAAAUAGUUUAUUCUAAGAAAAUAUUAAUUUUGUACUAAAUAAUAUUAUUUUAUUAUUUUAUAUAAUAAUAAAUUUAAUAUAAUUAUAUUAAAUAAAAUAAAAUAACAUUUCAUUUUAUAUUAAAAUUAAAAUUAAUAAUUUAUUGUUCAUAAUUAAGAAUAUUAAUAAUUAUAAUAAAUUUACAAAUAUAAUAAAAUAAAUAUUAUUCAUUAAAUAUAUUUUUUAUUAGUUUUGUAAUUAAAAACUAUAAUUCUUUAAAUAAGGAUAAAAUUGUAAUUUGAAACUAUUUACUCCCAAUCCAAGACAAAGUAAACACAUAAAUUGAAUUCUGAUCUCCAUUCCAUACUUCUAUUCAAGUGUAAGUAAACAACCUACUCUCACUCCCACUCCACACUCUCAAUCCUAGGAUUCCCACUCCUCAGGAUUCCCAAUCCAAUCCAAAAAAUAAACGCUACCUUAACCCAGAAGGAAGUGUAUAAACCAACCCCAAUCAGUCCAUCAAUGUCGUCAACCUCAUACAGCAUAAAAAAAAUAUGUGUCCAUUAAACCGCCAUUUUUUUUUUUUGGUUAAACCACGAGGUAUCCUGGUAGGGCCCCAACUGUGGGAGGCACCUUUAAGCCCGUACCACAACCCAGACUAUAGCUCCCCGCUCGCACGUUGUGGCUAGUGCUCCCAACAAAUGCGACUUCUCUGCGACUCGAACUGGGGAGCAAACCCAGUCAAACCACUUAAGGGGGCUCCAGUUGCCAGAGGAGCCAACACUUUGUUGGUAUUAAACCGCCAUUUAAACUGACUUUAUUGAGUCAUUAGACUAUUGGUGUCAUCUUCCCAUCUCGUUGUAGCAUUUUACCGUUCAAAUCUAGUUAUCAAUUGUGGAAAAUGGGGACCAAUCUGCAAGUCUUUAAAAUAGAAAGAAACUUUAAUUGGGCACUAUGUUCACGGUAGUGGACACAGCAGCAGCUAUUUGUGCUUUAAAAAUUAUUUUACACUCUAAUUUUAAUAAAAAUAUAUAUUACAAAAUUACUUAUCAUAUAAGUUACUGGAUAAUAUAUUAUAAGUCAACAUUAUAUAAUUACUUUGAACACUUAUAUAGCCCAAUCCUAAUUCAAUUUAUUAUUCUCAUAACUUAAAUAUAAGUCAACAAUAUAAGGGGGUUGUGACAUGGGUUUAAACAUGAUUUAACAAGUGCCACCUGUGAAUUGUCAGAGAUUGUAUUUUCAUACACAUGUCAAAUUUUCAAGUCCAACAAAUUGUUAUCUUUCUAAAGAGGCUAAUAUUAUUAUUAUCUAUGCAUAGCAUGCUAUAAACAAUUCAUAUUCUGUACACAACAUAUGGACAGAGGAACAAAUCCCUGAGCUAAAAUCAUCAUAUUCUAAAAUAUUCUAUUAAAUCAACACCACAAAACGCGAACGCUAAACAGAAUUGGAGCAAUUUACCAAAGCUAUUUGUCACGCAAAGCACUAGUACCUCAGAACCCAAUUUGCAAAAAAGCACCAAAAAUGAAAAAUAACAAAUGCCCAGAUGAAAAAUCAGGAAAAAAAAAAAUGCUCAAAUCCAAAUUACAACCCCAUAAGCUGAGUUGUUCUCUUCGAACUGAAUUAAAAAAAAAUUAAAUAGGGAGAUUGACCUCAAACUUUGGAAACAGAAGCGACAGCGAUCUGUUUCUUGUCUGGAGUGUCCAUUUCUAUAAUCUACUUUGUCCGCUUUCAGUCGCUCUGCCACAGAGCUUCUUCCCUCUGAAGCUGAAGCUCACACACACUUGCAAAACGAAAGCAUUUUUUAUUGAUUGAGAGGCGGGAAGGCGGGAAAAUGAGAGAAAUUUGCAUUUGUUUUCUCUUGGUUUGGUCAUACCUGUGCGGGCCCCAGCUUGACAAGCGGUAUUAUUAUUAUUUGUAUAAUUUACAUGACGCGUGUCACGCAAUGACGAUAAAAAAUAUAUAUAUAUAUUGUUAAUUUUUCACUUAACAUUGAAAUAUCAUAUAAUUUUUCCAAUUUUAUGGUUAUUUUCUCGCCCUUAUGCCACAUUCUUUUGAUCAAAUAAUACAGUAAAACUUUUCUAUAAUCAUAAUAUUAAAGCCAAAUUAGCUUUAUUUAUGUAAAGAGGCUAUAGCUUAAUAAAGGUAAAAUUAUAAAAAUUAUUAUUUUGACUCAGUUAUCUUUAGUGUAAGUGAUAUAAAGUAUAAAUAUAUGAUAAUUAAUUAAUGAACUAUGUCAAAUACAAUAUGCUGACAAUGAUAAAAAAGAUAGACAUAAUUUCAAGAAACUAAUACAUAUAUUUAUGUAGUGCUGGGAUUAUACAAAAUCAUCUUAAAAGUGUAAAGUAUUAUUCUGAUUAAUUUAAAAUAAUUAUUAUUGGAUUCAAAUCAUGUCCUAGGCAUUUUUUCUUCUAGUUGGAGCUUCCAUUUGUUCUAGAGAUUCAAAGGCAGCAAGCUGCUUCCCCAGUGCUACUAAUUCUUCCCCGGCAUUGCAUGUGUAGCCUGAGGCUUGUCUACCAGACAAAGUUGCUCCUUCCAUACUAUCUAUGUAAUCCUGUGAGAGUGAAACCAUUUAGAAGACAUAUCUCUUUUUUUCCAAUAUUUGGAAUGAAACAAUUAUAUACAGUUACCUGUUUUGUAUAUGAGCUGGCGAGGAAGAAGUUCUUCACUGGUAUCUUUUGAUCAGGUCUGAAGGGGUCUUUACCAGGUCCCUCACCUCACAAAGAUUGCCGGAUUUUGACGACAGAUAACCAAAUAACUUCUAAACCUUGGGAUGAUGGAAAUAGAGCUAAAACCUAAUAAAAGGAACCGUGAAUGGAUAGUAUGGAUUCAUGUAUAUUAUCCAGAAAGUUGCAUGACCUUUUGUGGUACUCAGGUCACUAAAAAACGUGAGAUAAACAUCUAGGAUAAGAAAAGCAAAAAAGCAUAACCUAAUACGUAUUAUAUGAAUUGAAGGUGUCACUGAACACUACUAACCUGCUUUGCCACUCUCCUUAUGAUUUCAUCAUUUGAUAAGGGCAUAUAAGGAUCUCCAGGCGUCAAAACGCAUCUGAAAGAUAAUAUGGUUAUAGGAAGCAAGAUGGAAUACAAAGACACUUGGCAAAAGGAAGUCAAUCAGAUUCCAUGCACAAAAAAUAACUAAUAAUGACGAGGAUAAGAAAUGUUUCUUACUGGAGAAAUGAACCUUGCCCUUCUCUGUAGUAGUAUUCUGGUGAAGUGAGUGCUAGAUCUGCAAAGCAAGGGAAAUCUGCAUCUGGAGUAUAUAAAAGGUUAUCUAGCCCCACAGCUUGCUUCUAUUGCCUACAUGUUCAAUACAAGGAUCCGUUAAAAAAUGGAAAUUUCUUCAAUGCAUUAGUAAAGGGGAGUGAAGUGAAAGCUGAUUUCUUAGGCCUUCACAGAGCAUCUUGUGUUUGACAGCAAGCACUAAAGAAUAAACUCAAAGUCAGUGCUUCUAACAGAUGAUAUAAACAACAAAUUUACAAAUAUCAGGUCAUUGCAUUAGCUCCAUGCCUCCAUCAGAGCGAACAUUAAUAGAUGCGUAAAAAAAAAAUAAGAGCCAUAUGUGAAACAAUUUACCUUAGACAUGGCAAGUCCUUUGACAAAUGUUUCCCCGUUAGCAAAUUUAUCAUAAUGCAUCUCUCUGCAUCCCCACCUAAGAUGGAACCUGUUCUCACAAGAACAGACUCCAAGGUUGGGAAAAUCAAUUGAUCAUCGGAGAAAACAAACAGGAUUAACAAAUCACUACAAUGGUGUGAACCCGUAAAUACAAAUGUACCUGCCCCCUUUAUUUGCGAUAUAUUUUCUUAUUGGCCCAAUCAAAUAAACAUCCGGAGAACCCUUGAGCAUCUGUAAUAGGGAAGCCUCGGUCUUAGUCGCAAACAGUGCAAAUAUAGUAUGCAUACAACGAGCAAUGAUGUUAUCACAAUCAAUAAACCCAAGGGCAAACGCAACAGAAUCUUACAUUCUUUGGAUACUCAUCCAUGUACCACCCUUGGACAAAAACCAAUCAGAGAAGCUUAUCUGUAAGAAGAAAUGAAGUUUUAGGUAAAAUAAAAAUUUGUAGGAACAGGGAUUGAAAUUCAACAAACAAGAGCAAUAGCAUUUCUUGAUUUAUCAUAAGUCUGCACUUGAAAUUCAAGAAGUGCCUUUACAACAGGACUCAGCGCAAGAGCAAUAGCAUUUCUUGAUUUAUCAUAAGUCUGCACUUGAGCAAUAUACGAGGCAAAGUACAUCAAAAGAGAAUCCAAAAGAGGCAAGAAGCUUCAACAUGAAAAAAGGAGUACUGCCUCGUCAUACUGCUUUGCAAUCACAGUGCAAAAGAUAACAUCAACAAAAUCAAAAUCGAGCAUAAAUCCGUAUGCACUACCUUAAGCUGAUUUGUAGACAAAAAUGCAUGAAUCCCAUGUAAUGGAGCUCUAAUCGGAAACCGGAAAUCAAGUUCUGGAGUUGAAAAUCAAAAUCAUGAAUCAAAUCAGAGUUGUUAUUGAAUUAGACAAUCCAUAAACCAAUAGAAGGUGAUGUCAAACCAUCAAGCAUAACUAUUAGUUGUUUUAAGUGAUCAAGAAAUAACUAUACCACCAAUUUCACCACCCUUAUUUACAAAUUUAUGAGUAUGAUCCUUCAUGAGUAAAUUUUCGUCCGCACCGACCUGUCGACAUCCAUGAAAAACUAUCAGAUCAUAAACACAGGUUCCAGUUAAAGAGGAUCUAUGAUUCUGAUCCAUCAUGUUAUUUGAACAACAUAUUCGGAUUUUCUUACAACCCUAAGCUUUUAUCAGUUAUCAUCGCUACAAAUGAUAUGGUCAAGAGGAAUGAUAGUUCUUGUUUCAAGAAUCUCAAAUCGUAAUUCUUUUGCAUGGCUUCUGUGCUUUUAUAAUCAUUCAAACACGCAUAUCCACAACUAAGCAAGCUUUACCUUUUUUGUCAAUCGGAACAGAUUAUUGUAGCAUCCAAAGAAAACGUGCAGGCUGAUUUCAAUAUGGUUUCCACGUUUACAGACAAAUGAAGCCACUUUACCACCAAUAAAAGACCUCAACUCAUAUAUAUCCACCUGGAAGAAAGGAAAAGUUUAAAAAAAAGGAAUAAAAAUUCUUCUAAUUUCUUUCACCAUCAACAAAAUCAGAAAAACACAUACUAAUUCAAAAUGAAAUAAAGUUUGUGAAUUGAAAUAAUGCCAACUCCUAAGAAAAAUUAUGACUGCUGAUAUUUUUUCCGAAAUGCUGAUAAAAGCUUCUGCUAUUUACUUCGAAAAAAUUGAGGUUAGAAGCCUAUUUACUUGAAAUUUUGAGUUUAGGCAAGAGGAUGAAUGGUAAAAGUGAAACAUUUUAGGGAAAAAUGUACGUCAGAGGCCAAUGAAAGCAUUCAGAAGAUUGAAAUCUAAAUGAGCAAAACCCCGUGGCCUUGAUCCAACAAAUCCACUGCUGUUGACAUGCCUGCAAGCCCAGCUCCAAUAAUAGCCACUCUCAGCUUUGGUCCUCUAUAAUGUUCCGGUUCUGGUAGAAACAAACCCUUGGGAGCUGCCAAGUAUACCAUCCAAUUAUCCACAGCGAUAAUGGAAAUAUAUAUGUGUUUAAAGGUACUAAAUUCCUAAACAUGAAAUGUAUCCAAAGAGAGACACAAAGCAGAAUUGUGAAAGCAUUUCAAUUCCCAAUAAAUUUUAAGAAUACAAAAUACUCGGUCUGUUCCUCAAUUCCUUUAAUAAAAUUUCCACUAGAGGCUACGGAAGCCACUCAAUAACACUCCAAAGCCAGAUUUUAAACGUUAUCUUUAUCUUUAACUCCAAUCCAUAAACAAUUCUGCCACAAAUUCAAUCCAAAAUUGUUCAAGUGCACCGCCAAUUCUCCGUCAAUUCCCUCAAAAAUUCAUAAUUGGCAAACACUACAAACCCAAAAGAGCUUCCAGCAAUAAACGCAUAAAAAUCCACCAAGCAACAGAAAACAAAAUACCCAGAAACCAGAAAAGCCAAAAGAUCAAUGCUUGGCAAACAAGCAAAUCAAAUAAAACAAAAAGAAGAGAAAUUUACCAUUAACGCUCAUAUCAGAAACAUUAGCGUCCAAAGAAGCCCGUACACGGAAUCUUGGACCCUUCACUUGAACCCGAGACCAUGUAACGCCAGUAACUGAAGUUGCAGGAAACAGAACUGAAGAACCCAUAUUGCAAAUCCUGAGCUGAAAUCAAAGAAAUUCAAUUGGAACUCAAUUCAGCUCAACCGAGCGGCGCUCUCUUUUGCUUCAAUAACAAAGUAUUUUUCUUUCAUAUCAACAAAGAUUUGUCAACAUCAACAAAAUUUAACUAAGAAACUAAAAUAAUGAGGUAUCUUUGAGUUUAAGAAUCUAACAAGAUGCUAAGGAAGAGAGUUUUGUCAGGGAACUGUUUCGGAGAGGUUGGCCAAGUGGUUCUUUGUUUUUUUCUUCUUUUUUGGCCCUUUUCAUUAAUACACAACAGUAGUACUCGUGAAGAGCACAAAAUGUUGGUGACUUUGUCACUAACGAUACCAAAGUGGAGUGACCAGAGCAACCAACUAAAUUUUAAAGAGAGGGAGUGAUAAGUAAUAUUUUCUUUGGGUGAUUAAUUAAUUUAUUAUCAAAUAAUUUUAUUUAUUUAAUUAAACGACAUCCUUAUCUUUGUACAAGGCUGAUGAAAGACGACGAUGUUGUGUUGUCACAUAUUUUUGGGCCGACCGUUUCUUGUUUCGGCUUAAAUGAGGCUUUUGUAAUUUUGUGCUGUUUUUUAACUGAGUAUUUUGUGCUAAAUUACGCCAAAGAAAAAGUGUAAUUGUUAAAAGAUCUGCUGACACUCAUAACCUCUUAAGCGGAAUUUAUAAUGUGACAGUAUUGAUAUCUAAGUUCAUAAUAUCUAUGGGAGUGAUAAAACGAAUAAAUGAAUCGAAUCGUAAAUGAAUUUAGUUAAAAUUUAAUGGAUUUGAAUUCGAUGUGUUAUCAAGCGAAUCAUAAUUUUAAGAUUCAAACUCAAUUCAUUUAUUUAAUGGAUAUCUAUUUAAUUCGUUUAUUGUAAAAACUUAAACAAAUUGAGUUGAAUUUGGAUUCGUUUACAAUUUGUUUAAUUCAUUUAUGCAAAAUUAAUAAUAAAUCAAUCAAAUGUGGAUUUGUUUAAAAAAUAAUAAUAAUUAAUAAAAAAAAUAAAGUAAAAUAAAAUAUAAAAAAUCAUAAAAUUAACAACCUACAAAAUACAAACAAAUUAGUGACCCCAAACUCGGAUUCGAUUCAUUUAUUUAAUGAAUUGAAUUGAAUUCACUUAUUUGUUAAUGAAUUAUUUUUUUAAAAUUCAGACCUAUUUAAUUUGAAUCUAAUAAACAAAUCCUAACCUAAAUUGCCAUCUCUAAAUAUGAUGGACCUACUUAAAAUAUAUGAAUACCAAAAUGUGUGGGCUAAAAAGUGGUUUACCAUGCAGCAAUAAGAAUUUUAAGCUCUCUUUUCUUAUGUCACCCAAGGCAUUGGCUGGAUGGCCAAACAGCAGAGUUCAAGUCUACAAUAGAGAAUCGAAAUUUUCCUUUGUAAAUGUUCGUAAGUAUUUAGCAUAGAUUUUUAAGUUAUUCUUGAUAGAUCCCCUACCACAUACGCUAUAAUAUUUCUCUUCUUUUAAUUUAAAAGUAAAUCAUGCAUAAUAACGGGUUUGUAAAGAAAUGAAAUUUCUGGUAAUUAACUGUCAAAAAAAAAGGAUGGAUUAAGCGAAAGAAGUUAAUAUAGAGUUAAGUCGAGUACUUGACAAUAGGGGUGUUCGCGGAUCGGAUUUUACAGAUUAGACAUCAAUCUAUAUCUGAUCCAUAAUUUUACGGAUUAUAAUUUUUCAAUCCAAUCCAAUCCACAGAUUGAUAUAAUUCAAUUCAAAUCCAAUCCAUACAUCUGCAGAUCGGAUGCGAAUUUGACUCAAUCCAUAUCCAAUCCAUAAGUCUGCGGAUCGGAUGCGGAUUUGACUCAAUCCAUAUCCAAUCCACCAUUUUGCGCAUUAGUUUUCGAAUUAAAAAUUUUUAGUUCUCUCCAACUAAUGAAAUAAAAAAAAAAUCUAAUAUAAAAAUAAUUUUGCUACCAAUUAAAUUUAAAAUUGAAUAAAAUUUAAAUAAAUUAAUUGUUUAAAUAAAGCUAAAAAAAUACAUUUAAAAUUUUAAAAUAUAACACAUCGAGACUAAUUAUUCAAAUAAAGCUACAAUAAUACGUUCAAAGUUUCAAAAUAUAAUACACCAAGCUUAAUUGUUCAAAUAAAGUUACAAUAAUACGUUAAUAUAACACCGAAAUUAAUUAUUGAAAUAAAGCCACAAUUAAUUGAAAUGACGAAGCUUCGGAAACCAAACACAGUCUAAUCCUUUACCAGGGCUGUUGCGCUUGUCGAAAAGUGGUGAUUACGGAGCCGUCCACGAUGGGAACUAGGAGAAGUCGUCGAGUGGCAAUCUUGAAGGUUGUGAUAAUGAAAUUGUUCAGCUGGAACCAGUGAAUGUGAAGUGGCUCGGUGGACUUGGGAAAGAAGAUGGCUUGCUCUCGCUGUAAUCGCGCGGCCGAUGUCCUUCAAAUCCGUGUCGAGAGUGUAUCCAACCAGUAUUGAAUGUUGCUAGUGUGUGUCAUGGCGGGGAAGCUUAGGGUUUUUUGUUUGCAAAUUAUUUGUGACUUAGCGUCAUGUUACUUUACUUUUGGGUGACUUUGCAAAUUGUUGGUGAUUUGGCGUUAUGUUACUUUGCUUUUGCUAAUGUGUGUGACUUUGCUUUUAUUUUGUUUUACAAUGUCUACAAGUUAUAUUUGUAUAUUUGAUUAUUUAAUUAUUUUUUAUUUUAUAUUAUUAUUGGGUAAUGGCUAAGAUAUGUUAUAGUGUUUAUGUAACUAUGUAAUGUCACAUUUAUAAUUUUUUUAAUUAAAUUUAUAAUAAUUUUUUAAUUAUAUAUAAAUAUAUAUAAUUAAAAAAUUAUUAUAAAUAUAUAUAAUAUUAUUAGAAACUAUUAACAACGGCACAAAAUGCCUGUGAUAAUGAAACAAUGUGCCAUCCUUAAACUAAUAUUAUUAGAAACUAUAAGUGAAAGUUUUCAGAAAACACGCACGUGAUAAGUUUUCUCCUUUGUUUUGAUUUACGCGAGAGAUAGUUGUAAAGCGUAAAAUUUUAAAAUCCGUAACAAAACAAAAACUUACAUGGGUUGGGCGCACCAUGUGCAUACCAAAUUAGAAUAAUUGACGAAUCGUAAUAAAAAAUUUAUAUAUAAGAAUUGAAUGAGAUCCAUGGUUCACAAUUGCAAAUUAAAGGUUGGUUUUAUAAUAAAAAUCUUUUUGUGCAUACCAAAUUAGAAAAGAUUAUAAGUAAAUUAAGAUUUUCAAAAUUUGACUAGUAUUAUAUUACGUUCAUCAAUAAAAUAUAAAUUUGUUAUAUAUAUAUUUUAUUCUGUAACCAAUGCUUUCAAAAACUUUAUACUUAUAUGUUUGAACAACUUUUUUCGUUUUCUAUUUAUAUACGAUAUCAUUUAUGUUUACAUAAAUUUUCAUAUGUACCCAAAUUAAGCAUUAAAUACACACACUUUGGUAAGACACAUUAAUUUCUAGUAUCAGACAAUGAUAUUAUAUUGAAUGUAAUGCUUCAAUGAAUUUUAUUACUAUAUACUAAAAUACUCAACGAUCUCCAUUAAAAAAAGAAAAGAAAUUGCAUGAUUAGAAUGAUUAAAGAUCAUUUGAUGAGGAGUUUCAUCAUUAACUGUGUCGAAACACAGCAGCAAUCCACAAUACACUUAACAGGAGAGGGGCACACAAGCAUGCAUGAAUCUUCCACCAUUAAACCUGAAAUCAUAAAAUAAAAGAAACAAGAUGAGUGUUGUUUUACGGUCUGAAAGCCGAUUCCAAUUAAUAAUAAUAAUAGUAAUAGUAAUAAACCUUUGUUAAUAAUUACUACUAGUUGUCUCUGCCUUUUGCAUCUUCCUCCUUUGUAUCAUCGUCCUCUUCCAAUCACACGGCUAGACCAGUAUGUCUCGAGAAUCUUUACUGCCUUCUCAGAGAUCCCGUUGACGUCACGACUUCGUAGAUUUUCAAUCUUUUCUAAUCCCUCAGCCUCCUCAACCAACUGGGCAUAUUGAUUAAAAUCUCCAACGGCGGUACCCGUAUUCAUUUCAGCUACCCCGACCUUCAAAAUGUUCUCUAAUCCUUCUAAGCAAACAGUGACGAUCUUUGGAUCAGCACAUUGAAGGAGACCACACAAUGGUUUUAUACACCCCGUUCUCACGAGGUACUUGAUUUGAUCAUGAGUGCCACGCGAGCUGGCAUUCGAAAUUGCCCAAGCAGCCUCCUUCUUUGUAUCAAAUUCAGCAUUUUGAAGUAGAUUGACAAUGGGACCAAUUAAGCCGGAAUCAAUUACCGCCUGAAUCUGCUCCCUGUUUCCAGCUGUAAUAUUUGAAAUAAUCCAGCUAAUCUUCUUCUUGAUGAUCUCUUCAUGAUUAUGGACUAAAAUGUCCAAAAAGUAUGGCAGUGCACCACAGUUAAUUAUAUACUGAGUCUGGAAAUCAUCUCCCGUCACAAUAUUUCCAACAGUCCCCAGGGCAGGGGCAAGCACUGAGGAUGAUGAGUGACCAAGGAGCUCAACAAGUCGUGGACAGACACCUGCCUCGAUCACAGCUUGAAUUUUGUCAUUCGUACCAUCAGCAAGAUACGCGAGUGUCCAACAGGCAUAUGUCAAGACCUCUUCAUCGUUUGAACGAAUAAGCUGUGCAAGCGCCGGGAGAGCUGGCCUUACCUGAUCAAAUGGUGGCUGUGGCAUGCCCCUGCAUAAAUUAGACAAUGUCCAUGUGGCAGUUCUCAGCAUUGAAAGCUUAGUGUGGUCCUUUAAUUGCUCCAGCACUGGAAUCAAAGCUUCUUCGCGAAGCACAAGAUUACGGCAUCCAAGUGAGUCACCACCAAUAUUUCCCAUUGCCCAAACAGCCUGCUCGCGGACAUCCUCACUUGGAGAAGCAAGUAGUUUCACAAAUAUUGGAACAGCACCGUCGUCAAUCACCACCUUAGUGUUCUCUGAAGUUCCAGAAGCAAUGUUUGUAAGAGCCCAAGCAGCCUGAAAAUGAAGUUGCGGAUAGUCUACCCUCAUAAGAAACUCAACAAAGCGCGGGACAACGCCAGAUUGUAUGACUUCAUCAAUUUGUGGACUCCUCUCAAUCGAAAGUAGAUUUCGGAACCAAGUAGUUGCUUCCAGCUGCAAGCCGCUGUCAUCUGACCAAACCCCAGCAACCAUCCUGUGAAAACUCGCGUACUUGUUUUAGGAGCAGGAGCAGGAGGAGGAAAUUAAGUUAGGGAUUUGGAGUGAGAGUGAAGGUGGAGAAAAAGCAAGAGAGGGAAAAAGUUGAUUGUUGAGAAAUAUAUACCUUUCGUAUGGUUGUGUUAAGGUCGUCCUUCCAAUCCCAACAUGCUUCACCCCGCCGCUCCACUUUGUGUAAUUUGGGUGUACUUAAUUUUCCUUCAGAGAAAAUCUUCAUAUCGGGGCAAUCAUCCACCACUAAUCUUUCCAAAGAUGGGAAAUUGAAAGCACAAUUGCCAGAGCAGAAGCUUGUCAGACUUUCUAAGAGUAAAAGCUUCAACUCCUUCAAUUCUCUGAAAGUAAUAACCUCAUCUUGUGCUACAACAUCAUCCCCCAGUACUAUUUCUUUUAUCUUAUCGCAUGAUGCUAUCUCCAUAUAUCUAAGUCUCACCAGAGUCUUUGCAACUGAGGAUGUUAUUACGAUUUUCAAGUUGUUGCAACGCGAUACCACCAGAUUUGUAAGAUUCUGAAAGGAUGUCGACGAUGGCACUAGAUUGACCAAACGGUCACACCCCUUUACACGUAGAAUAACCAAGUUGUUCGUAACAGAGGACUCCUCUAUCAAAAUGUGCUCCAGUUGAUAUUUUGCUUCUAUUAUUUCUACCCUCAUCCCAUUUUCAACCUUCUCUUCCGGCAACCAAGCAUCAAGUCCUCCUAUUUGGAGGAGUUUCAUUGUGUGAAGUCUCUGGAGGAAGUCACCAAGCGAUAAAAUAGUCCGCUCAUCAUCCAACUCCACAAAAAUAUAUUUUAGUUUGCAAAGCAAGUCUUCAGAAAAUAGAUAUUUAUUUGUUACUACGUGCUUUGCAUCAACUUUCAACUCUUCCAAAUUAGGGAAUACCUGGGAGAUUGAUCAGAGCCCAAAAAAAAAAAAAUACAAGAUGAAUCAAUUGAUGAGAAUUAUAAGUUACCACUAAUUUAUAAAAUAUAUUUUAUAAAUUAGAAUAAUUAUGAAUGAAUACUAUACACUAAUCUAGAAUAAUUAUGAAUGAAUACUAUACACUAAUCUGUAAGAGAGUUACGUUGCUAACAAUUUGACUUUUAGUAAGAAACCAAGCGAUAAAGGCAAAGGCAAUAUAACUCUAAACUCUAUGAUAUAAACUCUCACAGAAUAAGAAUUGAAAAAUUGAUUAUAAAAUUCUUGUACGUACCCUUUCCGUGAAGAUACUAGUAGUUCUUUUGUAUCUCGCCAUGAAUUCAGGACAUGCAGAUAUCCAUAAUUCUUUCAAGGAUGGAAAUUCAAGAAUAUCAAGAUCUCCAGUGCAGAAGCUUGUGAUCUUUUCAAGAUCAGACAUCUCCAGAUAUUGCAACAGAGGAAACAUUACAAUAUUAUUCUUCCUUUCUUCUUGGUUGUCCACGACUAUUAACUCUUCCAGGACAGGACAUUUACUUAUCUCAAUGCUUUGGAGUCGAACAAAGCUACUAACAGUAGAAGAUGAAAAUAGACAUCUUAAAUUCAUACAUCCGUGUAGGAUCAAGCGUGUUAAAUUCUGAUUACCACAAGACAUGACUGUAACUGGGCUCAGCCGAAUCCUCCCAACAUUUAUUGAAUCCAACGUCAACUUCUCUAACUCUGGUAACCGAACCUGCUCGAACAAAAAAUUAACUUGUUAAUUGCAAGUAAACGAUCAUUGAUUAUAAAAUUCUUGUACGUACCCUUUCCGUGAAGAUACUAGUAGUUCUUUUGUAUCUCGCCAUGAAUUCAGGACAUGCAUAUAUCCAUAAUUCUUUCAAGGAUGGAAAUUCAAGAAUAUCAAGAUCUCCAGUGCAGAAGCUUGUGAUCUUUUCAAGAUCAGACAUCCCCAGAUAUUGCAACUGAGGAAACAUUACAAUAUUUUUCUUCCUUUCUUCUUGGUUGUCCAAGACUAUUAACUCUUCCAGGACAGGACAUUUACUUAUCUCAAUGCUUUGGAGUCGAACAAAGCUACUAACAGUAGAAGAUGAAAAUAGACAUCUUAAAUUCAUACAUCCGUGCAGGUCCAAGUGUGUUAAAUUCUGAAUACCACAAGACAUGACUGUAACUUGGCUCGGCCAAAUCCUCUCAACAUUUAUUGACACCAACUCCAACUUCUCUAACUCUGGUAAUGCAACCUGCACGAUCAAAAAAUUAACUUGUUAAUUACAAGCAACAAUGAUUUCUGUUGAUGGACAAAUCAAUAAAAUUACUCUUUCUCUGGUUAUAGUUCUUUUCAGUUUUUCAUACAAACAACCGUUAAUCAAGUUUUCCAAAUUAUUCCUUACUAAAUGUAUAGAUUUAGACGGCGGCUAAUAUAAUUCAUAUUGCAAAUAUUUUUUGAUUGUAACGAAUUUUGUAAUAUUAAAUUUUGGUUGAUUAACAAUAGGACCUACUGUCCAGCGCGAGCAGUUCUCGGGAUUUAACUACUGGCACCUCGAUUAUAUAAAAAUUUGGAAUAUUUUCAAAGGAAAUCACAUAAUUCCCCCUUGCAAAUAGUAAUUUCAUUAAUUGCCGCGGGUUCACAUAUAAUUCUAAGAAAUUAGGCGAGAAGAGUCUCAUCAACAAUCAAUCAGCAGAUAUCACGUUUGGCAGAUCAUCAUGAUUUCCUCAGAUGCUAGAGAAUCAAAGUGAUUUCCGCUCAUGCAGGAGUGGACACAUUAUCUUAGAGCAUACCUCACUGAGAUCUUUUAAAAAAUUUAUAUUAUAAAGUGAACAACAUAUUUAGUAUAGAUUUAGACGGCGGCUAAUAUAAGUUAUAUGUAUUCUAAUGACGUAUAUUAAAGAAAAUGACUAACCAUAAUUUCAAUCAACUUAUUAGUCUAUAUAUAUAUAUAUAAUAUAUAUUCAGCGAUUACAACAUAUUUAGUAUUCCAUAACAUGAUGUUUAUAAUAAUAAUUAUUAUUAAUUCACUUAUUGUGUCAGAGUACCUUUUCUUUCUCUAAGAAUGUAUUUGUUACACCCCACUAUACUUCGGAUGAAAAAUUUAGAAUAAUUGUGAAAUAUAAUUAUUAAUCACUCUUUGCCAUAUUUGUUACCAAACAGGAAUAUAACAAAGAAAAAAAACAAAAAUUAUAGAGAAUUAAUAAGACGAUUGACUUAUUAAUAACUGACCUUCUCAGGGAAAAGCGUAUUAGAAAUUUGGACAUUGUCCUCCAAAAUGAUUUCAUGUGACUGCAAAUCAUUAGCUGAUUCCUCUUGUCUCUGUUGACAUUGCAGGUGUCUUGAUUUAAGAGUGUAAACUUAAUUGUGAACACAAUCUUAAUUAAUGCACUUGUCUCUGUUUUACAUUGCAGAUGUCUUGAUUUUAGAGCGUAAACUUAAUUGUGAGCACAAUCUUAAUGCAUAGAUAUAAAAUCUUUAAAAAUGAGUACAAUCAACUUAGCACUAAAUCCAAAUUUGAUAUUUUGGAUUCCAUGAUUAAGAUUUUUUAAAUAAAAAUUUAAUAGAGUUAAUUUAAAAAUAAAAAUUAAAUGUGAAAAAUAAACUUGCAAUUAUGGAUUUAAUUUUGAUAAAUAAUGAGGUUCCGCCUAUGUUGCAACAGUUGCAACAUACCACUUCUUUUGUCAUUUUGUAAUUUAGCCAUUGGAUCCAAGACAAGAAUGGUAAAAGCAAAUCUAACGGCAGAGUGUAUUUAUUUAGGUUAUUUUCAUUGUAAUCCCUCUUGUUUUCUGAAAUGUCAGGAAAAAACAUAAUUAUUAUUUUUUUAUUUAUUGGCUUAGUUGUUAAAUGAUAUGAAUAAGAAGUAGGAAAUUUAAGAGGACUUUUAUUAUUGAUAUUAUGUAAUUACAAUGCAUGAUUCAAUACUAGUUUAUAAGAGUCACAACUUGUUAAAUAUAAAAUAAAGUUUAUGUUUGCAUCCUAACUUCAAAAAGAUAAAUACGUUUAUUUAUUCCACAAAUUAAUAAAUAUUUCAUAUUUUUUUAAUUAUUACUAUCAUUUCUAGAUCUACUCUCAUUAUGUAAAUUUAUUAAAAAUUAUAUUUAAUUAUUAUUUUAUAUUAAUUAUUAAUAUAUAAAUAUAAUAUGAUAUAAUAAAAUAAUAUUAUAAUAUAAUUUAUUUUUAAUAUUUUAAUUAUUAUAGUAAAAAUAAAAAUAUAAUAAAAAUAUAUUUUUAAUAUUUCAAUUAAGAAAAAUUUUAGCACAUUGUAGUGAAUUAUAUAAUUGACCACAAUCUAACUUUUAAAACUUCCAAACAUAGGUAAGUAAUAAAUUAAUGUGAACAAUAUUAUAACAAUAUACAAUACUGUGUUCUAAACACAUUCUAAUGGUGCGUUUAUUAAAUAAGAAUCGAAAUGAGCUAGAAUCAUAAUAAGGAAUCGGAAUGAACAACAUUCCCAUUGAUGUGUUUACUUUUUUUUAUAAUUGGAAUAAACUAUUAUAAGUUAUUAAAAUGCCCUUUGAUAAUUGUGUCCCUAAUAUUAUUUGUAUCUAUUAUAAUUAAAACAAUAAUAAUAAUAAUAAAACUAAAAAUAAUAAUUAUGAAAAUAAUGUUAAUUAAAACAAAAAAUUAAUAAAAUUUAACAACAAUAAUAAUAACAACAACAACAAAAUUAACUGAAAUAAUAAUAUUAAUAAUGAUAAUAAUAAUUAUUAUUAAUAAGUUUUAAUAAUAAUAUUAUUAAUAAAAAUAAUAACAACAUUAAUUAAUAAUAAUGAAAAUAAAAAAGUUAAUAUAUUUUAAUAAUAACAUUAAUUUUAAUCAUAACAAGAUAAAUAUUAAUAAUAAUGAAUUAAUUACAGUAUAAUAGCAAUUAAAAUAAUAAAAGUAAUAAAUUUUAAUAAUAAUAAUAAUGACAAUAAUAAUCAUAAAUAAUAAUAAUUAAAAUAAUAAAAUUUAAUAGCAAUAUAACUCUUAAGCUUUAUGAUUUAAACUUUCACAGUACAUACAUAAGAAUUGAAAAAAUGAUUAUAAAAUUCUUGUACGUACCCUUUCCGUCAAGAUAUUAGUAGUUCUUUUGUAUCUCGCCAUGAAUUCAGGACAUGCAGAUAUCCAUAAUUCUUUCAAGGAUGGAAAUUCAAGAAUAUCAAGAUCUCCAGUGCAGAAGCUUGUGAUCUUUUCAAGAUCAGACAUCUCCAGAUAUUGCAACUGAGGAAACAUUACAAUAUUAUUCUUCCUUUCUUCUUGGUUGUCCACGACUAUUAACUCUUCCAGGACAGGACAUUUACUUAUCUCAAUGCUUUGGAGUCGAACAAAGCUACUAACAGUAGAAGAUGAAAAUAGACAUCUUAAAUUCAUACAUCCGUGCAGGAUCAAGCGUGUUAAAUUCUGAUUACCACAAGACAUGACUGUAACUUGGCUCGGCCAAAUCCUCUCAACAUUUAUUGACACCAACUCCAACUUCUCUAACUCUGGUAAUGCAACCUGCACGAUCAAAAAAUUAACUUGUUAAUUACAAGCAACAAUGAUUUCUGUUGAUGGACAAAUCAAUAAAAUUACUCUUUCUCUGGUUAUAGUUCUUUUCAGUUUUUCAUACAAACAACCGUUAAUCAAGUUUUCCAAAUUAUUCCUUACUAAAUGUAUAGAUUUAGACGGCGGCUAAUAUAAUUCAUAUUGCAAAUAUUUUUUGAUUGUAACGAAUUUUGUAAUAUUAAAUUUUGGUUGAUUAACAAUAGGACCUAGUGUCCAGCGCGAGCAGUUCUCGGGAUUUAACUACUGGCACCUCGAUUAUAUAAAAAUUUGGAAUAUUUUCAAAGGAAAUCACAUAAUUGCCCCUUGCAAAUAGUAAUUAUCAUUAAUUGCCGCGGGUUCACAUAUAAUUCUAAGAAAUUAGGCGAGAAGAGUCUCAUCAACAAUCAAUCAGCAGAUAUCACGUUUGGCAGAUCAUCAUGAUUUCCUCAGAUGCUAGAGAAUCAACGUGAUUUCCGCUCAUGCAGGAGUGGACACAUUAUCUUAGAGCAUCCCUCACUGAGAUCUUUUAAAAAAUUUAUAUUAUAAAGUGAACAACAUAUUUAGUAUAGAUUUAGACGGCGGCUAAUAUAAUUUAUAUGUGUUCUAAUGAUGUAUAUUAAAGAAAAUGACUAACCAUAAUUUCAAUCAACUUAUUAGUCUAUAUAUAUAUAUAUAUAAUAUAUAUUCAGCGAUUACAACAUAUUUAGUAUUCCAUAACAUGAUGUUUAUAAUAAUAAUUAUUAUUAAUUCACUUAUUGUGUCAGAGUACCUUUUCUUUCUCUAAGAAUGUAUUUGUUACACCCCACUAUACUUCGGAUGAAAAAUUUAGAAUAAUUGUGAAAUAUAAUUAUUAAUCACUCUUUGCCAUAUUUGUUACCAAACAGGAAUAUAACAAAGAAAAAAAACAAAAAUUAUAGAGAAUUAAUAAGACGAUUGACUUAUUAAUAACUGACCUUCUCAGGGAAAAGCGUAUUAGAAAUUUGGACAUUGUCCUCCAAAAUGAUUUCAUGUGACUGCAAAUCAUUAGCUGAUUCCUCUUGUCUCUGUUGACAUUGCAGGUGUCUUGAUUUAAGAGUGUAAACUUAAUUGUGAACACAAUCUUAAUUAAUGCAUAGAUACAAGAUGUUUAAAAAUUAGUAUAAUAAACUUAGCACUAAAUCCAAAUUUGAUAUUUCGGAUUCCAUGAUUAAGAUUUUUUAAAUAAAAAUUUAAUAGAGUUAAUUUAAAAAUAAAAAUUAAAUAUGAAAAAUAAACUUGCAAUUAUGGAUUUAAUUUUGAUAAAUAAUGAAUGUUCUCUUUAUAUAUUUUUUUAAAAGGUAAAAGAGCGUACAAAACCCAAAUUCAUUUUUUUAGUCCCUUACUCUCCCAUGAUUCAAACUUCACUUUUUUUUUCUUUUUCUUUUUUUUCUUUUUUUGUUGAGAGAAAAGAGAAGAAGGAUAUUACAAAGCAUGAAGCUCGUGCAAUAUAAGGGCAAUUAUGGUUUUUUCUUUAAAUUAAAAUGGUAAGAUUCUGAAGCUAAAAGAUUAAAAUAUUAAUUAAAUUGCAAACAUUAAAGAUUUUUUUUCCAAAAUUGGUUGCUUUGAAAAUGAGAAUAAUAUAAUAUUUGAAGACUUUUUCAAAAUUAAUUACUGUGAUGCACUAGAAAUUUAUAGCUUUAGUCUAAUGUAUAAAUUGACAAAACGAUAUUAGAAUCCCAGGUGAAAAGAACCCUCUCAUACCAUUUUCUUAAAUUAGGAAUGAUCAUACCUCUGACUCUGCCGGACUGAGGGCGAGGCGUGAACCCCUCAUACGGAGACGCUUGAGAUGGGAAGAGCCUACUUUGACUAACUCGUUACGAAAAUAAUCGACAUCUUGCUCUUGCAAUCUACGUAAUUCAAGGUCUUCAAUUCUCUGCAGUUGCACGAUCAGCGAAUCCUUCAAGCGAAUCUUGUCAUUUAGCUCGAGUCUGAAUUCACGACACCAAAUGCCAGUGCUCUCCCAAUAUUCCCAACCCUCAUCCUCAUCCUCAUCCUCAUCAUCUCCAAUGCGGAUGAUAUGUAUGCUGUACCUUUCCAGCUUCUCCAAGAGCAGGCCUCUGGGCAGAGUGCCGACGUCAUAGACGUGUAAUUCCAAAGAGGUCAAGUUGGGUAAAUGCUUCAACUCCUCAAGGCUUGCAUUCUUAACCCCUUCCACCUCCACCUCCCAAUCGGCAAAGUCAAAGAGUUCACUAGCUAUAUAUAGUUCUUCUAAAUGGGAUAAUUUUGACAGUAUAUUUGGUGGAAUAACUUUUAGUGCAAAACAAUCUCUCAAAUCAAGCAACUUUAGCCAAGUCAAUUCACCUACUUCUACCGGCAACUUCUUAAUAUAAGAACCUCUUAAGCAAAGGAUUUCUAGUUUCUUCAAGUCUCCUACAACACUUAUAUCAGGCAAACUGCAGCGACACAAACUCAGUGUUCGAAGGUUUGACAGGAGACCAAGUGAUGGAGGCAGUGACCGUAUGUAAGUCAAGUUUACAACUCUGACCUCGAUCAUGCUCUUGAAAAGGUUGUCUGGAAUUGUUACUGGUGAGGUUUCGCAAGGAUCAUCACUAAUAAAAAGAAGUUCGAGCUGAGGACAUUCCAGUACUUUAGGAAGCAAAUUAGGCUUGAUAUCAUGUAUGACGAUUGAAGUGCAAUGCUUUAUUGCACUUCCGUCUGACCAUUCCCUGCAACCAUCAACCUGCUCAUUUGUAGCAGUAAACACAUUUCGUUCAGUAGAUGCAAUUGAUAUGGCGACAUCGCGAACUACAUCAUGCAUAGAAAACAACUCUUUCUUCUGGCUUAUAUGGUCAAGCAACAUACAAGAAGCUUUGAGUGUGCGCACCAAUGUAUGUACUCGAUUUCGUGCUGCUUCCAUCUUAUUCACACCUUGAAAUAAACUCAAUCCCAUACCACACAUUAACAGUUCGUCAAUAGAUGCUAUGGCUGUAUAUCCUAUUAGCAAAAAGAUGUUCUUCAGCUCCUCCCCUACCAAUUUGUCGUAACUCAACUUUAUGGCUUUAUAUGCAUCUGGCUGUACAUGCUUAAAAUUCGAUGAAGAGGGCCUUCCUAGUUUUUCCAAUGCAUCCUUCCAUUCCUGUAUGUUCUUGUUCCUUAAUGCCCUUGCAACCGUCACAAUGGAAACUGGCAGACCUGCACAUCCCUUUGCCACAUCCCUUGCUACCGAUUGGAAUUCACUACCUUCAAUAUAAUCACCUGCCAUCUUCUUGAAUAGAUUCCAAGCUUCUUCUUUGUUUAAAACACCAAUUGAGAAAUUUGUUCGACAAUCCAUCUUCUCAGACAAUACAUUUAGACUUCUGGCCGUCAACAAUACUUUACAACCAUCUCCAAGAGGAAUUCGGACACUCCCCAAAUUAAGAUUUUCCCAAAUGUUGUCUAAAACUAUCAGGAUCUUCUUCACUUUUUUUAUACCUUCAUAUAAGCUGCCUGCCCUUCCUUCAUCACUUUCCUCAUGCAACUUCAGGCCUAAUUUAUCUGCGAUUACUCCUUGAAUCUUUCGUAUGUCUUGAUUCUGAGACACCUCAACAAAAACCACCUGAUCAAAGAGUUUGUCACUCUUGACUUUCCUAGCAACUUCUUCGGCCAGCAUCGUCUUUCCGAUGCCACCCAUUCCAUAAAUCCCAAGCAUGUUGACAUCGCGAUCUUCUAGUGCACUGAGUAUACUCCUCAAAGUGGACAUUCUUGAUUCAAAGGGCUCGUAGUCUUUGUUAGGGAUAAGCCGAAUAUCCUCUGGAGCAGUACGGUAGGAAAUUCUAUCAAAUCUUCUAGCGUCCAGGACUUUGACAACAGCCUCCUUCUGCCUCUCUGCUUCCUUGCUAAGUCGACGGCGGGUCUUCAAAUUAGGUAUUAACCCCUUGAAACAACGCUUAUUUUCAAUGGCUUCAUCGUCUGUAAAUUUAUCUGCCUUAACAAUGACAUCAUUUGCCCCUUCGAGCCAAUUCUCAACGUUCUCUUCAAUCGCUUCCCCUUUUGUUUUAGCCUCAGCAACCCGGUGCUCUAUACUAACCUUCUCAGACUUCAGAUUGUCAACUUCAGUCUUGAGAUUGUCUAAGAUGCUCGUGUACUUACUCUCACGCAAAUAGCUAAUUUGGCGAUAUGCGGGAGGAGCCAAGCACUUCACAACUUCUACAACAAUAGUAAGAAUGAUUUCAGCCAUCUUCAAUCCUUUGUCCUUGUCUCUCUAUCUCUCUUUUUUCUGAAUUUGUGAAAAACAAUUGAUCCAGUUAGGAAGCACACUGAGUGAUUGAACACAAGUGACCACAACAAGAUGGAACAAAAUUAAAAGGAAAAAAAUAGAAAGAGUGGAUGGAGAAUAAAACAGAGACAGCGGCACAGCUGGACACAACUAGAUAGAGAACAGAGGAAAACCAAAUAACAAGACUUAAGAUUACAACAAACAGAGGCCAAGUAUUGUUGAGAUCAGAAGAUGGAAAAUUCAAAAGAGUUGAUGACAGAUGCUGAAUAACAGAACAACAAUGAACGCAAUAAACAGAAGCAAAGUGUGGUUGUGAUCGACAGACGGAAGUAAGGAAAAGCGGUUGUCGAUUGAAAAUGAAUGAAUGCAAGGAAAGACUGAUAUUGAAAAUUGACGUCAAUAGCGAAGGAAUAAUUGAACUUUCGCUUAAUUAUUGUUUGUGGCCUUGUUUUACUUUUUAUUUGUGGGUCAUGUCUUUUGGAACUAAUCAUCUUAGCUUAUGCUUUACAGCUUUAAGGCCAGUAACCGGUGUCCGUUGGAUAAGCAUAUAGAAAUCCAACGGUGGAUAUAUAUCCUUGGGAAUAAAAUUCAAGAGCAAAGGGAGUGCUGGGCUGCAGUUUCUUAAGGAGAUUUAUAUAUCCUCCUCAAAAAUAAAUGUUUUAAGGUAGAUAUUUAGACUAUUUCAUCAUAAAAUGAAUGUAAUUAAUUUUCAAUAAAUAUCUUAUAUAAAUAUUUAUUUAUUUUUUUAAUUACUAAUGACCUUUGAAUAUACAUAUAUACAUAUCACUAAUUCAAAAAUAAAUUGUGAUUAUUUGUUAAUAUAUGCGAUUACUUGUGAUGGUAAACAAAGUAGAUAUGGUAUAUUUUGAAGUUAAAUUAAAAAAAAAAAAAACAGAGCUUUUACCAUUACUUGCCUUAUCAUCUUUUAAAUUAGAAUUAUUAUUCUUUUAUUUUUCAAGUUGCCAACUCAUCCGCAUUCUCUUGUAUUGAAUUUGAAGAUCAAUGAUUAUAAAUUUGUGUGAAAAUUUUAAGUCAAAACUUUAAAUUAAAAUAAUCUUUAAGUUAUUGGGAAAUAAUACCUUAGUAUAACAAAUAUUAUAUCCUAUACUUUAUUGCUACAAAAUUACGAAACCUUAUAUUAUAUUAUGUUUCCAUAUUUCUCCUUUAUAGUGAAGACUCGUACUUCUUCUCUAAUAAAUGCUAAAGUAUUGGCUUAAAUUUUUUAACCGGCACAGUAGACCCUUAAGCUAUAUAUACUAUAAUGUCCCUCUUCUCUCACAGAUUAAACCAAUCUGAUCUCAGAGUGAGUUGAUACCAUGACUUUGCAUCAUUCGUGAUCAAAGGAGCAUCAUUACUAACUAAUAUAGGCUCGAUCAAUAGGCAUGAUAAUAAUUUUUUUUUAUCUACAAACACUAUUUUUCAAAAUAUUUUAUCUUAAGACUAACUAAAUAUUUUUUAACUAUGUAGAUAUAGGUUGUUUGAUCUCUUUUAAAUAGUGGAGAUUACAAACAAACGGAUGCGAAUUAGUAGUGAUGUUGAGUUCAGAAGAUUGAAGUUAAGAAAAUUAAGGGUUUCUUGAUCUAGGGAAAUUUCAAAAGAGUGAAGCGUCCUCAAAAUCGGAAGACGAAAAAUAAGGAAAGGGUAAGGGUGUAUUUUCAAAGUAAUUCUAUUAGUAGAUCUUUGAAGUAGGGGUGGGCAAAUCAGGUUAGUUCGGUUUAAAACGGAUUGAAACAAUUUAAUCCAAAAAUUCUACCAACAACCACUUAAAAUCCAAAAAUCUUAAUUCCAAACAUCCUUAAUAACAAAUAUCAACUACAAACCAUCAUUAACAAUAUUUCAACAAUAACAAUAACAAUAAUAACAACAACAACAACAAUAAUAAUAACAACUAUGAAUUAGCAAUUCAGCAUAUUGCCAUAUUCUAAAUUUAAAAAAAAAACACAAAUUAAUUAAUUAACAAUCUCCAAUUUAAUUUAUAAUAACAGCAAAAAUCCUCCCCAAUUUAAUUAAUAUCAGUCUCCAAUUAUUCAAUUAUCAGUCAAUAGCAACAAACCCACUCCAAUAUAAUUAUAACAAUCUCCAAUUGUUCAAUUAUCAGUCAACAACAACAAAUCCUCUCCAAUUUGUCACGAACAGCCUCUAAUUGUUUAAUUUUCAGUCAACAACAACAAACUCACUCCAAAUAAUUGAACAAUUGUUAAUUAAUUAAUUAAAAAUAUCCAAUUUAAUUAAUAACAACACCCAAGAGCAAGUCAGCAAUAAACCCACUCCAAAAUCCAAAUAUCAGUAUAAACUAAGUGUCAAACCUUGAUCGGUGGGAAGCUACAACGUCGGCAAAGCGUGACCAUGUGGGGCUGAGUGAGACCGUCGACCGAGGGUGUGUGAAGGGAGAAGAGGGAGCAGGGAGGUAACGUGGUGUGUGUGAGUUUAUAUAUAUAUAUUAAAAGCUAAAACUUAAAAAAAAAAAUUUAACUCAAUCCAAACGCACACCUAGAUUACUUCCGUUAAGAGCUGAAUCCCACACUCUUGAGCCUUUGUCGUUCCAGUCAACUAUAAAAACAAAUCAUUAUUGAGUGUGAACAGACUUAUUGAUCACCAAAUUUUCAAACUUGUCAUCCUUAUUGAAUCUGCGUUCCCUUUUAAUAAAAUUUAAAAAAGUACAAAUAAUGAAACAAAGUUAUGUUCCUUCAACAGUUGAUAGAGUUACGCGGCUUCAACUUGCAAGUCCAGUCGGCAUUUUCAAACUUGUAAUACCCUUACAACUUGCUUUCCAAGAUAGCUAUAAUUAAUAAUGACAAUAGUCUCCCCUAUAGCGACUAGUGAGCAACUUGUUUCGUGAAAUUAACGGCAUCUUCUCUCGCAUUUUAAAAAAAAAUUGAAUUAUAUAACCCACCAAAACUAUAAAAGAAUUGUUAGUUUUUCUUCAUUAAAAUUAAUAUAUUGCUCCUCAUAUUGAAAAAUCAAAAUUCAGAAUAAGAAUGAUUGAUACUUUUUAUUUACUAAAAUGAAAAUAAAAUAUAUGAAGCCUACAUAUUUUUUAAAUUAAAAAAUAAGAACUUUAUUUUCUACGGGGAGUGUUGGGAAUCAAGUUCUCAUUAUUUAAACUCUCAAUUGUACUUCAUCGAAAUUUCAUAAUUUCACUUUUGUUCUCAAUUAAAAUAUUAUUGUAGUUAUUAUUCUUAUUUUUAUAGUUGUUGUUGAUGAUGAUGGUGAUAAUGAUGAUGAUGAUGAUACAAGAUAAUAAAAUUAAUGAUAAUUAAACCAAUUUGAAUUCAGAGUGAGUGAGUACCAUUACUUCGCAUCAUUUGAUAUCAAAGGAGCAUCAUUACUAACUAAUAUAGGCUCGAUCGAAUUCAUUAUGCGAAGUAUAUUAUCGGCUGUAGGUAUGGAAAUAAAUUUUGUAUCCACAAACACUAUUUUUCAAAAUAUUUUAAGACUUGACUUAGCAUUUUUUAACCAUAUAUGUAUAGGUUGUUUGACCUAUUUUAAAUAGUGGAGAUUACAACAAAUGAACAGAUGUGGAUUUGUAGAGUUGUUGAGUUCAGAAGAUUGAAGUUAACAAAGGGUUUCUUUAUCUAGAGAAAAUUCGAAAGAGCGAAGUGUCUUCGAGAUCAAAAGACGAAAUAAGGAAAGGGUAAGGUUAUACUUUCAAAAUGAAUCUGUUGAGAGAACUUUAAAGAUUACUUCCGUUAAGAGCUGGAUCCCACACUUGAGUCUUCGUCGUCUCAGUCAGUCAACUAUAAGGACAAAUUAAUUUUGAGUGUGAAAGGACACAAUUGAUCACCAAAUUUUCAAACUAGUGAUCCUUAUUGAAUCUACAUUCCCAUUUGAAAAACAAUAAAAGAUUAACAUUAAUUUAACUUCAUCUAAAUUCCCAUUUGAAUCUGCAUUCCCAUUCCCUUGUUCUCUGGGAAUGCACAUAAUCAAACAAAAUCCUAUCCGCAUUUUCAAACUCGUGACCCUUCAAGCUUUCUAUGACAACUAUAAUGAAUAAUUACAACAAUGCUACCUAAUAGUGAGAACUUGUUUGAUGAAAUUAACAGCUUCUUUUCUCUCAUGUAUUUUAAAAAAAAUUAAAUUAUCAAAGUUUUUAUUUCAAAAUUAGUGCUAUAGUUCAUUAAUUUUUCAAAUUUUCCUUUUUCUUUCCACACAACAGAUUGAUUUGCCCUCCAAAAAAUGUAUUAUAUUGUUUAAUAUUGUAACUUCAAGAAACUUAUAAUAAAUUUUUAAAGAGAUAAAUAGAGAAUAUCAGUCUCCCAUCUACUCAAAAUUAAUAUAUAUCAUUAACUCUUGAUUAUUUUUAUAAAAACUAAUAACUUUUUUUGCAGCAUAAUUUUACAGUAUCAUCCUUGUUAGUAAGUAUAUUUUUAUUCAUAUUUAUUAUAAAUUAAUUAAAUCAUAUCAAUGAAAAUUGAAAUAAAAAUUGAAGUACUACAAAUUAAAAAAAUAUGUUUUGGUGUGAAUAAAAAAUUGAAAAUAAAAAUAUUUUUCUUAUAUUUUUUGUUAUUUUUAAAUUUUUCUUAUAAUAAAUGUAUAUUUUAUGUGCUCAACUUUUUCUUUAAAUUUUUGUUAUUAGGAGGAUUUUUAGAUAUAAUGAAAAUUGUAAAGUAGUAAGUAAUAUAUAAUAAUUUUAAUAGAGAAAAGUAAAAAAUCUCUUAUUUUAAAAUACAAGGAGAAAAAUAAUUAAUUUCAAGACAUUUUAGAAGAUAUUUCAAUAUGCGGUGGACCACAAACUCGAGUCUUUGUCAUCUCAGUCAAACUAAAAGGACAGAAUAUUGAGGGCAUGGCUAACGUGCAGAAGCUACAAGUAACAGCUUCGAACUUUCCCAUUUCCAUCACCUUGCAUUGGGAGUUUGGGACCUCUUUCUCUCUCCUCUAGCAGCCGUGGAAGUUCCCCAUUGGCUACUGUUACUUACAGAAGCUGUAACAUAGACUUCUCCGAAUAUUGACCGCGAAGGGCUCAAGUGAUUGUUCAUUUCACAGCAAUUGCCUUUUUUCUUUUUUUCUAAUUAUUGGGAAAUAAGAACUUAGUAUAACAAAUAUUAUAUCCUAUACUUUAUUGCUAAAAAAUUACAAAACCUUAUAUUAUAUUAUGUUUCCAUAUUUCUCCUUUAUAGUGAAGACUCAUACUUCUUCUCUAGUAAACGCUAAAGCAUUGGCUUAAACUUUUUAACCAGCACAGUAGACCCUUAAGCUAUAUAUACUAUAAUGUCUCUCUUCCCUCACAGAUUAAACCAAUCUAUCUCAUAGUAAGUUUGCAUCAAAGGAGUAUCAUUACUAACUAAUAUAGGCUCGAUCAAUAGAGAUGACAAUAAUUUUUUUAUCUACGAACAUUAUUUUUUCAAAAUAUUAUAUCUUUAGACAUAACUAAAUAUUUUUUAACCAUAUAUGUAUAGUUUGAUUAAAUAGUGGACAUUACAACAAAACAUAUGCGAAUUAGUUGUGAUGUUGAUUUCAGAAGAUUGAAGUUAAAAAAAUAAAGGGUUUCUUGAUCUAGGGAAAUUUCAAAAGAGUGAAGCGUCUUUUAGAUCAUGACGAAAAAAAAGAAAGGGUAAGGGUGUAUUUUCAAAGUGAUUCUAUUGAAAGAUCUUUAAAGAUUACUUUCGUUAAGAGCUGUAUUCCACACUCUUGAGCCUUUGUCGUCUCAGUCAACUAUAAAGAUACAUUAUUAUUGAGUGUGAACAUUCCGACUUAUAGAUCACCAAAUUUUCAAACUUGUGAUCUUCGUUGAAUCUGCAAUCCCUUUUGAAAAAAAAAAAAAAAAAAGGGGAAAACUGCAAAUAAUGAAACAAAAUUCUGUUCCUUGAUAGAGUUACGCGGCUUCAACUUGCAAGUGCUGUCGGCAUUUUCAAACUUGUAUGACCCUUCAACUUGCUUUCCAAGAUGGCUAUAAUUAAUAAUGACAACCGAAGACGGCUACGUUUGCGGUACAAAAGUUGCACCAUAUUAGACGUUCUUUUUUGUUCUUAUCCGAAGUAACCGUUGGAUUCAAAGGAAAGUGAUCAGACAUUCAAUAGCUUCACACGUGGACAUUAUAGGAUACCGGUCAAAUCGGUUAGUGCUCCUCCUCAAUCAAACUCACAAGCAUGGCUAUCAUCGUAUCAGCUUGGAAACUUGUUACAAGUGACUAAGAGCAACAGGGUCCGCUCCUCUAGAGUCGGUUAGUGCUCAAUAAUGUUACAGGUUUUAUAAUCUAUGUAACUGGUACGAUCGCUGUCUCAAGUGGUAAACUUUUGAGGCACAAAUUUAGAACGAAAAGUUCCCAAUAAAAUAAGUUAUUUAAUUAAUUAAAUAAGAAUAAAAUGAAUUUGUGAAAAAAAAUUUAAAUUUAAUUUUGAAUUAUUUUGACCAAAAUUUAAGUUUUUUUUUUUAAUUUGUUUAAGAAAAUGCGUUGUAAUUGUCUUGUUUUAAUUGGAAAAUCAAUGAAAAAAUUAUGUAAAAAAAAAAAGCAAAACGCUUUGUUUUGGAUGGAGGCCAUAGAUUCCAAUAUUUCCUUCACGAAAACUACAAAAAAAUUAUCAAAGGCAUCAAUUUCUACACUCUCACCGAGCAAUACUCUUAACCCAGAAGAAAGUGUAUAAACCAACCCCAAUCAGUCCAUCAAUGUCGUCAACCUCAUACAGCAUAAAAAAAAUAUGUGUCCAUUAAACCGUCUUUAUUGAGCCAUUAGACUAUUCGUAUCAUCUUCCCGUCUCGUUGUAGUAUUUUGCCGUUCAAAACUAGUUAUCAAUUGGGGAAAAUGGGGACCAAUCUGCAAGUCUUUAAAAUAGAAAGAAACUUUAAUUGGGCACUAUGUUCACGGUGGCAGACCCAGCAGCAGCUAUUUGUGCUUUAAAAAUAAUUUUACACAUUCUAAUUUUAAUAAAAAUAUAUAUUACAAAAUUACUUAUCAUAUAAGUUACUGGACAAUAUAUUAUAAGUCAACAUUAUAUAAUUACUUUGAACACUUAUAUAGCCCAAUCCUAAUUCAAUUUAUUAUUCUCAUAACUUAAAUAUAAAAAUUUUUAUUUCCAACUUCUUAAUUAAUAUGUAGAUGAAUAAUAAGGAAAUUAACUUUGAGAAAAAAUUAAAUACAAAAUAUGUGUAAUACUUUCAAAAAAAAUAAACAAAAGUAUUGCACAAGAUAAUUUUUUUUGGGGGGGGGGGGGCUUUGGCCAUUCUUCUUCUUCUCCUUCUCUCUCUCUUUUUUUUUUUUUGUAGUAUUUAUGGAACAUUUUCUAUUGUUAUGUUCUCAUUGCAAGUUAUUUUGGGUGUAAAAUUCAACAUUGAAAAUAAAUUAAAUAAAAAAAUUAGUAACUAAAAUUAUGUUAAAUUAUUUUUUAACUUAAUUUUUAAUUAUAUUAUUAGUAUAUGUUAGAUCUCUUAAAAAUCGAGUGUUGAAUAAUUUUAUUAGUUUUUUAAACAAAUAAAGUUAAAUAACUUAAAAAAUUUAAGUAAGGAUAUUUUUAAAUUUUUAAACAGUAUACAAAGUAAAGUUUAUUUUCUUGUCAGUGGCAAAUGAUCACGACAAGAAAUCUAAAGUAGAAACAGCAGAGCUCAACAAAUCACUAAGAGAAAAUAAGACCAAUAACCAAGCAGAUAAAAGAAAAGCAAAAUAACCCAUCUCAAAUCACCACAUGCACAAUUUAAGGGGUUUGUGACAUGGGUUUAAGCAUGAUUUAACAAGUGCCACCUGUGAAUUGUCAGAGAUUGUAUUUUCAUACACAUGUCUAGGGGUGGGCAUAUUUUAACCGAACCGAUCCAAACCGAUCCAAACCGACCAUUUGGUCGGUUUGGAUCGGUUUCAUUAGUAAAAAAACUGGUUUCGGUUUAUUGGAUUGCAAACCGACAUCACUCGGUUUGGAUUUCGGUUUGGAAUGAUUCCAAACCGAUUCAAACCGAUCCAAUCCAAAAAUAUUAUAUAAUUACAUUAUAUUUUAAGUUAAGCAAUCUAACUAAUUAUAUUUAUCAUUUUAUGCAGAUUUUGACAAAUCAAAACUAAUUAGGCCAUAAGUUUUGACGGACAAGAUGCACAAUAUUUUAAUUGUCAAAUGUUGUUCAAGUUUAUUUUAAUUUUGUGAGUUUGUUUUGAAUGAAUAUGUUAAGAACUUCUUUAUUAGGAUGUAUUAUACCGUAAACUUGUAUGGAUGUAUCUUUAAAUUGUUAUGUAGAUGUCAAAGUAGAUAUGAAUAAUAUAAAAGAGGUAUCAAUUUGGAUUACGGACACAAAAAAAUAACAAAUAAUUUAGGUAAAAUAAUAAAAAAAGUGGGCUUUUAGCUAAUAAACUCAAACUGAGAAUCCAAACCGAUCCAAACCGAUCCAGUCGGUUUGGAUCGGUUCGGUUUGAAAAAUUUUUAAGUUGAUAUCGGUUUGAAAAUAUUUCAAACCGAUAAGUUUGGAUCGGUUUGAGAAUAUGUCUCAAACCGAUCCAAACCGACUUUGCCCACCCCUACACAUGUCAAAUUUUCAAGUCCAACAAAUUGUUAUCUUUCUAAAGAGGCUAAUAUUAUUAUUAUCUAUGCAUAGCAUGCUAUAAACAAUUCAUAUUACUGGGCCUUUGUUUUGUGUACACAACAUAUGGACAGAGGAACAAAUGCCUGAGCUAAAAUCAUCAUAUUCCAAAAUAUUCUAUUAAAUCAGCACCACAAAACGCGAACGCUAAACAGAAUUGGAGCAAUUUACCAAAGCUAUUUGUCACGCAAAGCACUAGUACCUCAGAACCCAAUUUGCAAAAAAGCACCAAAAAUGAAAAAUAACAAAUGCCCAGAUGAAAAAUCAGGAAAAAAAAAAUGCUCAAAUCCAAAUUACAACCCCAUAAGUUGAGUCGUUCUCUUCGAACUGAAUUAAAAAUAAAUAAAAAAAUUAAAAUGGGGAGAUUGACCUCAAACUUUGGAAACAGAAGCGACAGCGAUCUGUUUCUUGUCUGGAGUGUCCAUUUCUAUAAUCUACUUUGUCCGUUUUCAGUUGCUCUGCCACAGAGCUUCUUCCCUCUGAAGCUGAAGCUCACACACACUCGCAAAACGAAAGCAUUUUUUAUUGAUUGAGAGGCGGGAAGGCGGGAAAAUGAGAGAAAUUUGCAUUUGUUUUCUCUUGGUUUGGUCAUACUUGUGCGGGCCCCAGCUUGACAAGCGGUAUUAUUACUAUUUGUAUAAUUUACAUGACGCGUGUCACGCAAUGACGAUAAAAAAUAUAUAUAUAUUGUUAAUUUUUCACUUAACAUUGAAAUAUCAUAUAAUUUUUCCAAUUUUAUGGUUAUUUUCUCGCCCUUAUGCCACAUUCUUUUGAUCAAAUAAUACAGUAAAACUUUUCUAUAAUCAUAAUAUUAGAGCCAAAUUAACUUUAUUUCUGUAAAGAGGCUAUAGCUUAAUAAAGGUAAAAUUAUAAAAAAAAUAUUAUUUUGACUCAGUUAUCUUUAGUGCAAGUGAUAUAAAGUACAAAUAUAUGAUAAUUAAUUAAUGAACUAUGUCAAAUACAAUAUGCUAACAAUGAUAAAAAAAGAUAGACAUAAUUUCAAGAAACUAUGUAUUUAUGUAGUGCUGGGAUUAUACAAAAUUAUCUUAAAAGUGUAAAGAGUAAAGUAUUAUUCUGAUUAAUUUAUAAAAAAAUUAUUUUAUCUUAAUCUUUAAUGCAACAUAGCUUUUUCUUUUCUUAACAACAAAGCAUUGUUUCAAAUAAUAAUUAUUGGAUUCAAAUCAUGUCCUAGGCAUUUUUUCUUCUAGUCGUCUUAAACUUUUAAUGAUUUAUUGGGAUGUGUCAAUCAUUAAUGAAAUUAAAUAACUAAGACUUUGUUUUAAUUAACGUUUACAUAAAUAGACAUCAAAACUCAAGUGUGAUUCUUAUCAAUUUUUUCCUGCAAAUUCUUUUCCUCUCAACUAUUCAUAUUUUGACAUUAAUUUCCAGCAAAUUAUUAAAAAAAAAAAGAAGCGUAAAAUGGAGAAAAGUGAUUGACAACAAGGUUUGCAUCUUAAUUUCAAAAUUUUCCUUUCUUUGCUAUUUUUGUGAGUUCUACAAUUGUUGUUUUCACUCUCAGCUGCAGUUCAAUGAACUCUAUUAAUAACCAUGAAGCUUAAUGUAUCAAUUCCAGUACGAGAAGUCCUUCUACGCAUGUUACAACACUUUUUGGUCAUUAUAGGUUGCAAAUGUUCCGUAAUGUACUCAUUCAUAUAACGGAAACGCUAUUAUCAAUAAUGAAAGUUGACUAAGUUUGUAAAUUCUAUUUAACGAAAAAGUAACAUAAAUUUAGUUGAACAAGAGGUAAUCAAUAUGUAAUCUAUGAAACUAGGGUGUGACUAAGUUACAUAGUAAUGUAACUUACAUGAACACAAAAAUAAUUAGUUUUUAAACUACAAGUAAUUUUGGAACUGCUCUUAAAUUGAUAUAAGUUUUAUUAUUAUGUAACUUAGCAAGGUCAGGUAUUUUAAUAAUAGCACAUCACUAUUGUUUCAUGUGAAUGAUGCAAUUGGAUUAGCCAAUACAUACUGUCAUCCCCGGGAGAUGCUAUGGCAAUAGCUUACUCUACCGUGCCAAUGUCAUUAGUAUUAAUCUGUUGAGCCUAAGACCAGAUCUAAGCUGAUCUAGAUUCCCCAAGAUCGCACACCACACAGUGAUUAAUGAAUCAAGAACAAUAAACCAUCAAAGAAUCGCAAACUUACAUGUCGGGUUACAUGUAAUAAAUGUUUUAAUUAUUAGAUGAUUCAUAAUGUUAGACCAUUUUUUGUAUGUUUUGUAAUCUACGUUUGAUAAUUUAAUUAGCUGAUAAACAUUUGAAUAAUAUUAUUUCAUUAGCUAUGUCAUUGAUCCCCAGGAAAAAAAAAAAAAAAAAACCCAAUUUGGGAUGUUAUACAUUACUUUUUCAUUACUUCCCAUUUUAGAUUAAUAUUUAUCACAUAUAUUCUUAGCAACUUGUAACCCUUUUUGCUAAGGGUGAAAUGUGUUUGUUACCCCUUCUAUUUCUGAGAUUGUCCUUACAAUAAGGAUGCCGGCCCCAAUGUCAAAAACUGCUAUCUCUAGGUGUAAAUUCCUUAUAAAAUUCUUUUUUAAUUGAAAUUACUUAAAUAAUUGAAGAUAAAUUAAUUUUUUAUUUCAUUCAAAUAAAAAAAAAUAAUUAAACACUUAAAUAAGCUAUCCUUUUAAUUUUUUUUUUUACACCCAUCCAGUUUCAUAAUUUAUAUUUAUAAUUUAAAUUUUAAUGGAAAAUAUUUUUUUGAAAAAUUUUAAGAAUUAAGAAUUAUGGGGAUAAAAAUUAUGUAAUAAGAACAAAAUAAUUUAAAAUUUUAAAAUUUGCAUGUAUUAUGAACAAAAACUUGAAAGAAAUACUCUUUUCAGGGUGAGAUUUAAUCAGAAAAAGAUUAAUUUUCAUUUAUGGAUCAGUAUUUUAUAAAUUAAACAGAGGUAUUUUAAGAAAUAGAAUUCAAAAGGCAUGGGAACAAGGGCAUUGGGUUUCCUUUUGUUUUGUAUGGAUUGGGAAAAAUACACGGACAGACAAAGGGAACAGUCAUUAUAAUGCUGCGGAGCUUGUCGGAGAUUCCCUGCCCAUUUGUAGCUUAGACUCCUGGGGUUUUGUUCAUGUCUUUUCUGUAUCCCACUUUCUCAUGCAGCAGAUGUACAUAUGAUGAGAUGAAAACAACAGCAAAAAUUGCUGUCUCAUAAGAGAAAUAGUCAUACAUAGUUGGUUAGGCCUCCAGUCCAUUAACUUAAUAAUGAAUUUUACGAAAAUUGAUUAUCUCAUUGGAAUUACAUAGAUAUUGGAAAUCAUUACUCCAGCCCCACCAUGCCAACCAUUUACUUAGUUCAUCAGUAAAAGCUGGAUUUUCCAUUUGUUCUUGAGAUUCAAAUUAAGGCAACAAGUUGCUCAUUCUAUAUUAUCUAUGUAAUCCUGUAAAAGUGAAGGGCGUUUAGAUGUGGAAAAACCUUACUCCUGCCGCAACACCUCAAACAGAUUGUGAUCAGACAAGACUUAGUUCAUCAUUAGUAGUAGUUGGAGCUUCCAUUUGUUCUAGAGAUUUAAAGGCAGCAAGCUGCUUCCUCAGUGCUACUAAUUCUUCCCCGGCAUUGCAUAUGUAGCCUGAGGCUUGUCUACCAGACAAAGUUGCUCCUUCCAUACUAUCUAUGUAAUCCAGUGAGAGUGAAACCAUUUAGAAGACGUAUCUCUUUCUUUCCAAUAUUUAGAAUGAAACAAUUAUAUACAGUUACCUGUUUUGCAUAUGAGCCGGUGAGGAAGAAGUUCUUCACUGGUGUCUUUUGAUCACGUCUGAAGGGGUCUUUACCAGGUCCCUCACCGCACAUAGAUUGCCCGAUUUUGACGAAAGAUGACCAAAUAACUUCCAAACCUUGGGAUGAUGGAAAUGGAGCUAAAACCUAAUAAAAGGAACCGUGAAUGGAUAGUAUGGACUCAUGUAUAUUAUCCAGAAAGUUGCAUGACCUUUUGUGGUACUCAGGUCACUAAAAAACGUGAGAUAAACAUCUAGGAUAAGAAAAGCAAAAAAGCAUAACCUAAUACGUAUUAUAUGAAUUGAAGGUGUCACUGAACGCUACCAACCUGCUUUGCCACUCUCCUUAUGAUUUCAUCAUUUGGUAAGGGCAUAUAAGGAUCUCCAGGCGUCAAAACGCGUCUGAAAGAUAAUAUGGUUAUAGUAAACAACAUGGAAUACAAAGACACUUGGCAAAAGGAAGUCAAUCAGAUUCCAUGCACAAAAAAUAACUAAUAAUGACGACGAUAAGAAAUUUUUCACACCGGAGCCUUCUCUAUAGUAGUCUUCUGGUGAAGUAAGUGCUAGAUCUGCAAAGCAAGAGAAAUCUGCAUCUGGAGUAUAUAAAAGGUUAUCUAACCCCACAGCUUGCCUCAAUUGCCUACAUGUUCAAAACAAGGAUCUAUUAAAAAAUGGAAAUUUCUUCAAUGCAUUAGUGAAGGGAAGUGAAGUGAAAGCGGAUUUCUUAAGCCUUCACAGAGCAUCUUGUGUUUGAAUUCCGGUAACCUCACAAAAGAUUAGAGCAUCACCUUGACCGUUCUAGGUCUUGCAACUCAGUAACCCAACCAUUGUAUCUAAGCUGCACUGUGACAACAUGAACUCCAACGAGCUCAUAAAUAUUGUUGAAAAAUUUCAUUUCCCUCCAGCCUCCACAAUGAUGAAAGCAAUCUUUUAAUUCCAGGGACAUCACAUGCUGCCAUUAAAUAAGAAGUUGAAUAAAGAAAAAUCGUUCAACUAAAUGAUUCAGGAGUUAAAAAAAAAUGUAGAAGUAGAAAUAAAUAACAAAGAUUUAACCAUAAACCUGCAACAUUUGCAUCAGCUUGCACAACCUUCUUGUCAGUGGCCUGAAAUAGAAUGAGAACUUGAAAGACAGUAAGCAUAAAAGAAUAAACUCAAAGAAGCUGCUUCUUACAGAUGAUAUAAACAACAAAUUUACAAAUGUCAGGUCAUUGCAUUAGCUCCAUGCCUCCAUCAGAGGGAAUAUUAGUAGAUGCAUAAAAAAAUAAUUAGAGCCACAUGUGAAACAAUUUACCUUAGACAUGGCAAGUGCUUUAACAAAUGUUUCCCCGUUAGCAGAUUUAUCAUAAAGUAUCUCUCUGCAUCCCCACCUAAGAUGGAACCUGUUCUCACAAGAACAGAUCCCAAGGUUGGGAAAAUCAGUUCAUCAUAGGAGAAAACAAAUAAGAUUAACAAAUCACUACAAUGGUGUGAACCCGUAAAUACAAACGUACCUGCCCCCUUUUUCUGUGAUAUAUUUUCUUAUGGGCCCACUCAAAUAAACAUCCGGAGAACCCGAGCAUCAGCAAUAGGGAAGCCUCGGUCUUAGUCGCAAAUAGUGCAAGUAUGGUAAGCGUACAAUGAGCACUGAUGUUAUCACAAUCAAUAAACCCAAGGGCAUACGCAACAGGAUCCCACAUUCUUUGGAUACUUGUCCGUGUACCACCCUUGGACAAAAACCAAUCAGAGAAGCUUAUGUGUAAGAAGAAAUGAAGUUUUAGGUAAAAUAACAAUUUGUAGGAACAGGGAUUGAAAUUCAACAGACAAGGAAAUAUGAUAUCAUUCUUACACUAUCCAAAUCUCAUAUGUCCUUCAAGGCUCCAUCAGGAUCAACAAGUGCCUUUACAACAGGACUCAGAGCAAGAGCAAGAGCAUUUCUUGCUUUAUCUUAAGUCUGCACUUGAGCAAUAUACCAGGCAAAGUACAUCAAAAGAGAAUCCAAAAGAGGCAAGAAGCUUCAACAUGAAAAAAGGAGUACUGCCUCAUCAUACUGCUUUGCAAUCACAGUGCAAAAGAUAACAUCAACAAAUCAAAAUCGACCAAAAAUCCAUAUGCACUACCUUAAGCUGAUUUGUAGACAAAAAUGUGCGAAUCCCAUGUAACGGAGCUCCAAUCAGAAACCGGAAAUCAAGUUCUGGAGUUGAAAAUCAAAAUCAUGAACCAAAUCAGAGUUAUUAUUGAAUUUGACAAUCCAUAAACCAAUAGAAGGUGAUGUCAAACCAUCAAGCAUAACUACCCACCAAGCAAAACUAUUAGUAGUUUUAAGUGAUCAAGAAAUAACCAUACCACCAAUUUCACCACCCUUAUUUACAAAUGUAUGAGUAUGAUCCUUCAUGAGUAAAUUUUUGUCCACACCUACCUGUCGAAAUGCUUGAAAAACUAUCAGAUCAUAAACACAGGCUCCAGUUAAAGAGGAUCUAUGAUUCUGAUCCAUCAUGUUAUUUGAACAACAUUUUCGAAUUUUGGUACAACCCUAAGCUAUAAUCAGUUGUAGUGGUACAACCCUAAGCUAUAAUCAGUUAUCAUCACUACAAAUGAUAUGGUCAAGAGGAAUGAUAGUUCUUGUUUCAAGUAUCUCAAAUCAUAAUUCUUUUGCAUGGCUUGUGUGCUUUUAUAAUCAUUCAAAUACGCAUAUCCACAACUAAGCAAGCUUUACCAUUUUCAUCAAUCGGAAGAGAUUAUUGUAGCAUCCAAAGAAAACGUGCAGGCCCAUUUCAAUAUGGUUUUCACGUUUAUCGACAAAUGAACCCACUUUACCACCAAUAAAAGACCUCGACUCAUAUAUAUCCACCUGGAAGAAAGGAAAAGUUAAAAAAAAAAAGUGUUGAGAAUUAUGUUUGAUUAAACUUAAUUCUUUCCCCAAGAAAUCUCCACACACUGAUCUUAUUGAAACAAGAAUGAAUACCCAAGAUAGUAAUCAGAAAUAAAGCAAGAGUGUUUAGACAGAAAUAGAGAUUAAAAGCAUAGAAUAAACCGGACACAAGGAGAAUUAUAGAGGUUCGGCUGGGUAGCCUACAUCCUCUUGAGAAACAGAAGCCAUAGCUUUUCUUUGAUGCUUAACAGAUUACAAGACUUAGAGAGUUUGUUACAAAGAACGUUGGUUAUCUAAACUUGGCCUUGGAGACCUUAUAUACAGCUCUCGAAGGAUCCAGAUAAGUGUGCUGCUUGCCAGCUCUUGUUCUGGGUUUGUUGAAACAAACCCAGAAAGUUCCCGCCAAGGCUAACCGUUGAUAACAGCCUUUUAAUUAGAAACGACACUUGCUGCUGCCGUUUAACUAAAGCUUGAAUCCGUAGAUGCUCGUGCAAUUCACGUGCAUUACUUAAGCUAUUCGUGUGACAGGAUAUGGUUGUCAUAUGCACAGCAUUAUCUGUCUGAUUGCUUUGUCGUUACUUGAUUAAUCCUAGACACGACAAAGUCAUCUUCUCCGUAAGCUCUUAAUUCAGGUUCACAAUUAACAAAAAGGAAUAAAAAUUCUUCUAAUUUCUUACACCAUCAACAAAAUCAGAAUAACACAUACUAGUUCAAAAUGAAAUAAAGUUUGUGAAUUGAAAUAAUGCCAACUCCUAAGAAAAAUUAUGACUGCUGAUAUUUUUUCCGAAACGCUGAUAAAAGCCUCUGCUAUUUACUUUGAAAAAAUUGAGGUUAGAAGCCAAUUUACUUGAAAUUUUUGAGUUUAGGCAAGAGGAUGAAUGGUAAAACUGAAACAUAUUAGGGAAAAAUGUACUUCAGAGGCCAAUGAAAGCAUUCAGAAGAUUGAAAACUAAAUGAGCAAAACCUCGUGGCCAUGAUCCAACAAUUCCACUGCUGUUGACAUGCCUGCAAGCCCAGCUCCAAUAAUAGCCACUUUCAGCUUUGGUCCUCUAUAAUGUUCCGGUUCUGGUAGAAACAAACCCUUGGGAGCUGCCAAGUAUACCAUCCAAUUAUCCACAGUGAUAAUGGAAAUAUAUAUUUGUUUAAAGGUACUAAAUUCCUAAACAUGAAAUGUAUCCAAAAAGAGACACAAAGCAGAAUUGAGUAAGCAUUUCAAUUCCCAAUAAAUUUCAAGAAUACAAAAUACUCGGUCUGUUCUUCAAUUCCUUUAAUAAAAUUUCCACUAGAGGCUACGCAAGCCACUCAAUAACACGCCAAAGCCAGAUUUUAAACGUUAUCUUUAUCUUUAACUCCAAUCCAUAAACAAUUCUGCCACAAAUUCAAUCCAAAAUUGUUCAACUGCACCGCCAAUUCUCCAUCAAUUCCCUCAAAAAUUCAUAAUUGCCAAACACUGCAAACCAAAAAGAGCUUCCAGCAAUAAACGCAUAAAAAUCCGCCAAACAACAUAAAACAAAAUACCUAGAAACCAGAAAAGCCAAAAGAUCAAUGCUUGGCAAACAAGCAAAUCAAAUAAAACAAAAAGAAGAGAAAUUUACCAUUAACGCUCAUAUCAGAAACAUUCGUGUCCAAAGAAGCCCGUACGUGGAAUCGUGGACCCUUCACUUGAACCCGAGACCAUUUAACGCCAGUAACUGAAGUUGCAGGAAGCAGAAGUGAAGAACCCAUAUUGCAAAUCCUGAGCUGAAAUCAAGAAAUUCAAUUGGAACUCAAUUCAACUCAACCCAGCUGAGCUCUCUUUUGCUUCAAUAACAAAGUGUUUUUCUUUUAUAUCAACAAAGAUUUGUCAACAUCAACAAAAUUUAACUAAGAAACUAAAAUAAUAAAAGAGGGCACCUUUGAGUUUAAGAAUCUAACAAGAUGCUAAGGAAGAGAGUUUUGUCAGGGAACUGUUUCGGAGAGGUUGGCCAAGUGCUUUUUUGUUUGUUUGUUUGUUUUUUUUUUUUUUUUUUUUUAUCAUUUUGGCCCUUUUCAUUAAUACACAACAUUAGUACUCGCGAAGAGCACAAAAUGUUGGUGACUUUGUCACUAACGAUAAUGGAUGGAGCGACCAAAGCAACCAACUAAAUUUUAAAGAGAGGGAAUGACAAGCAAUAUUUUAAUUGGGUGAUUAAUUAAUGUAUUAUCAAGCAAUUGCAUUUAUUUAUUUAAACGAGGGUUUGGCUACAAUGCCGUUGGCAUUGUAGCCGGCACCAUGCCGGGCUCUCAAAAAGAGAGCCCGGCUGUCUUUGGCUGCCAUCUGGCAGCCAAAGACUUGGUGCAGCCAGUUAACAAACCGGUUGCACCAUAUUUUUUUAAAAAAUAUAUUAAAAAUAUAAUAUAAAAAUAAAAAAAUUAAAUAAAAUGUCAAAAAUAAUUUUUUAUAAUAUAAUUAAUAGCAAAAGAUAAAGAAAUUAAAUAAUAUAAUACAAACCCUAUAAUACAAUAUAAUAUAAUUAAAUAAAAUGGCAAAAAAUAAAGAAAUUGAAAAUGAAAAAAAUAGUAUUUCAGGUUUAACGUCAGUUGUUGCAUGUCCGAUGUCUCGAUUGCAUGUUUGACGUAAGAUGUUGCAUGUGUUGAAUAAAGCCAAAAUAAAGAAUAUUCUCGAAUAUUCUCGUCCGUUUCAUGUUUGACGUCGAAGUUGCGAACUUUACGUGAUAAGUUGUAUAUUUCGCGUGAAGUGUUGUAAGUUUCAUGUUUAACGUCCGUUGUUGCAUGUCGGACGUCACGGUUGCAUGUUUGACGUAAGCUGUUGCAUGUCUUGAAUAAAGACAAAAUAAAGAAUAUUCCCGAAUAUUCUCGUCCGUUUCAUGUUUGACGUCGAAGUUGCGAACUUUACGUGAUAAGUUGCAUAUUUCGCGUGAAGUGUUGCAAGUUUCAUAUUUAACGUCAGUUGUUGCAUGUUCGACGGUUGGAUUUCAUGUUUGACAUACGAUGUUGCAUGUUUUGAAUAAAACCAAAAUAAAGAAUAUUCCCAAAUAUUCUCGUCCGUUUCAUGUUUGACUUCAAAGUUGCAAACUUUACGUGAUAAGUUGCAUAUUUCACGUGCAGUGUUACAGGUUGCAUGUUUAACGUCCGUUGUUGCAUGUCGAACGUCACGGUUGCAUGUUUGACGUAAGCUGUUGCAUGUCUUGAAUAAAGCCAAAAUAAAGAAUAUUCCCGAAUAUUCUCGUCUGUUUCAUGUUUGAUGUCGAAGUUGCGAACUUUACGUGAUAAGUUGCAUAUUUCUCGUGAAGUGUUGCAAGUUUCAUAUUUAACGUUAGUUGUUGCAUGUUCGACGGUCGGAUUUCAUGUUUGAUGUAAGCUGUUGCAUGUCUUGAAUAAAGUCAAAAUAAAGAAUAUUCUCGAAUAUUCUCGUCUGUUUCAUGUUUGACGUCGAAGUUGCAAACUUUACGUGAUAAGUUGCAUAUUUCACGUGCAGUGUUGCAGGUUGCAUGUUUAACGUCCGUUAUUGCAUGUCGGACGUCCUGCUUGCAUGUUUGACGUUCGAUGUUGCAUGUUUUGGAUAAAGCCAAAAUAAAGAAUAUUCUCGAAUAUUCUCGUCCGUUUCAUGUUUGACGUCGAAGUUGCAAACUUUACGUAAUAAGUUGCAUAUUUCGCGUGAAGUGUUGCAAGUUUCAUAUUUAACGUCAGUUGUUGUAUGUUCGACGGUUGGAUUUCAUGUUUGACGUAAGCUGUUGCAUGUCUUGAAUAAAGCCAAAAUAAAGAAUAUUCUCGAAUAUUCUCAUCCGUUUCAUGUUUGACGUCGAAGUUGCAAACUUUACGUGAUAAGUUGCAUAUUUCACGUGCAGUGUUGCAGGUUGCAUGUUUAACGUCCGUUGUUGCAUGUCGGACGUCACGGUUGCAUGUUUGACGUAAGCUAUUGCAUGUCUUGAAUAAAGCCAAAAUAAAGAAUAUUCCCGAAUAUUCUCGUCUGUUUCAUAUUUGACGUCGAAGUUGCGAACUUUACGUGAUAAGUUGCAUAUUUCGCGUGAAGUGUUGCAAGUUUUAUAUUUAACGUAAGUUGUUGCAUGUUCGACGGUUGGAUUUCAUGUUUGACAUAUGAUGUUGCAUGUUUUGAAUAAAGCCAAAAUAAAGAAUAUUCCCGAAUAUUCUCGUCCGUUUCAUGUUUGACGUCAAAGUUGCAUAAUUUACGUGAUAAAUUGCAUAUUUAACGUGACUUGUUGCGGGUUUCAUGUUUUACGUCUAUUGUUGCAUGUUGGACGUCACGGUUGCAUGUUUGACAUUAGAUGUUGCAUGUCUUGAAUCAAGCCAAAAUAAAGAAUAUUUCCGAAUAUUCUCGCUUGUUUUAUAUUUGACAUCAAAGUUGCAUACUUUACGUGAUAGGUUGCAUGUUUGACGUAAAAUAUUGUAGGGUAGGUUUAUAUAAAAUAACUAAUUAUAAAAUGAGAGUGCAUUUCAAAAUUCCUUGACAAAUCAAGUGAUAAUUUAUAACUAAACUUAUUUUUUUCAAAUUUUUUAUUAUUAAUUAAGUUUAAUUAAGCCAAUCUAUUAAGAAACAAAUGAAAAUAUAUUAAAAUUAAAUUAAAUGCAACUUUUACCCAAUAAAUAUAUUUAGGAAUAUAUCUAAUUAAAUUGGUACACAAAUUACAAAUGUUUUCAAGAAAUUACACACAUAAGUUUAAUAGUCUAACUAUUUUUUAUAUGAUUGAUAAAAUGAUGGCUUUGGAAAGAACUUGUGAUUUGAAAAGAAAAAUCUAGUUAAUUAUAAUAAAAUUACAUAUCUAAUCCAACCUUUUUUCCUUAUUUUAGUCAGAUAAUAGUUUUGAAAAUAAUUUGAUAAUUCAAGUGAUAAUGUCUAUUCUUAUUUGUUGUAUAAUAUUUUUUUAGGUGCAUUUCAUUUUAUUUUUAUUUUUUUAGAGAAUCUAAUCAUGGUGGAUAUUUUAAAUUACUAAGUCAUGAAAAUUUUGAAUUCAAUUGAAAUUUACAAUCUUUUAUGAAUGAAAAUAUACAGCAAGACAAAAAAAUUGAGAGAUAAAAAGAAAAUGUGGUAGAAAGAAAAGGCAACAUCAAUAUGAUCAUUUUCUAAGAAAAAUUAAGGCAAAAUCUUCCAAGUAAUAUGGUCAAUUUCAAUAAAAUUACAACUUACUAGAGUAAAUCCAUCUACUAAACAUCCAAAGUUCACAACAUAAUAUUUGAAUAUCACCAAUAACAUCCCCAAUCCUAAAGAUUGCAACAAAUUCAUGUAACAUUUGAGGGUAUUGUUUGGGGGUAAAAAUAACGUGACCAAGUACACAUAAGUAGAACGUGCACCCCUCAGUCGGCCUAAGGCGACUCCUUGAGGAAAGUCUUCCCCGAUGAGUUGAGCAUUGGAGGGUUUAUGUUAGAAAAAUCUCCGACAUCCCCUAACUAGUUGUUAUGAACGCAAGCAUCCUUGGAGAAAGAGCUUGAGGUCCCAAGAGCCUAUUCGAUAAGAAAGAUAGAAGUACAAACCGACUCCCCAACAACUACUAAUUUAAGUGUUGGCGUGGUUGUCUGGUCGCUUCACAGCUCGACGAGAAUUCAACAUCAACAAAUAUUUUAGAACCUAGUGUAUCUUCAAUCAUUUUGGAUUAAAUUCUAUGACACUUUUUUCUUUUCUUCUCUUUUUUUGUGAAAACAAAUUUUAGUACACUUAUUUUAAAAGAAAUUUGUUAAUGAAAAACAAAAUAAUGACAAUGAAGAGCACUCAUUUAUAAAAAUAAGCUACAAAUAGAAAAACAAAAUUCAUAUAAGUAGAAUCUCCCAAAAACUAAAAGCAUUGUCGAAUUGAGUUACAAACUAAUAAUAAUUUCAUCAAAGUUUGUAAACCAAAGAUUGUCCUAAUAUCAAAAAGUUUCCAAUAAAACACUCCAACUGAAUUCUCCCCUGGAAAUAAUUAAAAUUUUCAAGUUAGUCAAUAAGAAAAAACAGCCAUCAAUCAUAAUAAGAAGCAACAGCAAAUUACACUAAAAAAAUGGCAGAAAAAAGCACCAAAACAACAAAUAUAAACAAGAAACAACAAUUAAAAAAAACCCAAAAAUGGCAUAAAAAGAUGCUCAAAGCAGCAAUAAAUUUAUAAAAAAUACCCUAAAAUAGCAGUGAAAAGUGCUUUAAAAAGCAUUAAAAAAUCCAAAAACAAUAGUAAACAUGCCUAGAAACAGUAGAAAAAACCCCCUAAAAUAGCAAGAAAACUGCCUAAAACUAGAAAAAAAAUCUAACAGCAAAAUCUUCCAUUGCCAGAUAAAGCUACGAAAGAAAAGAAAUAAAAUUCAUAAAGAGUCAAAGCUAACAUACUGACCACUUGCUAGAAAUUAAGCUAUAAAUCCCAAAUUUUUACACAAAUUAGUAUCUGAAACAAGAUUGGUUUGAUAUAUGAUAGUCAAGUAAAAUACCUAUAAAGUAGUACAAAUUCAGCAAACCUAAUGGCUUCACUCCACUGAUUUUCUUAAGACUCCAGUGAUGAGAAGCUGCCAACAGAAUGAUAAAUUGAGGUUUGACAGGAAGCACACAAACUAAACAAGAUACAUAACAACUUUGUUAUCCAUGUUACACCCUAGAACCAUUUCUAGGAAUAUUUGUUAGAAUAGCCACCAUAACAGUUGAUGAGCAACAUAAAACAGAGACAACAACAAAACCAGCAACCUGCAAAGUGCCAAUUCUUCCAUAAUUAAAUCAGAUACACAAUAGAAAUAAUUUACUAUUAAAAUCCCAAAUUCAUUUUAUCUUCUUCCUGCAUUUUCUCAUCAAUCAAACAUAAAAGAGAGCUCCUAUCGACACAUGCAAACAGCACCCACCAUCUUGUCGCAUUCAAACACAACCCAAGAUCACAAAAGUUAAUUUUCUAGAUUUAGUUAACCAAAGAAAAUAUACCAUCAACUGGAUCACCUUAUAAAUCAAAUACAAUUCCACAAUAUUACCAACCUCCCAAAAAAAAAAGGCACAAACUUUAAAAUGAAAACAACAACACCAUGAAAAAUAAGCAAAAGUGGGUAUUUAAAUCAAACAUGAUAGAAUGCAACAAAAGCAAAAAAGCUUUCGAUAGAAGCCAAAGCUAGAUGGGGUACAAGCAAGCUAGGAGGUACCAAUUAAAGAUGCUUCAUUCAAGAACAGAAAAGCUACCAGAAUGAUAAAAGUAGAAAAAAUGAAACAAUAAACAGAAAAUUGGGUGAAAGCUGCAACAAUAGUUUCAAUCACUUAACAGUACCAGCAAACUUAUAGUAAACUUUAAGAACUAGAUGUUUAAGCCACAGAUAAUGGGGACGUACCCAUGAGGAUAAAGACACAAGCGUGAGACCAGUAAAGCCGCCCAUCCUUAACUUGUGCAGGAAACAAAGUCGAAUGAAAAAGGAGGCAACGACGGUAGCGACGAAAACAGCUGGAUCGGAAGCGAACAGCUCAAGAUGAAAGCAACAAGUUAAUGGAUUGGAUUGUGUGCGCGAGAUGUGGCUUCGAUUUUAUUUGAUUAGUCAAGAAAUCGAAGAGAGAAAUUUGAGAGAAAUUUGUGAUUUCUGAGAGAGAGGCAAGAAAUUGAGAGAGAUUGGGCACGGUUGAAACACCUAAAUUAUAAAAAUAUAAAUUUUGCAGCCUUUGGGAACUGGUUGCUUCGGUUGCCCUUUUUUUGUUUUUUUUUUUAUUUCUUUUCAAUGUCAGCCGUUGGAUUCAUUUUACUUGAAUCCAACGACUGCAUUUACAAGCCAGCACAAUGCCGGGCCUCAAUGCCCGGCAUUGUAGCUUUAGCCUUUAAACGAUGUCCUUAUCGUUGGACAAGGUUGAGGAAAGACAGCGAUGUUGUGUUGUCACGUAUUUUUGGGCCGACCGUUUCCAGUUCCGGCUUAAAUGAGGCUUUUGUAUUUUUGUGCCCUUUUUUUUACUGAGUAUUUUGUCCUAAAUUACACCAAAGAAAAUGUGGACUUUAGAAUGUGACAGUAUUGAUAUCUAAGUUCAUAAUAUCAUGAUAAAACAAAUAAAUGAAUAGAAAUGUAAAUAAAUUUGGUUAAAAUUUAAUGGCUUCGAAUUCGGUAUGUUAUCAAACAAAUCAUACUCUUAGGAUUUGGAUUCAAUUCAUUUAUUAAUUGGAUGUCUAUUUAAUUCGUUUAUUAUACAAAAUUAAAUGAAUUGAAUUGAAUUUAGAUUCAUUUACAAUUUGUUUAAUUUAUUUAUGUAAAAUUAAUAAUAAAUCAAUCAAAUGUGGAUUUGUUUAAAAAAUAAUAAUAAUUAAUAACAAAAAUCAAGCAAAGUAAAAUAGAAAAAAAAUCAUAAAAUUAACAACCUACAAAAUAAAAACGAAUUAGUGACCGCAAACUUGAAUUCAAUUCAUUUAUUUAACGAAUUGAAUUGAAUUCACUUAUUUGUUAAUGAAUCAAUUUUUUUUUUAAAAUUCAAACCUAUUUAACUUGAAUCAAAUAAACACAUCCUAAUCUAAAUUGUCACCUCUAAAUAUGAUGGACCUAUUUAAAAUAUAUGAAUACCAAAAUGUGUGGGCUAAAAAGUGGUUUACCAUGCAACAAUACAAAGUUUAAGCUCUCUUUUCUUAUGUCAUCCAAGGCAUUGCCUAGAUCGCCAAACACUAGAGUUCAAGUCUACAAUAAAGAAUCGAAAUUUUCCUUUGUAUAUGUUCGUAAGUAUUUAGCAUAGAUUUUUUAGUUAUACUUGAUAGAUCCCCUACCAUAUUUGCUAUAAUAUUUCUCUUCUAUUUAAAAGUAAAUAAUGCAUAAUAACGGAUUUGUAAAGAAAUGAAAUUUCCAGUAAUUAUCUGAAAAAAAAAAGAUGGAUUAAGCGAAAGAAGUUAAUAUAGAGUAAGUCGAGUACUUGACAAUUAAAGUAAUUUUACUCGAGGUUGAGUAAGGAUAGUAGGAUACUUUCCCAAGUUUUCCGAGGACAUUCAUGUAACAUUGGACUAUUGACUAUAGUUAGAGAGAAGUCCUAGGAUGUAAGUGAUGAUGAUAGAUUCACAAUUCUUUUGAAGAAAAUAUUUUAUAUAAACUUAAUUAUAUGGUAUAAAAUGAUUGGCCUUAAUAAAAUUAAAAAAUAAUAAAAAUAAUACACGCCUGGGUCAUGCAAUAUUUUCAACCAACUAAUUUACACGCAAAAUUAAACCUUAUGAGUGAGAACAUUAUGGUACAUUUAUUUGCUAGCAAAAACUCCGCAAAAAUUUUCCGAAGUGUGAAAAUGAACACUUUUAACAAUGGCACAAAAUUCCCACCCCCCAUGAUUAAUUCUCUUAUCUGGAAUAUUAGGGGGCUUCCCCUGCGGAAAUUAGUUCGAUUACAUCGAUUGUCUUUGAUUUGUGUGUUGGAGCCAUUUAUUUCCGUUGAUCGUUUAGAGGCUCUUCGGGUGCGACUUGGGAUGGAUCAUGCUUUAUCUUCCCAAUCUGGGAAGAUUUGGGUUUUCUGGUCCGCACCUUUCUCGGUGGAGCUUUUGCAUGACAUGGGCAAGGUGAUUUAUUAUCGGGUUAGUCACUCUUUUUUUCCUGAUCCUGUGUAAGUUUCAUAUGUGUACUCUAGUUGUUAUAUGGAUGUGCGAGAGAAUUUAUGGGAUGCUCUUAAGACCUUUGUGGAUAGUCAUGACCUACCUUGAAUCGUGGGGGGAGAUUUUAAUAUGAUUCAGGCGGUCUCGGAGAUUUCUGGCUGGCAUCUACAGACUCGGGGAGCUAUUGAUGCCUUUAAUUUAGCGUUGCUUGAUUGUGGGUAGGAGGAUGCUAGCUUUGUUGGCAGUCCUUUUACUUGGACUAAUGGGCGCCCAUGGAGGCAGCUUGAUAGGGUGGUCUGCAACACUCACUAGUAUGCUUUCUUCUCAGUAUUUCGGGUCUCUCAUCUGAAUCGUACUGCCUCAUAUCAUUCUCCUUUGCUUUUUUUUUGGUGAUCGGGACGCUGUUAAAGGACCUUUACGGUUUAAAUUUCUUCAUGUGUGGCUCAUGCAUCCAGGUUUUCUUGAUACUGUGCGGCAGUCUUGGGGUGCUCCGGUGGUUGGUUUUGGAAUGAGAGCCUUUCAACAAAAACUCACUCGGUUAAAGUUCUGCCCAAAAGCUUGGAACAAAAAUGUCUUUGGUAACGUUUUUUAUCGGGUCCAACAAGCAGAGGAGGACGUGGCUCAGAAGGAGAGAUUGUAUGAUAUUUCUGGCUCCGCCGAUUACAGAGCUAAUUUUUCUGAGGCCAGGGCCUGGUUGCAGCAUGCUUUGCUUCGUGAGGAGAUUUUUUUUUGCGUCAGCAGUCCUGUGUUCGAUGGGUUCGAGAGGGCAAUACUAAUACCUAUUUUUUCCAUGCGAUGAUCCGGAAAAAGCGCCAGUUGUUUUAUAUUCACAGGAUUCGAGUUGAUUGUUUCUCAGAGUGGAUUUCUGAGCCCUCCGCCAUUGUAGAUUAUGAUGUCGAUUAUUUUCAAGAUUUAUUAACGGGAGAUGCCAGUCAAUUUCAGCAGACGGACUUCGAAGUUAUUCCAUCUCUUGUGUCUGUAGAGGAUGAUGUAGAGUUAUGUAGAGAGCCGUAUAUGGAUGAGAUUAGACAUGCGGUAUUUUUUAUUGAUCCAGAUAGUGCUCCUGGACCGGAUGGUUUUUGUAGCAGAUUCUAUCAGUCGUGUUGGGACAUCAUUUGCCAUGACUUGUUAAAUGUUGUCCUCGAUUAUUUUAGAGGUUCGGCAUGCCCAGAGGUUUCCAAAGUACUUUAUUGGUCUUUCUGCCUAAGAAGGCUUCUCCGGCUUCUUGGGCUGAUUUCCGUCCAAUUAGUCUUUGUAAUGUGAGCAACAAGGUCCUUACUAAGUUGCUUGUCCCAUCUCCUGCCUCACAUUAUUUCUCCUACUUAGAGUGGUUUUAUUCCUGGUCGAGUGAUUCAUGAUAACAUGCUCCUGGCUCAGGAGUUCGUUCACGAUCUCAAUCGCCAUACUCGAGGGAACAAUGUGGUUCUGAAAUUAGAUAUGGCGCAGGCAUACGACGUAUGUCAUGGCCUUUUAUUAUUAAGAUGAUUCACUGUUUUAAGUUCUCGAAGCGUUGGAUUGCUUUGAUUUGGCGAGCGAUUUACGGUCCUUAGUUUUCAGUGCUUAUGAACGGGGUCAGUAACAUAUAUUUCCAGUCCCAGAGUGGUCUUUAGCAGGGUGAUCCCCUUUCCCUUUGCUUAUUUAUUAUUGCUGCAGAAUUUUUAUCUCCAGGCUUAGAUCAUUUGUAUUCUCAAUAUCCCUCUGUUCGGUAUUGUUAUACUGCACCUACUUCUAUCUCCCACUUGAGUUUUGCGGAUGGUAUUGUUAUUUUUGCAAAUGAGAGCCGAUCUAACUUACAGUGGCUUGUGGAUUUCUUACACCAUUAUAAGGCGAUCUCAGGGCAGUUGAUUAGCGAGGACAAGAGUAACUUCUACAUUGGGAAGCCAGCUUCGACCUCCCGCCAGGCCAUUGUUCACUCUGUGCUUUCAGUGACGUCAGCUUCCGUUUACUUAUCUUGGGUGCCUGAUCUUUACAGGGCACCUCAAGAUCUCCUAUUUUGAUGACAUGGUCCGGAAGGUCAAGGAUAAGAUUUCUGGCUGGGCUAACCGUCUGCUUUCCUUUGGUGGGAAUCUCGUCCUCAUUCGCCAUGUGUUAUCCUCUAUGGCCCUGCACUUAUUUCACGUCCUCCGUCCUUUUAUAACGGUAGUUUAACGCCUAGAGCGAUUAUUCACCCGAUUCCUAUGCGGUGAUUUUGAGGGAAGACACCGGAUCCACUAGUGUAGAUGGCCAAAGGUUUAUUAUCCAGUUGACGAGGGUGGCCUCGAUAUACGAUCUUUUGAUGAUAUGGCGGAGGCUUUUGAGAUUAAACUUUGGUGGCGGUUUUGUUAGCAGAGUUCCUAUAUGAAGUCUAAGUAUUGCAGAUCUACGCAACCAAGCCUUAUCCAGUUUCGCUAUCUUGCCUCUCCUUUAUGGAGACACCUUUAUAAGAUUCGUUGCACGACUAAACCUCAUGUGCGUUGGCUCGUUAGGAGUGGAGAUUGUAGCUUCUGAUAUGAUUGUUGGCUGAGUUCUUGCCCUUUAUUUUUUUAUAACCCUACAACGGCUUUGUCGGUGUCGGUCUAGUUCUUUUGGCAGGGUACAAUCUGGGACAAAGGCAAACUAAAGGAUGUCUUGCCUUCAUCUAUUGUUGAGCAGAUCCUAUUAGUGCCUAUUUCUAGUGGGAAUCCAGACCUGAUUCGUUGGGACCUUGCCCCCGAUGGCACGUUUAACUUGCGGACUGCUUGGGAGCUUGUACGGUGCUCGAGGCCGAGGGAUGAGCUUUUCUCGAUGAUUUGGUAGAGGCAUAUCCUGUCACGAGUUUCCUUUUUUCUCUGGCAGCUACUUCACGGAUUCCUAGCUACUGAUGAUGCCUUAUACUUGAGGGGUUUCUACAUGGUUUCUCGAUGUAUUUGUCAGCGGGUUGCUGAGACUUCUCGGCAACUUUUUAUGGAUUGCCCGCGGGCCCAUCAUAUUUGGGUUCAUUACUAGCGGAUCAUGGGGAUGCGUGAGCUUUAUUUUCUGUCUCCCCGUACUUUGCUUUUAUUUUGGAAACAUUGUGCCCCUUCUCAGAAUCAUCAUCGGGUCCUUCUGCCUUACUUCAUUUUGUGGCAAAUUUGGAAGGCCCUAAAUGCUUUCUGGUUUCAUUCACAAUCUUUCUCCACUGAUGCGGUUAUCUUUCAGGUCGACUCUGAUCUCAGGCUUGCUAGUUCUGCUUUUGGAUUCAAGCCUCCCCAACUGAGGGGAGUCUUGGGUUCUCGUAUUGCGGAGAGCUUGCGAGUGACGGCUCCCCGUAGGAGGUCGAUUCGUCUAGUUGCUUGGAUGAGGCCAACUUCAGGGGUGGCUAAGCUGACUGUGGAUGGUUGCUCUAGGGGCAACCUUGGGAUGGCUGCUUCCGGGGGUAUUCUUCGGGAUCACCGGGGCGUGGUUUUAACGGCUUUUGGAUCCUUUUUGGUUUACAAGCCGAUCUUAUAUGCUGAGCUCAUGGUGGUGUGCGAGGGUUUGGAGCUUGCCAUUCAGCUUGGGUACUCAGUGCUCGAGGUUGAGUCAGACUCGGCUAUAGUGAUGUCAUGGAUUCACACCUCAGGGUCCUGUUCGAUGGGAAUGUUUUUAUUCUCUGCGCUGGGUGUGCCGUCUGGUAACGUCAUUCCCCAUUCAGGUGAGACAUGUUCUUCGCGAGGCUACUUAUGCUGCUGAUGUUCUAGCCAACUGGGCACGCACUCAUCGGACUAGCUGAUGUUUCUUAUCUCCUCGAGAGCUUCCCAAAGGCUUAUCUGGUAUUCUUUACUUAGAUGCCCACGCAAUCCCCCAUGUCAAACGUUAGGAUUUUAUCUUUUUCUUAUAUCUCAUUUUCUCUAGGAGGUUUUGGCUUAUAUCCCCUCCUUUGUAUCUAAUUCAUUUUCAGAUUUAUAUUAUAGGUAAGGGUUCCGUCUAACCCCACCACUCUGGUGGUUUAAAAAAAAAAAAAAACAAUGGCACAAAAUGCCUGUGAUAAUGAAACAAUGUGCCAUCCUUAAACUAAUAUCAUUACAAACUACAAGUGAAAGUUUUUGGAAAACAUGUGAUAAGUUUUUCUCGGAAUUUGUUUUCUUCUUUGUUUUGAUUUAAGUGUAAAAUUUUAAAAUCCGUAACAAAACAAAAAUUUACAUGGGUUGGGUGCACCUUGUGGUUCGUGCAUGCUUUCGUCUAAUAGUAUUUGAUACAUACAUAUUCAUUUUAAAAUUGACGAAUCGUAAUAAAAAAAUUUAUAUAUAAUAAUUGAAUGAGAUCCAUGGUUCACAAUUGCAAAUUAACGGUUGGUUUUAUAAUAAAAAUCUUUAUGUACAUACCAAAUUAAAAAAAGUUAUAAGUGAAUUAAGAUUUUCAAAAUUUGACUCGUAUUAUAUUGUGUACGUCAAUAUAAUAUAAAUUUGUUAUAUAUAUAUAUAUAUAUAUAUAUAUAUAAUCCAGUGCUUUGAAAAACUUUAUACUUGUUUGAACAGUUUUUUUGCUUUCUAUUUAUAUACGGUAUCAUUUAUGUUUACAUAAAUUUUCAUAUGUACCCAAAUUAAGCAUUAAAUACACAAACACUUUGUUAGGGCACAUGUAUAAUUAAUCUUAAUAAUUCUUAUACAAUCCUCUAUUUAACACCAGCAACGUCACCCAUUAUAAUUUAUCACUAAAUAUUGUAAAACUAUUGGUUUUCACGAAUAACUAAUAAAAAUUAUUUUUUUUAAAAGAAAAAUACUGCGAUUCCUUUCACUGUUGUAGUAGUAUAGUUAUCGUGGACGAUGAAUUUCUAGUAUUGUACAAUGAUAUUUAUGUUGAAUAUAACGCUUCAAUGAAUUUUAUUACUAUAUACUACAAUACUCAACCAUCUUCAUUAAAAAAAAAAAAAUUGCAUGAUUAGAAUGAUUAAAGUUCAUCUAAUGACGAGUUUCAUCAUUGACUGUGUCCAAACACAGCAGCAAUCCAGAAUACAUUUAACACGAGAGGCGCACACAAACAUGCAUGAUGAAUCUUCCACCAUUAAACCUGAAAUCAUAAAAUGAAAGAAACAAGAUGAGUGUUGUUUGUCUGAAAGCCGAUUCGAGAAAAAAUAAUAAUAAUAAUAGACCUUUGUUAAUAAUUAAUACUAGUUGUCACUACCUUGUGCAUCUUCCUCCUCUGUAUCAUCGUCCUCUUCCAAUCACACCGCAAGACCAGUAUAUCUCGAGAAUCUUUACUGCCUUCUCACAGAUCCCAUUGCUGUCAUGUCUUUUGAGAUCUUCAAUCUUUUUGAAUCCCUCAGCCGCCUCCACCAACCGUGCAUAAUGAUUAAAAUAUCUAUUGGCGGUACCCGUAUUCAUUUCAGCUUCCCCGACCUUCAAAAUGUUCUCUAAUCCUUUUAAGCAAAUAGUGACGAUCUCUGGAUCAGCGUAUAGAAGGAGAUCACACAAUGGUUUUAUACACCCCUUUCUCACGAGGUACUUGAUUUGCUCAUGAGUACCACCUGAGAUGGCAUUUGAAAUUGCCCGAGCGGCCUCCUUCUUUGUAAAAAAUUCAGCAUUUUGAAGCAGAUCGACAAGGGGACCAAUUACGCCAGCAUCAAUUACCACCUGAAUCUGUUCCCUGUUACCAGCUGUAAUAUUUGAAAUAGUCCUGCAUGCCUCUUUCGCAAUGCCUGUACACUGAGUCAGGAAACCAUCUCCCUUCACAAUAUAUCUGACAGUCCACAGGGGAGGAGUGAGCCCGAAGGGGAAGGGUAAUGGAUGAAGAAGGAGCUUAACAAGUCGUGGACAGACAUCUGCCUCGAUCACAGCUUGAAUUUUGUCAUUCGUACCAUCAGAUAGACAGGAUAGUGCCUCGCAGGCAUAUCUCAAGACAUCGUUGUCAUUUGAAUGAACAAGUUGUGCAAGCGCAGGAAGAGCUGGCCUCACCUGAUCAAAUGGUGGCUCUGGCUUGCCCUGGCAAAAACGAGACAAUGUCUUUGUGGCAUUUCUUAGCAUUGAAGGCUUAGCAUGCUUAUUUAACUGUGCCAGCAACGGAAUCAAAGCUUUUUCACUGAGCACAAGAUCACGGUCUCUAGGUGAGCUACGAGCAAUAUUUCCCAGUGCCCAAACAGCCUUCUCUCGGACAUCAUCACUUGGAGAAGAAAGUAGCUUCACAAAUAUUGGAACAGCACCGCCGUCGAUCACCACAUUAGUAUUCUCAGAAGCAAUGUUUGUAAGAGCCCGAGCAGCUUCCAACUGAAGCUGCGGAUUGUCUUCCCUAGUAAGAAACUCAACAAAGCGCGCGACAACGCCAGAUUGUAUGACUUUCUCACUUGGUGGUAGGAGCAGUUUUCGGAACCAAGUAGUUGCUUCCAGCUGCAAGCCACUGUCAUCUGACCAAACCCCAGCAAGCAUCCCAGGUAAACUCACCAACUUAUUUUAGGAGCAGGAGCAGGAGGAGGAAAUUAAGUUAGGGAUUUAGAGUGAGAGUGAAGGUGGAGAAAAAGCAAGAGAGGGAAAAAGCUUAUUGUUGAGAAAUAUGUACCUUUUGUAUGGUUGUGUUAAGGUCGUCCUUCCAAGCCCAACAUGCUUCACCAUGCCGCUCCACUUUGUGUAAUUUGGGUGUACUUAAUUUUCCUUCAGAGAAAAUCUUCAUAUCGGGGCAAUCAUCCACCACUAAUCUUUCUAAAGAUGGGAACUUGAAAGCACAAUUGCCAGAGCAGAAGCUUGUCAGGCGUUCUAAGUCUACAAGCUUCAACUCCUUCAAUUCUCUGAAAGUAAUAACCUCAUCUUUUGCUACAACAUCAUCCCCCUGUACUAUUUCUGUUAUCCUAUCGCAUGAUUUUAUCUUCAUAUAUCUAAGUCGCACCAGAGUCUUUGCAAUUAAGGAUGUUAAUACGAUUUUCAAGUUGUUGCAACGCGAUACCACCAUAUUUGUAAGAUUCUGAAAGGAUGUCGACGGUGGCACUAGAUUGACUAAAUGGUCACACCCCUUUACACGUAGAAUAACCAAGUUGUUCGUAACAGAGGACUCCCUUAUCAAAAUGUGCUCCAGAUGAAAUGCUUCUCUUAUUUCUACCCACAUCCCAUUUUCAACCUUCUCAUACGGCAACGAGGCACUAUAUCCUCCUAUUUGGAGGACUUUCAUUGUGUGAAGUCUCUGGAGGAAGUCACCAAGUGAUAAAAUCGUCCGCUCAUCACCCAAGUGAUAUUUAUUUGUCACUACGUGCUUUGCAUCAACUUUCAACUUUUCCAAAUUAGGGAAUACCUGGGAGAUCGAUCACAACCCCAAAAAAAAGAAAAAAAAGAAAUACAAGAUGAAUCAAUUGAUAAGAAAUAUAAGUUACCACUAAUUUAUACAAUAUAUUUUAUUCAAUAAAUCUUAACCUUUAAAAAAAAUAGUAAUAAUAGUAUGCCUAACAUCUAGAAUAAUUAUGAAUGAAUACUAUACACUAAUCCGUAAGAGAGUUACGUUGCUGACAAUUUGAGUUUUAGUAAGAAACCAAGCGAUGAAGGCAAAGGCAAUAUAACUCUAAACUCUAUGAUAUAAACUCUCACAGUGCAUACAUAAGAAUUGAAAAAUUGAUUAUAAAAUUCUUGUACCUACCCUUUCCGUGAAGAUACUAGUAGUUCUCACCAUGAAUUCAGGACAUUUAGAUAUCCGUAAUUCUUUCAAGGAUGGAAAUUCAAGAAUAUCAAGAUCUCCAGUGCAGAAGCUUGUGAACUUUUCAAGAUCAGACAUCUUCAGAUAUUGCAACUGAGGAAACAUUACAAUAUUUUUCUUCCUUUCUUCUUGGUUGUCCAUAACUAUUAACUCUUCCAAGACAGGACAUCCGACUAUCUCAAUGCAUUGGAGUUGAACAAAGCUACUAACGGUAGAAGAUGAAAAUAGACAUCUUAAAUUCAUACAGCAGGACAGGGUCAAGCGCGUUAAAUUCUGAAUACCACAAGACAUGACUGCAACUUGGUUUUGCCAAAUCCUUUCAACAUUUAUUGAAAGCAAAUGCAACUUCUCUAACUCUGGUAACCGAACCUGCUCGAUCAAAAAAUUAACUCGUUAAUUACAAGCAACAAUGAUUUCUGUUGAUGGACAAAUCAAUAAAAUUACUCUUUCUCUGGUUAUAGUUCUUUUCAGUUUUUCAUACAAACAACCGUUAAUCAAGUUUUCCAAAUUAUUCCUUACUAAAUGUAUAGAUUUAGACGGCGGCUAAUAUAAUUCAUAUUGCAAAUAUUCUUUGAUUGUAACGAAUUUUGUAAUAUUAAAUUUUGGUUGAUUCGCAAUAGGACCUACUAUCCAGCGGGAGCAGUUCCUUGGGAUUUAACUACUGGCACCUCGAUUAUAUAAAAAUUUGGAAUAUUUUCAAAGGAAAUCACAUAAUUUCCCCUUGCAAAUAGUAAUUAUCAUUAAUUGCCACGGGUUGACAUAUAAUUCUAAGAAAUUAGGCGAGAAGAGUCUCAUCAACAAUCAAUCAGCAGAUAUCACGUUUGGCAGAUCAUCAUGAUUUCCUCAUAUGCUAGAGAAUCAACGUGAUUUCCGCUCAUGCAGGAGCAGGAGUGGACACAUUAUCUUAGAGCAUCCCUCACUGAGAUCUUUUAAAAAAUUUAUAUUAUAAAGUGAACAACAUAUUAAGUAUAGAUUUAGACGGCGGCUAAUAUAAUUUAUAUGUAUUCUAAUGACGUAUAUUAAAGAAAAUGACUAACCAUAAUUUCAAUCAACUUAUUAGUCUAUAUAUAUAUAUAUAAUAUAUAAUAUAUUCAGUGAUUACAACAUAUUUAGUAUUCCAUAACAUGAAGUUUAUAAUAAUAAUUAUUAUUAAUUCACUUAUUGUGUCAAGAACAUUUUCUUUCUCUAAGAAUGAAUUUGUUACACCCUACUAUACUACGGAUGAAAAAUUUAGAAUCAUUGUGAAAUAUAAUUAUUAAUCACUCUUUGCCAUAUUUGCGACCAAAGAAGAAUAUAACAAAGAAAAGAAACAAAAAUUAUAGAGAAUUAAUGAGACCAUUGACGUAUUAAUAACUGACCUUCCCAGUGAAAAGCGUAUUAGAAAUUUGGAUAUUGUCCUCCAAAAUGAUUUCAUGUGACUGCAAAUCAUUAGCUGAUUCCUGUUGUCUCUGUUGACAUUGAGUGUAAACUUAAUUGUGAGCACAAUCUUAAUGCAUAGAUACAAGAUCUCUAAAAAUUAGUAUAAUAAACUUAGCACAAAAUCUAAAUUUGAUAUUUCGGAUUCCAUGAUUAAGAUUUUUUAAAUAAAAAUUUAAUAUAGUUAAUUUAAAAAUAAAAAUUAAAUAUGAAAAAUUAGAUUUGCAAUUAUGGAUUUAAUUUUGAUAAAUAAUGAAUGUUCUCUUUAUAUUUUUUUUUAAAGGUAAAACAGCGUACAAAGCCCAAAUUCAUUUUUUUAGUCCCUUACUCUCCCAUGAUUCAAACUUGGGUGGUUGUAGGGGGACUGAAAAUAUGUAAGACAGUUAACUUCACUUUUUUUUUUUUUUGAGAGAGAAAAGAGAAGAAGGAUAUUACAAAGCACGAAGCUCGUGCAAUAUAAGGGCAAUUAUGGUUUUUUCUUUAAAUUAAAAUGGUAAGAUUCUGAAGCUAAAAGAUUAAAAUAUUAAUUAAAUUGCAAACAUUAAAGAUUUUUUUUCCAAAAUUGGUUGCUUUGAAAAUGAGAAUAAUAUAAUGUUUGAAGACUUUUCAAAAUUAAUUACUGUGAUGCACUAGAAAUUUCUAGCUUUAGUCUAAUGUAUAAAUUGACAAAACGAUAUUAGAAUCCCAGGUGAAAAGAACCCUCUCAUACCAAUUAUUUAAAUUAGGAAUGAUCAUACCUCUGACUCUGCCGAACUGAGGGCGGGGUCUAAACCCCUCAUACGGAGACGCUUGAGAUGGGAAGAGCCCACUUUGACUAAUUCAUUACGAAUAUAAUCGACAUCUUGCUCUUGCAAUCCACGUAAUUCAAGGUCUUCAAUUCUCUGCAGUUGCACGAUCAGCGAAUCCUUCAAGCAAAUCUUGUCAUUGAGGUCGAGACUGAAUUCACGACACCAACUGCCGUUGCUCUCCUCAUCAUCUCCAAUGCGUAUGCUGUACCUUUCCAGCUUCUCCAAGAGCAGGCCUCUGGGCAGAGUGCUGACGUCAUAGACGUGUAAUUCCAAAGAGGUCAAGUUGGGCAAAUGCUUCAACUCCUCAAGGCUUGCAUUCUUAACCCCUCCCACCUCCAUCUCCCAGUAACGAAAGCUUUGAUCUAUAUAUAGUUCUUCUAAAUGUGAUAAUUUUGACAGUAUAUUUGGUGGAAUAACUUCUAGAUAGCAACAAUCCCUCAAAUCAAGCAACUUUAGCCAAGUCAAUUCACCUACUUCUACCGGCAACUUCUUAAUAUAAGAACCUCUUAAGCAAAGGAUUUCUAGUUUCUUCAAGCCUCCUACAACACUUAUAUCGGGCAAGAUGAAGCCGCACAAACUCAGUGUUCGAAGGUUUGACAGGAGACCAAGUGAUGAAGGCAGUGACCGUAGAAACAUGCCAGUCAAGUUGACAACUCUGACCUGCAUCAUCCUCUCGAAAAAGUUGUUUGGAAUUGUUAAUGAUGAAAAUUCCCAACGAUCAGCACGUAUAAAAAGAAGUUCGAGCUGAGGACAUUCCAGUACUUCAGGAAGCAAAUUAUUCUUGAUACCAUGUAAGACGAUUGAAGUGCAAUGCUUUAUUGCACUUCCAUCUGACCAUUCCCUGCAACCAUCAACCUGCUCAUUUGUAGCAGUAAACACAUUUCGUUCAGUAGAUGCAAUUGAUACGGCGACAUCGCGAACUACAUCAUGCAUAGAAAACAACUCUUUCUUCUGGCUUAUAUGGUCAAGCAACAUACAAGAAGCUUUGAGUGUGCGCACCAAUGUAUGUACUCGAUUUCGUGCUACUUCAAUCUUAUUCACACCUUGAAAUAAACCCAAUCCCAUACCACACAUUAACAAGUCAUCAAUAGAUGCUAUGGCUGUAUAUCCUAUUAGCAAAAAGAUGUUCUUGAGAUCAUCCCUUCCUAGUUUAUUGUAGCUCAACUCGAUAGCUUUAAAUGCGGCUGGCUGUACAUCCUUAAAAUUCGAUGAAGAAGGCCUUCUUAGCUGUUCCAAUGCAUCCUUCCAUUCACGUAUGCUCUUGCUCCUUAAUGCCCUUGCAACCGUCACAAUGGAAACUGGUAGACCUGCACAUUCCUUUGCCACAUCCCUUGCUACCUCUUUCAAUUCAUUAUCUUCAACAUAAUCACCUGCCAUCUUCGUGAAUAGACUCCAAGCUUCAUCUUCUUUUAAAAAUCCAACUGGGAAAUUUUUUCGAGACUCCAUCUCUCCAGACAAUACUUCUUCACUCCUUGCCGUGAACAGCACUUUACAUCCCAUGUGAUCAUCUCCGUGAGGAAUUCCGACAUCCAACAAAUCAAGAUUUUCCCAAAUAUUAUCCAAGAUUACAAGGAUCCUCUUCUCUUUCUUCAGUCGAUCAUAGAGUCUUCUUGCCCUACCCGAUUCACUCUCCUCAUCAAAUUUUAGACCUAGUUUAUCCGCGAUUUCUCCUUGAAGCUUUCUUACGUCUCGACUCUCAGACACCUCAGAAAAAACCACCUGAUCGAAAAGCUUGUCACUCUCUGCUUUUCUAGCAACUUCUUUAGCUAGCGUCGUCUUUCCGAUUCCGCCCAUUCCAUAAAUCAAAAGCAUGUUGACAUUGGGAUUUUUUAAUGCAUCAAUUAUUUCAUUCAGAAUGGACGUUCUUGAUUCAAAGGCCUCGAAGUCUUUGUUAGGCAUAAGCAAGGUAUCCUCCGGAAUGAUGCUGUAGGAAAUACUAUUAACUGGUCUAGCGUCCAGGACUUUGACAACAGCCUCCUUCUGCCUCUCUGCUUCCUUGCUAAGUCGAGGGCGGGUCUUCAAAUUAGGACAUAACCCCUUGAAACAACGCUUAUUUGCAGUGGCUUCAUCUUCUGUAAAUUUAUCUGCCUCUUCAAUGACACUGUUGGCCGUUGCAAGCCAAUUCUCAACGUUCUCUUCAAUCUCUUCUCCUUUUCUUUUAGCCUCAUCAACCUGGUGCUCUGUAUUCACCCUCUCAGACUUUAGUUUCACAACUUCAGUGUUGAGAUUCUGUAAGUUGCUCGUGUACUUACUCUCACGCAAAUAGCUAAUUUGGCGAUAUGCGUGAGGAGCCAAGCACUUUGCAACUUCUAAAGCAAUAGUAAGAAUGAUUUCAGCCAUCUUCAGUCCUUUGUCCUUGUCUCUCUAUCUCUCUUUUUCUGAAUUUUGGAAAAACAAUUCAACAAGUGACCACAACAAGAUGGAACAAAAUAAAAAGGAAAAAAAUACAAAGAGUGGAUGGAGAAUAAAACAGAGACAGCGGCACAGCUAGACACAACUAGAUAGAGAACAGAGGAAAACCAAAUAACAAGACUUAAGAUUACAACAAACAGAGGCCAAGUAUUAUUGUUGAGAUCAGAAGAUGGAAAAUUCCAAAGAGUUGAUGGCAGAUGCUGAAUAACAGAACAACAAUGAACACAAUAAACAGAAGCAAAGUGUGUUUGUGAUCGACAGACGGAAGUAAGGAAAGCGGUUGUUGAUUGAAAAUGAAUGAAUGCAAAGAAAGACUGAUGUUAAAAAUUGAUGUCAAGGAAUAAUUGAACUUUCGCUGAAUUAUUGUUUGUGGCUUCUUUUACUGUUUAUUUGUGGGUCAUGUCUUUUGGAACUAAUCUUGUCCAAAAAAUGUUGUUUAUUUGUGGGUCAUGUUAUUCAGCAUCUGCCAUCAACUCUUUUGUUUAUUUAUUCAAAAAAUAAAUUGUGAUUAUUUGUUAAUGUAUGCGAUUACUUGUGAUGGUAAACAAAGUAGAUAUGGUAUAUUUUGAAGUUAAAUUAAAAAAAAAAAAAACAGAACUUUUACCGUUACUUGCCUUAUCAUCUUUUAAAUUAGAGUUAUUAUUCUUUUAUUUUUCAAGUUGCCAACUCAUCAGUGUAUUCUUUUAUUGAAUUUAAAGAUCAAUGAUUAUAAAUUUUUGUGAAAAUUUUAAGUCAAAACUUUAAAUUAAAAUAAUCUUUAAGUUAUAGGGAAAUAAUAACUUAGUAUAACAAAUAUUAUAUCCUAUACUUUAUUGCUACAAAAUUACGAAACCUUAUAGUUUCAAAAACAAAAAUUACGAAACCUUAUAUUAUAUUAUGUUUCCAUAUUUCUCCUUUAUAGUGAAGACUCAUACUUCUUAUCUAAUAAAUGCUAAAGUAUUGGCUUAAAUUUUUUAACCAGCAUAGUAGACCCUUAAGCUAUAUAUACUAUAAUGUCCCUCUUCUCUCACAGAGUAAACCAAUCUGAUCUCAGAGUGAGUUGAUACCAUGACUUCGCAUCAUUUGUGAUCAAAGGAGUAUCAUUACUAACUAAUAUAGGCUCCAUCAAUAGGCAUGAUAAUAAUUUUUUUUUUUAUCUACAAACGCUGUUUUUCAAAAUAUUAUAUCUUAAGACUUAACUAAAUAUUUUUUAACUAUGUAGAUAUAGUUUGUUUGAUCUCUUUUAAAUAGUGGAGAUUACAAACAAACAUAUGUGAAUUAGUAGUGAUGUUGAGUUCAGAAGCUUGAAGUUAAAAAAAUUAAGGGUUUCUUGAUCUAGAGAAAUUUCAAAUGAGUGAAGCGUCCUCGAAAUCGGAAGACGAAAAUAAGGAAAGGGUAAGGGUGUAUUUUCAAAGUGAUUCUAUUAAGAGAUCUUUGAAGUAGGGGUGGGCAAGUCGGGUUUUGGUUCGGGUUGUUCAAAUUUCGGUUUGGGUUUUAACCCAAUCGGGUUUGAGAAUUAAACUCAAUCGGGUUGAAAACGCCAAUCCAAACUAAACCGAACCAAAUUUAAUUCAGUUCGGGUUCAUAAUUCGGAUCGGACUGGGUUGAUAAUUCAUGUUAAAAUUUCGAUUCGGGUUAAUUUGGGUUAGAAUAAUUCAAUCUAAAAUUUUGGGUUAGUUCGGUUUAAAACGGGUUGGAACUAUUUAAUCCAAAAAUUCUACCAACAACCACUUAAAAUCUAAAAAUCUCAAUUCCAAACAUCCUUAACAACAAAUAUCAACUACAAACCAUCCUUUACAACAUUUCAACAAUAACAAUAGCAAUAAUAACAACAACAACAAUAAUAAUAAUAAUACCAACAACUAUGAAUCAGCAAUUCAACAUAUUGCCAUAUUCUAAAUUUAAAAAAACACACAAAUUAUUUAAUUAAUUAAUUAAUUAACAAUCUCCAAUUUAAUUUAUAAUAACAACAAAAAUCCUCUCCAAUUUAAUUAAUAACAGUCUCCAAUUGUUUAAUUAUCAGUCAACAGCAACAAACCCAAUCUAAUUUAAUCAUAACAAUCUCCAAUUGUUCAAUUAUCAGUUAACAGCAACAAAUCAUCUCCAAUUUGUCACGAACAGCCUCUAAUUGUUUAAUUAUCAGUCAACAACAACAAACACACUCCAAAUAAUUGAACAAUUAUUAAUUAAUUAAUUAAAAAUACCCAAUUUAAUUAAUAACAACACCCAGGAGCAAGUCAGCAAUAAACCCACUACAAAAUCCAAAUAUCAGUGUAAACUAAGUGUCAAACCUUGAUCGGUGGGAAGCUACAGCGUCGGCAAAGCGUGACCGUGUGGGGCUGAGUGAGACCGUCGACCGAGGGUGUGAGAAGGGAGAAGAGGGAGCUGGGAGGUAACAUGGUGUGUGUGAGUUUAUAUAUAUAUAUAAUUUUUAAAAGCCAAAACUUAAAAAAAAAAAAAUUUAACCCAAUCCAAACGCGCACCUCAGAUUACUUCCGUGUUAAGAGAUGAAUCCCACACUCUUGAGCCUUUGUCGUCCUAGUCAACUAUCAAAACAAAUCAUUAUUGAAUGUGAACAGAAUUAUUGAUCACCCAAUUUUCAAACUUGUCAUCCUUAUUGAAUCUGCAUUCCCUUUUAAAAUUUUUUAAAAAAGUACAAAUAAUGAAACAAAGUGUUGUUCCUUCAACAGUUGAUAGAGUUACGCGGCUUCAACUUGCAAGUGCUGUCGGCAUUUUCAAACUUGCAAUACCCUUCAACUUGCUUUCCAAGAUAGCUAUAAUUAAUAAUGACAACAAUCUCCCUUGUAGUGACUAGUGAGCAACUUGUUUCGUGAAAUUAACGGCAUCUUCUCUCACAUUUAAAAAAAAAAAAUUGAAUUAUAAAACCCACCAAAACUAUAAAAGAAUUGUUAGUUUUUCUUCAUUAAAAUUAAUAGAUUGCUCCUCAUAUUGAAAAAUCAAAAUUCAGAAUAAGAAUGAUUGAUACUCUUUAUUUACUAAAAUGAAAAUAAAAUAUAUGAAGCCUACAUAUUUUUGAAAUAAAAAAAAAGAACUUUAUUUUUCAUGAGGAGUGUUGGGAAUCAAGUUCUCAUUAUUUAAACUCUCAAUUGUACCAUUAUUUAAACUCUCAAUUGCACCUCACCGAAAUUUCAUAAUUUCACUUUUGUUCUCAAUUAAAAUAUUAUUAUAGUUAUUAUUCUUAUAAAUGUUGAUGAUGAUGAUACAAGAUAAUAAAAUUAAUGAUAAUUAAACCAAUUUGAAUUCAGAGUGAGUGAGUACCAUUACUUCGCAUUAUUUGAUAUCAAAGGAGCAUCAUAACUAACUAAUAUAGGCUCGAUCGAAUUCAUCAUGCGAAGUAUAUUAUCGGCUGUAGGUAUGGAAAUAAAUUUUGUAUCCACAAACACUAUUUUUCAAAAUAUUUUAAGACUUGACUUAGCAUUUUUUAACCAUAUAUGUAUAGGUUGUUUGACCUAUUUUAAAUAGUGGAGAUUACAACAAAUGAACAGAUGUGGAUUUGUAGAGUUGUUGAGUUCAGAAGAUUGAAGUUAACAAAGGGUUUCUUUAUCUAGAGAAAAUUCGAAAGAGCGAAGUGUCUUCGAGAUCAAAAGACGAAAUAAGGAAAGGGUAAGGUUAUACUUUCAAAAUGAAUCUGUUGAGAGAACUUUAAAGAUUACUUUCGUUAAGAGCUGGAUCCCACACUUGAGUCUUCGUCGUCUCAGUCAGUCAGCUAUAAAGACAAAUUAAUUUUGAGCGUGAAAGGACACAAUUGAUCACCAAAUUUUCAAACUCGUGAUCCUUAUUGAAUCUGUAUUCUCAUUUGAAAAACAAUAAAAGAUUAACAUUAAUUUAACUUCAUCUAGAUUCCCAUUUGAAUCUGCAUUCCCAUCCCGUUGUUCUCUGGGAAUGCACAUAAUCAAAAAAAAUCCUAUCCGCAUUUUCAAACUUGUGACCCUUCAAGCUUUCUAUGACAACUAUAACGAAUAAUUACAACAGUGCUACCUAAUAGUGAGCAACUUGUUUGAUGAAAUUAACAACUUCUUUUCUCUCAUAUAUUUUUAAAAAAUUGAAUUAUCAAAGUUUUUAUUUCAAAAUUAGUGCUAUAGUUCAUUAAUUUUUCAAAUUUUCCUUUUUCUUUCCACACAACAGAUUGAUUUGCCCUCCAAAAAAUGUAUUAUAUUGUUUAAUAUUGUAACUUCAAGAAACUUAUAAUAAAUUUUUAAAGAGAUAAAUAGAGAAUGUCAGUCUCCCAUCUACUCAAAAUUAAUAUAUAUCAUUAACUCUUGAUUAUUUUUAUAACAACUAAUAACUUUCUUGGCAGCAUAAUUUUACAGUAUCAUCCUUGUUUGUAAGUAUAUUUUUAUUCAUAUUUAUUAUAAAUUAAUUAAAUCAUAUCAAUGAAAAUUGAAAUAAAAAUUGAAGUACUAAAAAUUAAAAAAAUAUAUUUUGGUGUGAAUAAAAAAUUGAAAAUAAAAAUAUUUUUCUUAUAUUUUUUGUUAUUUUUAAAUUUUUUCUUAUAAUAAAUGUAUAUUUUAUAUGCUCAACUUUUUCUUUUAAUUUUUGUUAUUAGGAGGAUUUUUAGAUAUAAUGAAAUUUGUAAGGUAGUAAGUAAUAUAUAAUAAUUUUAAUAGAGAAAAGUAAAAAAUCUCUUAUUUUAAAAUAUAAGGAGAAAAAUAAUUAAUUUCAAGACAUUUUAGAAGAUAUUUCAAUACGCGGUGGACCACAAACUCGAGUCUUUGUCAUCUCAGUCAAACUAAAAGGACAGAAUAUUGAGGGCAUGGCUAAGGUGCAGAAGCUGCAAGUAACAGCUUCGAACUUUCCCAUUUCCAUCACCUUGCAUUGGGACCUCUUUCUUUGUCCUCUAGCACCCGUGGAAGUUCCCCAUUGGCCACUGUUAGGAGCUGUAACAUAGACUUCUCCGAAAAUUGAGCGCGAAGGGCUCAAGUGAUUGUUAAUUUCACAGCAAUUGCCUUUUUUCUUUCUUUUUUUUUUUCUAAUUAUUGGAAAAUAUAAUUUAGUAUAACAAAUAUUAUAUCCUUUCCUUUAGUGCUGCAAAAAUUCCGAAACCUUAUAUUAUAUAAAGUUUUCAUAUUUCUCCUUUAUAGUGAAGACUCAUACUUAUUCUCUAGUAAAUGCUAAAGCAUUGGCUUAAACUUUUUAACCAGCACAGUAGACCCUUAAGCUAUAUAUACUAUAAUGUCCCUCUUCCCUCACAGAUUAAAGCCAAUAUGAUCUCAGAGUAAGUUUGCUUCAAAGGAGUAUCCUUACUAACUAAUAUAGGCUCGAUCAAUAGGGAUGAUAAUAAUUUUUUUUUAUCUACGAACAUUAUUUUUUCAAAAUAUUAUAUCUUUAGACUUAACUAAAUAUUUUUUAACCAUAUAUGUAUAGUUCGAUUAAAUAGUGGAGAUUACAACAAAACAGAUGCGAAUUAGUAGUGAUGUUGAGUUCAGAAGAUUGAAGUUAAAAAAAUAAAGGGUUUCUUGAUUUAGGGAAAUUUCAAAAGAGUGAAGCGUCUUCUAAAUCAAGACGAAAAUAAGAAAAGGGUAAUGGUGUAUUUUCGAAGUGAUUCUAUUGAAAGAUCUUUGAAGAUUACUUUCGUUAAGAGCUGGAUCCCACACUCUUGAGCCUUUGUCGUCCCAGUCAACUAUAAAGACACGUUAUUAUUGAGUGUGAAUAUUCCGAGUUAUAAAUCACCAAAUUUUCAAACUUGUGAUCUUCAUUGAAUCUGCAAUCCCUUUUGAAAAAAAAAAAAGAAAAAGAAAGGAAAACUGCAAAUAAUGAAACAAAAUUCUGAUCCUUGAUAGAGUUACGCGGCUUCAACUUGCAAGUGCUGUCGGCAUUUUCAAACUUGUGAGACCCUUCAACUUGCUUUCCAAGAUAGCUAUAAUUAAUAAUGACAACCGAAGACGGCCACGUUUGCGGUACAAAAGUUGCACCAUAUUAGACGUUCUUUUUUGUUCUUAUCCGAAGUAACCGUUGGAUUCAAAGGAAAGUGAUCAGACAUUCAAUAGCUUCACACGUGGACAUUAUAGGAUACCGGUCAAAUCGGUUAGCGCUCCUCCACAUCAAACUCACAAGCAUGGCAAUCAUCGUAUUCGUAUCAGCUUGGAAACUUGUUACAAGUAACGAAGAGCAACAGAGUCCGCUCCUCUAGAGUCGGCAACAGAGUUUUAAUUAACGGCAUCUUCUCUCACAUUUUUUUUUAAAAAUUGAAUUAUAUAACCCACCAAAACUAUAAAGAAUUGUUAUUCUUCAUUAAAAUUAAUAUACUGUUCCUCAUAUUAAAAAAUCAAAAUUCAGAAUAAGAAUAAUUGAUACUGUUUAUUUACUAAAAUGAAAAUGAGAAUAAAAAUAAAAUAUAUGGAGCCUAUAUAUUUUUUAAAUUAAAAAAUAAGAACUUUUCAUGAGGAGUGUUGAGAAUCAAGUUCUCAUUAUUUAAACUCUCAAUUGUACCUUACCAAAAUUUCAUAAUUUCACUUUUGUUCUCAAUUAAAAUAUUAUUACAGUUAUUAUUCUUAUUUUUGUAGUUGUUGUUGUUGAUGAUGAUGAUUAUGAUGAUACAUGAUAAUAAAAUUAAUGAUAAUAAUAAUGAUAAUGAUAAUGAUAAUAAUAAUAAUGAUAUGAUAAUGAUGAUAAUAAUUUGAACAACAACAACAACAAUAAAUAAUAAUAAUAAUAAUGAAAAUAAUAACUAUAAUUUUAACAACAAUAAUAAUCAUUAAUAUUAUUAUUGUUAAAAUUAUUAUUAUUAUUAGAUAAUUAUUUUGAAUAAUAAUAAUCACAAGUCUAUUCUGAUUCCAGUUUAUUCCGAUUAUCGAUUAGAAAAUGCAUCAUUACUGUUUUAAUAAUAACUAAUAAUUCUCUUGACAUCAUAAUCGUAAUUCUUAUACUAUUAUCCUUAUUUUAAAAUCCACUACCAUGAGCUUGCAUCAUUUGAAAUGGUAGGUACUAGGUAGCAAUUGCUUACAUCAAAAUAUCUAGACUCACUCGGCAAAGUAUCCGAGGCCAAAACGCCAAAAGAUGGGACACCCACAUGUGCAUCUAAUUACAAAAUCUAAAGUUAAUGAAAAAGAAAAAAGAAAAAGUAUAAAUGAACGGUAUUGGCUGUAGGACAAGGGGAGGGGAAAAAGGACCAUUUUGUUUUCUUUGCUAAUUCACAUGGGGAAGGGAAAAAAAGAAAAAGACAGUUUUGAUUAAAAAACACAGAAUAUUCAAUUCACAAGCCACCAAUGCUUGUGGACCAAUGGUCGAUAUAUGAAAGUUAGAGAUUCUGGCAAAAUGAGCAAAUAUUUUGAGUUGAUUAAUGGAUUUGUUUGUAAUGCAAUACAAGAUAGCAUUUUAAAGCUGGCAAGAAAGAAAGAAAUAAGUCAAUAAUUGAGAUAUUUAAAGAAGCUCAAGUGGUCAUGAAAUCUCUCCUUAAAAACUAUACAAGAUAAUGUUAAUGAUAAAGUUAGCCAACCAAGUCGUUCAAUCAUUGCUAGAAGCAAGCAGCCAUUGAAGUUGAUAGAAGCUAAUGCAUGGAAAAAGGUUCGUUACAUAAAGGAGAUAAUGAGAAAAUUGAUGAACCCCUAUCAUCCAUGUUUUGUUUCAAUCAAAAGGUUUGAAUUUUAAGGCCGAUAUUUUGGACUGAAUCCCCCUGUCUGCUUCCAAAGGGGAGGAUGUGCAUGUAGUUGAUUGGGCCGAUGAUUGUGAUGGGAGGGAACUUUUAGCUUGGAAAUGGACCUAGCAAGCCCAUGUUUGAUUCGGUAAGUUGUGACUUCUCAUGGGCAUUUGAAAUUUUUAAAUGGCCUUUUAUAACCUUUGUCAAGAUUCUCAGAAAUCGAAUCAUUCGGUGAUUACUUGCAAAUUCGGAAAGGAAAUUGGAAUCAAACUGGGGUUCUAAUUAAAAAAAAAAAGGGUUCAGAAUCAGAAUUUUGUUCUUUUGACUGACUAAACUACCCUCAUUUAAUUUUCAAAAUGCCCAAAUUUUUAUCAUGCUCACUUGGCGUUAUCUCGUCUUGUGGGAGCUGUAGGACAGUUGAGAUAAAAGAUAUUGCUCCAGUAUCUACUGUUUUCUCAUCCUGAUCUUCAGAGUUAUUCUCAACAAUGGACAAAUUUGAGUUUAGAACAGCAUCAGAAACCAAUGACACCCAGUCGCAUCCAGCUACUUCUUCACUUUGCUCAAUUCGACAGAUUUUACGCAAAUUUGUUUUGUUCUCAAAAUAGUCUGCUGCUCCCGGAUUGUCCUCAUUACAUUGAACGAAUGAUGACGACGCUCUGUCCGUUUCUGGCUCUCUGCUUUUCUCUUUCACAUCACGAGACACCUCGUUUCUAACUGGGGUACCACCAUCACAUUUAACUGUUAUUGGCAACUCAAUAGCUAAUUCCAAUGUUUCCUCAAGCAGUUUAGAGAUAAACUCUCUCGCUGAACUCCCUGGAGUAACACAAUCCAGUUUUCCAGUGCAAUCAUCAAACAGUUGAACAGCUCCUGAAUUCCCUUUGCUUUUCUUGUUUUCUUUUCCAUGUAAAGGGAGCUCAGGCUUCAAUAUAUCUGGGGAUUGAUUACUAAUGAUAAAGACAACAUGCUGUAGAGGACACAAAUUGUUAUUAAACAACGAUGCACUUUUCAUUUUUCAACUGAGUACGGUAAAGCAAGAAUGGGUAAUUAGUUUUACCUGCUAAGCGAAAAUCUACACUCCCGAAGGUAACCGAUCUUGGGUGAAGCAAAUAAAGACGAAGGCGAAGUAAAAUUCACUGAGUUGAAUGAGCGAUCAUUGCUGAUAUAAUUAAAGACUGGUGAAUCCUGCAUGUUGACAAGCAUCAUUUUUAAUCUAACAUAGAGUCUUAAAAACCUGGUCAGUGGCAAAUGAUCACGACAACAAAUCUGAAGUACAAACAGCAGAGCUCAACAAAUCACUAAGAGAAAAUAACACCAGUAACCAAGCAGAUGAAAGAAAAGCAAAAUAAUCCAUCUCAAAUCACCACAUGCACAAUUUAAGGGGGUUGUGACAUGGGUUUAAGCAUGAUUUAACAAGUGCCACCAGUGAAUUCUCAGAUUGAAUUUUCAUACACAUGUCAAAUUUUCAAGUCCAACGAAUUGUUAUCUUUCUGAAGAUAUUAACUAUGCAUAGCAUGCUAUAAACAAAUCAUAUUAUUAGGGCCUUUGUUUGCUGUACACAACAUAUGUACAGAGGAACAAAUCCAUGAGCUGAAAUCAUCAUAUUCCAAAAUAUUCUACCCAAUCAACACUACAAAACCGUAACGCUAAACAGAAUUGGAGCAAUUUAAGAAAGCUAUUUGUCACACAAAGCACUAGUACCUCAGAACCCAAUUUGCAAAAAAGCAACAAAAAUGAAAAAUAACAAAUGCCCAGAUGCAAAAUCAGGAAAAAAUGCUCAAAUACAAACUACAACCCCAUAAGCUGAGAUUGACCUCAAACUUGGAAACAGAAGCGACAGUGAUCUGUUUCUUGUCUGGAGUGUCCAUUUCUAUAAUCUACUUUGUCCGUUUUCAGUCGCUCCGCCACAAAGCCUCUUCACUCCGAAGCUGAAACUCGCCACACACUUGCAAAACGAAAGCAUUUGAUUGAUUGAGAGGCGGGAAGGCGGGAAAACGAGCGAAAUUUGCUUUUGUUUUUUCUUCGUUUGGUCAUACAUGUGCGGGCCCCCCAGGUUGACAAGCGUUAUCAUUACUAUUUGCAUUAUUUGAAGGACGCGUGUCAUGCAACGACGAUAGAAAAAGUGGUGCAAAACUCCAAUUGUCACGAAAUGAUGAUAAAAUAAAAAUAUAUCGUUAAUUUUUCACUUAACAUUGGAAUAUCAUAUAAUUUUAUGGUCAUUUUCUCGCCGCCACAUUCUUUUGAUAAAAUAAUACGGUAAAACUUUUCUAUAAUCAUGAUAUUAGAACCCAAUUAACUUUGUUUCUACAAAGAGGUUAUAGCUUAAUAAAGUAAAAUUGUAAAAAAUAUUAUUUUGACUUAAUUAUCUAAAGAGUAAAUAUAUAAUAAUUAAUUAAUAAAUUAUGUCAAAUACAAUAUAUGGACUAUGAUAAAAAAGAUAGACAUAAUUUCAUAAAAUUAAUACAUAUGUUUUUGUAGUGCUGCGAUUAUACAAAGUUAUCUUAAAAGUGUAAAGAGUAAAGUAUUGUUUUAAUUAAUUUAAAAAAAUAUUUUAUUAUUAACCUUUAAUGCAACAUAGUAAUUUUUUUUCCCUGGCAACAAAGUAUUGUUCCAAAUAAUUAUUAUUGGAUCUAGAUCCUGCCCUAGGCAUUUUCUCUACUAAUCCUCAUAAACUUUUAGGGUAUGUUUGGCACGUAAGAUUAGAUUGGACAAACUAUUAUGAUUGGACUAACUUAGAAUGGAUUAGAUUAGAUUGGAUUAUAUAUAGUGCUGACUUAUGUUUGGUAUGGUAUUGGAUUAGAUUAUGUUAAAUUAAAUUUACAUAAAAUUAAAUAGUAUUUACAUUAAUAUUUGAAUUUAAAUAUCAACUAUUUAUAGAUAUUUAACAAGAAAUAUUAUAAUUAAUUAAAAAUAGCAAUUGGGUAGUCAUAAUUAUAAUAAAGAAAUAUAAAUUAUUUAAAUUAUAGGUUAUUUCAAAGAGUGAUGAUACAACCACAAAUUCUUGUACAAACUGAUUUGGCAUUAAUUCAUUUAUUGAAUGAAAAUAUAAAAUAAUAAAAAUAAAUCAUGUGGGCCCAAGAUAUAUUUAAUUCAACCAAUUUUAUCAUGCCACAUCAGUUUGUACAAAAAUUUGUGAUUAUAUUAUUACUCUAUUUCAAAUGAGAGAUAUCAUUUCAUUGAAUAAAAUAAAUAAAAUUAUUCAAAUAAUAAAUUAAUUAAUAAAAUUUAAGUAAAUCAUGAAUAAAAAAGAAAUCAAUUAAUUAAAAACAGUAAAUAAUUAAAUAAUUUUUAAUUUAUAAAUAAAAUGGUAUAAUAAAUUAUGGAAGAUACUAUAAAUACACAAAUAUUUUUUUCACAUUAUCUAGUUCUAACUAAACACACAUAAAAAUUAGGAUUAGCAAUCCCAUGAAUUUAGGAUUAAAAUUUGAAUUUAGUCGAUUAAUCCAAUACAAGUGAGCAUGCUAAAUAUGGUAUUAAUAUUUUAUCCCAGUAAUAAGUCCAAUUCUACACUUAAUCGUACCUCCCAAAUAUAAUCUUAAGGAUCUAUUGACAUGUGUCAUUAAUGAAAUUAAAUGGCUAAGAUUUUGUUUUAAUUAUUUUUUACCUAAAUAGACAUCAAAACUCAUGUGUGACUCUUGUUAAAUUUUUUCUUACAAAUUCUUUUCCUCUUAAUUCUUUAUAUUUUGACACUAAUUUCCAGCAAAUUAUUUAAAAAAAAGGAGCACAAAUUGGAAAAAAGUGAUUGACAACAAGGUUUGCAUCUUAAUUUCAAAAUUUUCCUUUCUUUGAUGUUUUUGUGGUUUCUAUAAUUGUUGUUUUCACUCUAAGUUGCAAUUCAAUGAACUAAAUUAGUGUUGCUACUUUAUAAACUGCUAUUACUGGGCAUAUAAUUCUAUUGCUACAAUUUUUUUGAGUUUAUAGUUUCUGUUCUAUUCUCUUUUUGGGUUUGCAACUGCUGUUUGUUGUUUUUUUAGGUUUUAUAGUUGAUGUUUUGGGAAAAAUAAAAAUAAAUGUGAUCUUGAAUUCUUUAACUACUAUGAAACAAUUAAAUUAUUUAGCUGCUGCAUUUUCUGCUGUAUUAUUAUAGGCGAGAUGUGUGUCGAAAGGGAAAGAAUUUGCCUAAAAAAAAAAAUUGACAAGAGUCACAUGUGAGUUUAGAUGUCUUUUUUAAGUAAAAAUUAAUUAAAAUUAAAUAUUAGCCAUUAAUAACACAUGUCAAUAAAUUUUUCAAAGUCUAAGAAGAUUGGAAGAGGAUCCGAUCUAUUAUUUACUCUAUAAAAGGAAGUUCCUUGAAGACAAGAACUAUAAAUAAAUUAAUAUAAUGAAUUUAUUCUUAACCUAGUCUAAAUUGAGACUAAAAUUUUUUACUUAAAAAUUUACUAGCUAGCUUUACCUUGAUGGACUAGCUAUGGCCCAUACACAUUUCUCCAAUUUUAUUAAUAUUUUUGUGCAUAGCAAUUAGGGAUACGUGACAAUAAAUUAUCCUUUUAACAUAUAAAAAGUAUUCUCACAAGUAGUGUGCCCCUCCAAAGGGCACAGACAGACUUUUAGCCUCUUUCUUCGGUUUACCACUCCAGUUGGAAUCUUCAAUAAGAUUAAACAUUGAAUAUAUCUAAAAUAUUAGCAAUAUUUGUACUUAUAUUUAACAAAACUAGAGUAAUAUAUUGAUUAAUCUACAUAAUUUUGGGCGGGUUCUUAUGUAAUGUUACAAUUAACAUAGAUUAUUUUCACGGUAUAAGGCAAAUCUUGAGAAUGAACCCAUUUCAAUAUGGUUUCCACAAUAAAUGAACCCACUUUACUACCAAUGAAAGGCCUUGACUCAUAUAUAUCCACCUGGAAAGAAGGGGGGGGGGGGGGAGAGAAGAAAUCUUCUAAUUUCUUUCACCAUCAACAAAAUCAGUGAAACACAUACUAAUUCAAAAUAAAAUAAACUUUGUGAAUUGAAAUAAUGCCUGCUCUAAAGAAAAUGAUAACUGCUAUUCAUUUUUCUGAACUGCUGAUAAAAGCUUCUGCUAUUUACUUCGAAAAAAUUGAGUAACUUCAAAUUUUGAGUUUAGGCAAGAGGAUGAAUGGUAAAAGUGAGACAUUUUAGGGGAAAAGUAAAUACUUGAUAGGCCAAUGAAACAUUCAAAAGAUUGAAAUCUAAAUGAGCAAAACCUCAUGGCCUUGAGGCCCUUGAUCCAACAAUUCCACUGCUGUUGACAUGCCUGCAAGCCCAACUCCAAUAAUAGCCACUUUCAGCUUUGGUCCUCUAUAAUGUUCCGGUUCUGGUGGAAACAAACACUUGGGAGCUGCCAAGUAUACCAUUCAAUUAUCCACAGCGAUAUUGGAAAAACAUACAUGUUUGAAAGUACUAAAUAUCAAAUGUCUCCCGAAAAAAAUACAAAGCACAAUUGCAUAAGCAUUUCAUUUCCCAAUAAAUUUCAAGAAUACAAAAUACUUGGUCUGUUCUUGAGUUCCUUUAAGAAAAUUUCCACGAGAGAGCACGCAAGCCACUCAAUAACACUCCAAAGUCAGAUUUUAAACGUUAUCUUGAUCUAUAAGUACAAUCCAUGAACCAUUCUGCCACAAAUUCAAUUAAAAAUUAUUCAAGUAAAAUGCCAAAUUCUCCUUCAAUAGCCUCAAAAAUUCAUAACUAGCAAACACUACAGAACAAAAAGAGCUCCCAGCAAUAAACGCAUAAAAAUCCCACCAGAAACCAGAAAACCCAAAAGAUCAAUACUUGGUAAACAAACAAAUCAAAUCAAAUAAAACAAAAAGAAGAGAAAUUUACCAUUAACACUCAUAUCAGAAACGUUAGUAUCCAAAGAAGCCCGUACACAGAAUCUUGGAACCUUCACUUGAACCCGAGACCAACAAACACCAGUAACUGAAGUUGCAGGAAACAGAAGUGAAGAACCCAUAUUGAAAUAAAAGAAUCCAAACCCAAAGUGCCACAUCUAAAUAUGAUGGAUCCACUUAAAAUAAACAUAUAAAAAUCUUCAAUAUGAGUGCGAAAAUGUGUGGGGGAAAAAACUAAAAAGUGGUUUACCAUGCAGCAAUAUGAAUUUUAAGCUCUCUUUUCUUAUGUCACUCAAGGCAUUGGCUGGAUGGCCAAACAGCAGAGUUCAAGUGUACAAUAGAGAAUCGAAAUUUUCCUUUGUAAAUGUUCAUAAGUAUUUACCACAGAUUUUUAAGUUAUUCUUGAUAGAUCCCCUACCACAUACGCUAUAAUAUUUCUCUCCUUUUAAUUUAAAAGUAAAUCAUGCAUAAUAACGCACUUGUAAAGAAAUGAAAUUUUCGGUAAUUAACUGACAAAAUAAAAAAAAAGGAUUAUGCGAAAGAAGUUAAUAUAGAGUAAGUCGAGUACUUGACAAUCAAAGUAAUUUACUCGAGGUUGAGUAAGGAUAGUACGAUACUUUCUCAAGUUUUCUGAGGACAUUCAUGUGACAUUGGACUAUUGAUUAUAGUUAGAGAGAAGUCCAAGGAUGUAAGUGAUGAUGAUAGAUUCAGAAUUCUUUUGAAGAAAAUAUUUUAUAUAAACUUAAUUAUAUGGUAUAAAAUGAUUGGCCUUAAUAAAAUUAAAAAAUAAUAAAAAUAAUACACGCCUGGGUCAUGCAAUAUUUUCAACCAACUAAUUUACACGCAAAAUUAAAACUUUAUGAGUACAUUUAUUUGCUAGCAGAAACUCUGCCAAAUUUUCCGAAAUGUGAAAGUGAACACUUUUAACAGCGGCACAAAAUGCCUGUGAUAAUGAAACAAUGUGCCAUCCUUAAACUAAUAUUAUUAGAAACUAUAAGUGAAAGUUUUCAGAAAACAUGUGAUAAGUUUUUCUCGGAAUUUGUUUUCUCCUUUGUUUUGAUUUACGCGAGAGAUAGUUGUAAAGAUUGUUUUGAUAAGUUUUCAGAAAACAUGUGACGAAUCGUAGUAAAAAAUUUAUACAUAAUAAUUGAAUGAGAUCCAUGGUUCACAAUUGCAAAUUAAAGGUUGGUUUUAUAAUAAAAAUCGUUUUGUGCAUACCAAAUUAGAAAAGAUUAUAAGUAAAUUAAGAUUUUCAAAAUUUGACUAGUACUAUAUUACGUACAUCAAUAUAAUAUAAAUUUGUUAUAUUUAUAUAUGUUAUUCUGUAACUAAUGCUUUCAAAAAUUUUAUACUUGUAUGUUUGAACAACUUUUUUUCGCUUUCUAUUUAUAUACGAUAUUAUUUAUGUUUACAUAAAUUUUCAUAUGUACCCAAAUUAAGUAUUAAAUACACACACUCUGGUAAGACACAUUUCUAGUAUCAGACAAUGAUAUUAUAUUGAAUGUAAUGCUUCAAUGAAUUUUAUUACUAUAUACUAAAAUACUCAACGAUCUUCAUUAAAAAAAAAAAAAAGAAAUUGCAUGAUUAGAAUGAUUAAAGUUCAUUUAAUGACGAGUUUCAUCAUUGACUGUGUCGAAACAGAACAGCAAUCCACAAUACACUCAACACGAGAGGCGCACACAAGCAUGCAUGAAUCUUCCACCAUUAAACCUGAAAUCAUAAAAUGAAAGAAACAAGGUGAGUGUUGUUUUACGGUCUGAAAGCCGAUUCGAAAUAAUAAUAAUAAUAGACCUUUGUUAAUAGUUACUACUAGUGGUCACUGCCUUGUCCAUCUUCCUUCUCUGUAUUAUCGUCCUCUUCCAAGCCGCUGUCAUCUGACCAAACCCCAGCAACCAUGGGAAAAAUCACCUACUUGUUUUAGGAGCAGGAGCAGGAGCAGGAGGAGGAAAUUAAGUUAGGGAUUUGGAGUGAUAGGGAAAAAGCUGAUUGUUGAGAAAUAUGUAUACCUUUUGUAUGGUUGUGUUAAGGUCGCCCUUCCAAGCCCAACGUGCUUCACUCCGCCGCUGCACUUCGUGUAAUUUGGGUGUACUUAAAUUUCCUUCAGAGAAAAUCUUCAUAUCGGGGCAAUCAUCCACCACUAAUAUUUCCAAAGAUGGGAACUUGAAAGCACAAUUGCCAGAGCAGAAGCUUGUCAAACUUUUUAAGUCUAAAAGCUUCAACUCCUUCAAUUCUCUGAAAGUAAUAACCUCAUCUUUUGCCACAACAUCAUCCACCAAUACUAUUUCUGUUAUCAUAACGCAUGAUUUUAUCUUCAUAUAUCUAAGUCGCACCAGAGACUUUGCAAUUGAGGAUGUUAAUACGAUUUUCAAUCUUUCGCAACUGAAUACCACCAGAUUUGUAAGAUUCUGAAAGGAUGUCGACGAUGGCACUAGAUUGACCAAACGGUCACACCCCUUUACACGUAGAAUAACCAAGUUGUUCGUAACAGAGGACUCCCUUAUCAAAAUGUUCUCCAGAUGAUAACAAUUAUUUGCUUCACUUAUUUCUACUGCCAUACCAUUUUCAACCUUCUCUUUCGGCGACCGGCCACCAUAUCCUUGUAUUUGGAGGACUUUCAUUGUGUGAAGUCUCUGGAGGAAGUCAUCAAGUGAUACAAUAGUCGGCUCAUCAACCAACUCCACAAAAAGAUAUUUUAGUUUGCAAAGCAAGUCUUCAAAAAAUAGAUAUUUAUUUGUUCCUAUGUACUUUGCAUCAACUUUCAACUCUUCCAAAUUAGGGAAUACCUGGGAGAUCGAUCAGAACCAAAAAAAAAAAAAAUACAAGAUGAAUCAGUUGAUGAGAAUUAUAAGUUACCACUAAUUUAUACAAUAUAUUUUAUUCAAUAAAUCAAUAAAUACAAGAUAAACUUUCACAGUACAUACAUAAGAAUUGAAAAAUUGAUUAUAAAACUCUUGUACGUACCCUUUCCGUCAAGAUAUUAGUAGUUCUUUUGCAUCUCGCCAUGAAUUCAGGACAUCCAGAUAUCCCUAAUUCUUUCAAGGAUGGAAAUUCAAGAUUAUCAAGAUCUCCAGUGCAGAAGCUUGUGAACUUUUCAAGAUCAGACAUCCUCAGAGAUUGCAACUGGGGAAACGUUACAAUAUUAUUCUUCAUUUCUUCUUGGUUGUCCACGACUAUUAACUCUUCCAGGACAGGACAUUUGACUAUCAUAAUGUGUUGGAGUCGAACAAAGCUACUAACUGUACAAGAUGAAAAUAGACAUCUUAAAUUCAUACAGCUGUACAGGGUCAAGCGCGUUAAAUUCUGAAUACCACAAGACAUGACUGCAACUUGGUUCAGCCAAAUCCUCUCAACAUUUAUUGAAUACAACAUCAACUCCUCCAAAUUUGGUAAUGCAACCUGCACGAUCAAAAAAUUAACUUGUUAAUUACAAGCAACAAUGAUUUCUGUUGAUGGACAAAUCAAUAAAAUUACUCUUUCUCUGUUUAUAGUUCUUUUCAGUUUUUCAUACAAACAACCGUUAAUCAAGUUUUCCAAAUUAUUCCUUACUAAAUUUUGGUUGAUUCGCAAUAGGACCUACUAUCCAGCGCGAGCAGUUCUCGGGGAUUUAACUACUGGCACCUCGAUUAUAUAAAAAUUUAGACGGCGGCUAAUAUAAUUUAUAUGUAUUCUAAUGACGUAUAUUAAAGAAAAUGAUUAACCAUAAUUUCAAUCAACUUAUUAGUCUAUAUAUAUAUAUAUAUAUAUAUAUAAUAUUCAGCGAUUACAACAUAUUUAGUAUUCCAUAACAUGAUGUUUAUAAUAAUAAUUAUUAUUAAUUCACUUAUUGUGUCAGAGUAUCUUUUCUUUCUCUAAGAAUGUAUUUGUUACACCCUACUAUACUUCGGAUGAAAAAUUUAGAAUAAUUGUGAAAUAUAAUUAUUAAUCACUCUUUGCCAUAUUUGUUACCAAACAGGAAUAUAACAAAGAAAAAAAACAAAAAUUAUAGAGAAUUAAUAAGACGAUUGACUUAUUAAUAACUGACCUUCUCAGGGAAAAGUGUAUUAUAAAUUUGGACAUUGUCCUCCAAAAUGAUUUCAUGUGACUGCAAAUCAUUAGCUGAUUCCUCUUGUCUCUGUUGACAUUGCAGGUAUCUUGAUUUUAGAGUGUAAACUUAAUUGUGAGCACAAUCUUAAUGCAUAGAUACAAGAUCUUUAAAAAUUAGUAUAAGAAACUUAGCACUAAAUCCAAAUUUGAUAUUUUGGAUUCCAUGAUUAAGAUUUUUUAAAUAAAAAUUUAAUAGAGUUAAUUUAAAAAUAAAAAUUAAAUAUGAAAAAUAAACUUGCAAUUAUGGAUUUAAUUUUAAUAAAUAAUGAAUGUUCUCUUUAUAUUUUUUUUAAAAGGUAAAAGAGCGUACAAAGCCCAAAUUCAUUUUUUUAAGUCCUUUACUCUCCCAUGAUUCAAACUUGGGUGGUUGUAGGAGGACUGCAAAUAUAUAAGACAGUUAACUUCACUUUUUUUUUCUUUUUUUUUUUGUUGAGAGAAAAGAGAAGAAGGAUAUUACAAAGCAUGAAGCUCGUGCAAUAUAAGGGCAAUUAUGGUUUUUUCUUUAAAUUAAAAUGGUAAGAUUCUGAAGCUAAAAGAUUAAAAUAUUAAUUAAAUUGCAAACAUUAAAGAUUUUUUUUGCAAAUGGUUGCUUUUAAAAUGAGAAUAAUAUAAUAUUUGAAGACUUUUCAAAAUUAAUUACUGUGAUGCACUAGAAAUUUCUAGCUUUAGUCUAAUGUAUAAAUUGACAAAACGAUAUUCGAAUCCCAGGUGAAAAGAACCCUCUCAUACCAAUUAUUUAAAUUAGGAAUGAUCAUACCUUUGACUCUGCCGGAUUGAGGGCGAGCCAGAGACGCUUGAGAUGGGAAGAGCCCACUUUGACUAAUUCAUUACGAAAAUAAUCGACAUCUUGCUCUUGCAAUCGCCAUAACUCAAGGUCUUCAAUUCUCUGCAGUUGCACGAUCAGCGAAUCCUUCAAGCAAAUCUUGUUAUUUAGCUCGAGACUGAAUUCACGACACCCAAUGCCGGUGCUCUCCCAAUAGCCAUCAUCUCCAAUGCGUAUGCUGUACCUUUCC